ACCUCCAUGAAGCAAUGUCCUUCCAUAAUAGUGGGUCUUUGUUCCAAGAGAAAAUGUAAAAAAUACUGGUGCCAAUUGCAAUUGCAUUAAUAUAAAUUCACUUAAUGCAGUUCGGAAACCCCUUUCCAAGCCAAUCUCCAUCAACAUAGGUAAUGCCAUCAAAUAUCCAAUUUGAACAAAAGAUUGAGAAGCAAGAGCCACUUGAAGAGGCUUAUUAUCACGAAUUGCUGGUUGCUCACUCAAUCCUUGUUCAAGGCCACUCAGCACAAGAUAGAGGCGACCAUAAAGGAACACAUAGACAGUGAGCACUGUUAUCUGAAAAAGAACAGAGAAUGAUGCUUGGUGUGUUACAUAGAGUCAUAAUAUUUUAAAGUUGCAAAUAAAAAAGAAAUUUGCAGAAUUACCAGAGUACUUAAGUAAAAACCAACUGUAGUGAAAUAACAAGACAGCAUUCUGAAAAAGUCAAAUCGAUGUCCAAGCCGGUAUAUAUCCCGACUCAAAGUCUGCUCUCCAUUGCCAUUAGCUAUUUUUGCCUCAAACAUAGAUAUCUGAUUGAGACCCACAUCCCUUCCCUUCCCAACUUGUAUGUAUUCAUGAUGGGUGACAUUGCCUUCACGAAGUGUAGAAUUGAAGCCUGCAAUCACAAUCACAAAGUCACCAAUGGAAGACAGAACCAAACAUUAAUACAAACAUGGCACAAAUAUAGAGGCAUUUCAUACCAGCAAAAAUAUCUUCACUCAAAUUAAUGACUUUGGAUGCUUUACUUACACCCCCUCUUGUGAGGUGAAAGAGCCUAUCAAAUACAUCUGGAUGACCAUAGUGGAACCGAACCCUAUACAAACAGGAAAAUUGUACAGAAGAGAUCAAGUAUUGGUUAACAUAAAAGAUGCAAUGAAAACGUAACUGAACCACAGACAUGGGAUUAAAGAGAAUGCUUAUUCCCUUGAAAAAACUCCAAAAACUCAAAGAAUAUAGAUUUCCUGGAAUAAACCAAUUGCACUAUAGUGUAUGGCUGGGUUGAUGCACCAGUAGAAAUCUCAUCCUCAUUAAAAAGACUAAUCAUAAGAAUUUGCAACAUCAUAGAUAAUUUGCCAAUAUCGUAAGACUUAUUCUUUAGAGCUUAUGGACUUAAUCUUCAUGGCAUUAGAAUUCCAAAUAAAGCAGUUCAAUAGACAGAGGAUAGCUUGCUCUUUGCUUUUAGAAGAGAAUUUUUUUUAUUUUUUAAAUGGAUAACCGAAAACAUUUUGGAGAUAAAAAGGUUAAAAAAUAAGAGAAAUUUUUAUGCAAAAUUUCUUACAAAAAUGAUACUAAUAAAGACAAUUUGGGAAAUACUAAGCAAAAAACCUUUGAUAUUAGUUUUUAACAUAUAAUUUUAUCGAUGAGUCGUCCAAGUUGAAUAAAAAUGUCAACUAAUUCAAAUUAUUUAAAAGUAAGAGACUAAUCAAACUCUCCCAAUAAAUGUUAGUAUAGAUUCCUAAGCAAGCUCAAUUCUUUGUACUAACAAGAAAUUUCCUAUGGGAACCUUGAUUCGUUUCAAUAAUUUAACAGAUACACCAGCUACAGAGGUCCAUAGUUUUAUUAGCUUUCUUUUCAUCUUAUUACUGAAAACAAGCAACAAUUACAAUCUCAUUCUGGAGAGCUAACUACAUGGAUUGUCCCCUCAACAAGCUCGGUAAAAAAGAUGUUAUUUUUUGUAUUUUCCAUCACUGUCCUUUUUGGCCUCCCUAUCCUCCAUUACAUCACAUCUUCUCAUGAGGGUAUUUCAAGGUCAAUUCUUUACACUUCCAAACCACCUUAAAAGGUUUUCACAUACAUGUUUAUAUUUUGGAUCAUAUCGCGCCAUUGUACUCUAUUCCAUGUCCUCCUUGGUCUUCAUCUCCCUUGACAUGAGUGUCCUCCAUUCAAUUGAAUCUUUCACAAAAGGGUAAUGGUAUAGCAAUAGCAUCUUCUCAACAUUGCUACACAACUAAGAUUUAAUCAUAUUGAAAAAAUAACCUUCCACUUUUUUCAAUUCAUGGUUCUGCUCAAAAGAGAAAUGCACAGCUUUUAGGUGCUGUCCCUUUAAGUUAAAACCACUAAGAAUUAACAACAAUGAUUACAAUGACUUGUUAACUUAUGGUGCACGCAGUUUGAGCUUCACAGGUAGAAUGCAUUGAGCUACCUAAAACCCUAUUUGAAGGAUUAUUUUCAGCUUUACCAUCAACAUCAAACCUAAAACCACUAAUAAUAAGUGAACAGGCCCAAACAACAUAUUCCCAAACUUCAUUAAUAUUGGAUAACACCAUUUAACACUUCUCCUCAUCUAGCUUCAACACUAACAAGUCAAAUAAAUAGGCUUAACAGUGUGAAAAUGAAUAUGGAGAAACAAACAAUAAAUAACAAAAUAAACAGAGCAACAAACAACCAGGGCUCUAAUAACUUGUCAAACAUCCAACUAAUACCAAUUUGCUACAGCUCAAAUAAGUCGUUUUAAGUCUCUUCUAGAAAAGAGGGGGGGGAGUGUAAUUGAUCAUGUAUUUCAAAAGGAAACAAACAGAUCUAAGAAUUCCUGGGUGCUUUACUUUCAUUAUAAGGGAUUAAAACCCCCAGCAUUACCCAUUGAAUAAAUAAACAAAUAUUAUAAAGCUCUGAAGAAGUUUAAAGAAAAAAGCACAACUUACUUUAGAGGGUUGGCUAACAGUCUCUGACCAAUAGUAACAAAACUUGUCUCCUGAUUUGACAUGAACCAUGCAAGAGAAGAAACACUGCACCAAACGGUAGAAGUAUUAACCAUCAUAUUAACAUGGCAAAAAAGCAGUUACUAACUUGGAGACAACAAGAUGCCACCACACCUUCCUGUAAAUAUGUGCUCUCUAAGCCCAAGAAUUGUCGGGUAUCUUACACCAUCAUGCUUUGUGAGGAAUUCUUGCAACAAAUUCCUCAUUUUCAAUGCCUCUUCCAUGUAAUUAUCCUAUGCAAUUCAUCCAAAAGAGAAAGGUAAUUAUCCUAAGCAAAUGAGCAAUAAAAUAGAAGUGAUUGGCACAAUGUAGAGAAUUAUGAUGCUUAGUCCAACUAUCAUACCUGGUUCAUAUCUAUUGUUUGCAAGCCUUCUCCUCGUGUGAAGAUAAUGGCAUGAUUUUGGUUUUCAGGUUUCCCUUCACCCAAGAUAGCAGGUCCUGGAAGUUUUAUCCGAUAAAUUUCCUGUUUGUGGAAAAUGACAAUUAAAAGGAAAAAUUUUAGGAUGUUGAAAUAGAGUGAGAAAUAGGCAAAGCAAAAGUGGAUAUUCAAAAUCAACAAAGUGAACAAUCAAAGGAUUCUAUUGAAUUUAGAAAUAUAGAAUAUCCUCUGGACAAUCUGAAGGAGUUCAAGAACAAAAUGCACGUGUAAGCAAAACUCAUGCCCAAUAUUUUAAGGCAUAUUAUGAUGACAUUUUAUCUUCGUAGAUGCAAAUUAAUUGUAAGAGAGUAAAAACAAACACACACACAGAGAACGUUAGCAGCGCAGGCAUAUUAAAAAACAAAGACUAUUACAACUCUGUGUGCAUGUAAUCAAGAUCUAAAAACCCACAGAAACAUUAGGAAAAUGUAGUUUAAAUGCUUGUGUUGUAUUUCUCUCAAAGCUGGUCAUUAAUCUUUCUUAAAAGCUUAUCAUUGGGGAUCUACAAGGAAAAUAUAGCAACAGCUUCUCAAUUUAUAAAUGUAUUGCCAUUUGUCAAAGUAAAUAUCAAUGGCUGGAGGGCCAACUGCACAAGAAUAGUUCCAAAUAAGUGGUUGAUUUCAUUUUUUUGGCAGUAUGAAACACUUAUGUCAGGAAAAUAAGUUCCUCAUUUCCCCAAUGCUAAAAGAUGACCGAUAGGAAAAAGAGAACUUUUAGCAUUAGAAAGAACAUAAAAAAGAAACACCUUUGCUGAACACUAAAACAAAAAUUAUUAAAUUAUAAUAAAAAUUAAAGUAAAAGAAAAAAUGUCUAAUUGUCAGAAGCAUCCUCAAAUUAUUGUUAUCUUAGAUCAGUCUUCAACUUUUUAAAUGUGAAUAGAGAAGAGUAUAGAAUCAUUACAUAAAAAAUAAAAAGGAACAUUAUUUUAAAUAUUUUUCAAGAAUAAUGACAUGCAAAAGUACAGUAAUUGCUUCAAGAAGAUUAUUAUUCAUUUUAUACCUAUGACCAGCUUUUCAUAUAAAUAAGUAUUGCUACUGUUUUGCUAGCAUUAAGCACUCAAUUACUAAUUGAUAAUAUUUGGAGAGUGCCACUUCAACAAAAAACCACAAUAAACCCAAACAUGAAUGAAGUGGGAUAAUACAAAAUGUAAAAACCACCCUCAUAAGCAGGCACAAUCUUACAAUUUAAGCCAAUGAGCAUACCACAUGGGCAUCAAAUAAAAGGCGAUAAUGCCAAGAAAACAAAAAAUUAUACCAAAGCUUUGAUACUAUAAAAAGGCAACCAACCCAAAACCAUUUGGCAAUAGGUGCUGCCCAAACUCAAUAUGAGAUAACAACAGACCCCAAAUUCAACUAAGGCGAGAUAACACCACUUGAAAAAUAGUGCAAAAUACAUAAUCGCAUAUGAUUUUGAAAUUAGAUAAAGUAUUACCUGGUCUAGAUUUUGCACUGGCUCUGAAGAAUCACUAGACUUUGGCACAGCCCUCACUAGAACAGUAAAGUAAUUAACCUUGCCAUUAAGCUUCUUCAACCUAUCCUCAUUACGUUGUUCAACCUCAUCAAUGUAUGCAACGCGAAGUGACGGGUAUCUGCCAGUAAAAGAUAUAUCCACUUAAUAAAAAAUAUGCUGGUUGCUAAAAGCAACUGAGAAAUCUUUGGAAAAUUAGCGUGCUUACUUAGUCAUAAGCCUCAGAAUGUCCUGUGCACGCUGCUCACCAGAUCGCUUCUGAAUGCCAUAUUGUUGACAAGAAACAACAUAUGUGAAUUUCAUAUCAGCUACUGCUUCACACUGUACCUUCAGUGACCUAUCCUCUUUGUUAUCCUCCGUACUUAAUUCUAUGGCCUUAUAGCCUUCCAUCAAAUCUAAGAAGGUUGACAUUAAAACCAAGUGAGCUUGAAUAUCUCAUAUCACACAAUAAUUCAUGCAAGAAUAGAAAUAUUAGUAACGCAGAUGUAAGAGCAUCAGUAAUGCGAUUAGCAGCAUACAAUUAAUUAUACUGCAAUUUUACAGCAAGGUGAAACAGUUACCUUCAUGUUUGGCCAUAUCAAGGAAAGCCUGCAGCUCCAAUGCUUCACGAUAGUACAUCAUACCUCUAACUGGCAUUUAUAAUGAUCUAUUAGUCUAUAGAAAAAAGGAAACCAGUGCAAACAUAUGCAUGCACACAAACACACAUGAAUGCACGCGAGAGCAUGCACACACACCACAGAGAGAGAGAGAGAGAGAGAACCAGUUCUCGUUAAAGUUUGGCCCCUAUAUGAUGCCCAUAAACGAAGGUGUUCUUCUAACUCAGGAGAUUCUCUAAGUUCUUCUUCACUGCUGCAUUUCACCCGCUCAAGAAAGUUAUUCCAUUCAUCUGAACAUUAUUAAUCAGCAAUCAGCCAUAAAUGGAAGAACAGUGCGAAGAUUUCGCAUUUCCAAUGUACAAGUGAAUGUAAAUCUUUAAUAAAAAUUAAAAAAAAAAAGGGUGAAUUCAAACCUGGAAAGAUUUUUUGCAAGUAAAAGAGGAUGGAAACACCAUCUUCAUUUGGAUUUUCCAAUUCUUGCAAGGAGAAAAGAACUUCCUCUGUGUAGUAAGGAGUCAAAACACUACAAAAAACAUGAUUUAUCACUUCAGCAACAUGCAUUAAAAACAAAAUCAUGAUUAUCAUAUAAUCAUGAUCAUCAGGCAAAAACGAAGCUAACGAUAUUUGAAAUGCUCAAGCCCAUGUACAGUAUUCAUUAAUUUUUACCAGAUAGUGAACUAUAAGUCAUUUUUAACAUUUAACCAGAGGUUCAGCAAUUAUAUGGAAUAGGAAUUUACUUCAGGCUAAUGAUCUCAAAAGAGAGAACAAUAUUCAACCAACUUUGUAAUCAAGGACAAAAAUAAAAUAAAAAAAGUAAGUCAAUUUGUUUGUAAUUAAGUUUUAUACAUUUCAUUACCUUAAAUUAUUUAAUUUUCAAGCAAUUACAUCAUUUGAGGCAGUCUGGAAACAUAAAGAGGAGACCAACAAAUGCCCCUACAAGAAGAUUUGAUUUAAUAGAUGAUAUCCAUGUCCAGCAGUAGAGGAAGGCCAAAGUGAAUCUGUAGAGGAACUAUAAGAAAAGACCUCAUUUUACUAAGCCUACAGAGAUUAGUCUUACAUAGCGUAUAGUGACACAAUGAGAUCCAUAUACCAACCCAAUAGUGGGAAAGGCAUAGAAUUUUUGCAAGUAAAACCUCAUAUAGUAAUACUUAAUUUAUUCAAUUGAUCUUUCUGUAUAUUUUAUACCAGUUAAAUCUAGUUUUGUCAAUUGUAGAACAGGUAGCGUACAGUAGCAGUAAAACAAGUAUGAAUAGAAUAAAAACGGGAUGGAAAUAAAAGGAUAGAUUUAUGGAGAACUAGAUACAUGUCAUCUACACUGCAAACCUUUCUAUUCCAUGGAUAGGCAGAUAGAUAGGGUAGAGCUUUGGGUUUAUAAAUUGUAACAUAUACUCUGAAAUAAUUCAUAUUAUCUACGAAUAACUAAUAUAAAUGACUACUAUAAUCAACAAGCAAGAUCCUAACAAUUUGUUGAAUACUAAUGGUUGCAAAAAUUCUGUUAUUUGAGCCAGCUUAGCUCAGAGGUUGAGUAUUGCAUUUAUAGCACAAUGGUCAUCAGUGUGAUUACAAUAGCUCGUAGGUGUGCGAAUUUUACAUAAUUGGUAUGUUUUAUUAAGAAAAUAAAAACAACAUAGAGAAAGCUUCUCUCCUUUUCCAAGGUUUACUAAUCUGGUUAUCAUGUUAUAGAAACUUAUGAAUAUGAAUAAAUUGGAUAGUUUCUACUGUUGGACAAACAAAACAAAGGGCUUUCUUGCAAGAUAAACCUAUAUUUUAUAUAUCAAUAAUUUUUUAAAAAUAGCACAAAUAUGCUCUCCCAAUUUCCCAUUCAAUCGUCAACAAGAAAUAUUCAUUAGUUUAUACCCGAUGAGAUAUAAGAAGAGUAAAAAGCACUAGUAGAAAGAAACAAUAAAUCUGGGAUAAAGCUUACGAGAAUGAAAGCAUAUUGCGAACUUUAGGUGCAGCAGGCAUAUCCAUAAACAAAGAAUUUGAGAAGAAAGAAAUUCGCCUCCUAGCUUCUAAAUUAGAUGGUACGUCCAUAGCAGAUUCCUUUGUGGUAAGUAACAGAUAAAGUCGGUUGAUCUGCAAAACAAAAAUAGGAAAAGCAACAAUAGAAAAAAUUAAUAGAUUUAUCUAGAGAGAAAUGCUUUAAGCUUUAGUGUCCAACAAUGAACUCACCUUUUCUUUCCAUGCUUCCGUAACAGGAGAUAUUGGAAACUUGAUGGCUCCAGCAGAGGCAAAUAAUUGAUCUAAUUUUUUUUGAUCAAAUAAUUGAUAAUGUUGAUCAAGUACUCCAUGUGUUGAAUCCACCAAACUUUUAAGUGCAAAAAAUAAAAUAAAAAUGAGGAGUAAGUUAAGGCACUAGAACAUACACACGUUAAGGAAACAAUCAUGUGAAGAUGACAAACCUGGAGUCAUCCUCCGUCAUUAUGUCUUUUGUCACAGUCUCCAGCAUAUCCUGGAAACAGAGUACCACUUGACCCCUUUCUUCCUGCUUAUUUUCCAACUGCAAAAAUCAAGCAGGUCAUCUUAGGACUUCCCAUUACCACCCAAAUCUCACAGGAAUGAAAAUCCUCUUAAACCAAGUUAGGUUUUGAAUAUUACCAAAAAUUUGAUCAACUUCACAAUAUGGUCAUAGAGACUAGGGAGAGCACUCAUUUUGUAAGUCUUAAUUAGACUACCAUGUUCUAUAAGUUCGUCAACCUUGGAAAAUAUAGCAUCUAUAACCCUGGAAACACAUUGGAAUGAAUAAAAAUGAUUUUACACAACAGUAGCCUUCACCUAAUAAUAAUCUUAAUAAGAGGAAAUUACAGCUUGAAUGAUAUGGAUUACAUCUGUGGUUAACAUUCUACAUUGAACAGUAGCUUACUUUUUUUCCCGGGGCCCUUCAACCAAAAACUUAAUAAUGCUUCUGAAUGAAGCAUAGCAUUCACGAAUAGCACAGGACAUGUAACGGUCAGCUUCAAUUCUCUUUUGCAGCUCUUUAUCCCUGCUAUCACUGUCCUUGGCCAUGUCUAAUGCUAUUGGGAUCUACAUGAAGAUUCAUAGUUAAUAUCAUGAUACUCAAUUCUCAAAAUCACCGGAGCAGAAUAAGUUGAAGCAAACCUUGCUAGCAAGCAAAAAUGGUGGCCACUGUAUUUGCUCUAAAUCACGGUCAGCCCAAUAGGGAACAAGCAACAGGUUCAUUUCCCUGAAAAUGAAACAAGCUCAGCACGUAGCAAGAAUAACAUUAAAGCUGGAAUUACUGAGUAUAACUUAGAGCAGAGAGUAUAAAUACUUAUUGCUUAUAAGAUCUUCCUGCCGAAAACUGCUGAUUAUUUUGUUCCACAACUGAGCAAAUUUUGCAGCCUCUUUCUCUUUAUUAGAUGGUGGCUGAAAAAAUAGACUAUUAUUAGAUGGCAAGGUACUUUGUAAUGCUUCUAUCACAAAAUCAUAGAGAGAUCACAAGUUAUAUGAUAGGUAAUGUCAAAGAGGUUUGACCUGCCCAAAGCUACGAGAGAAAAAACCCCAAACUCCUUUCUUCUUUCUCUCGAUCUCACCCUCUGGAAUUAACCGAGCAUUAAAAGCACCAGGCAAUGAUUCAAAACGAGAUCUGAGCAUUCCUAAUGUUCGAAUCUGAAGUUUAUAACCAAAUAAAGGAUGAAACACUAAAAAUCCAAACACUGCAGAAAUAAAACAAAACUAAUCUAGGUUCAAAAAAGAUUCUAUACUAAUUAUUGAGAAGCAGAUGAAGAUGAGAUUUUCACUAUCUCCAAAUAAAAGUGAAACCAGCAAUUUUCAUUAUGGCAAAGUUUACCAAAAAAAAAAAAAAUGAUGUUCUACAGUUGACAUCAUCCACAUAAAAUAGGUGAAGGAAGUAAACACAUGGUAAACAAUGACCAUAGUGCAUGUUUCCUGAAAAUGCUUGACAAAAUAAGAAGACAUUUUGUUAAAUAAUUAGAAAAAUGAGCAAAGGAGUAAAAGUAAUAAGACAAAAGAUUGCAGUAACUAGUUAUGUGAAGCUCAACGAACCUCUCCAAGGCGUCUAAAUGCACCAUAAAUACCUCCAAACAAUGUGGAGAAUAUUGCAUACCAAAUCUGGGUAUCCAUAAAAUAGACCUAGAAAAUAAAAAUCUCCAAAUUAGACCUUAAAAUAUCCCAGUCAAGCUUAUGACAGGAAAACAUGGAUCAACUAUGAACAUGACAUAAGCCAUACAAGAAUGAUUGGAGCCCAGAGAGCAAUCACGACACCAAUGUUGUUCUUUGCUGCAAAAAAGACAAGAAAGAAAUGAACCUUCUGUUAUGGGAAAGAGAACAGACUGACAUCUUAAUGUCCAUUACCUCGGGGGAAAAAUUCAUGCCACUGGAAUUUACUUAUCCGAACAGACAUAACAGCUUUCGUGGGACCAACUAAAGGCUUUAUCUGUGACCAAGAAAGGAAGAUGUGAUAAAGUUUGAAUCAGUUUUAAAAAACAUUUCAAAAUCUGAUAUGCUCAUCAGAGAUAGGUAGAUAGAAUACAAGAUCUUUUAAGAUCAAAACAAGAGAAAUGCCAACUGAAGUGAUUCUGGGGUGACUUAAGUCCAGCUUCACCAUUACUUUAAUCAUGGCCACCCUUUGGUAUCAAUAGCUGACCAUGACAGUAUUUUGAUUGAUUUAAUGAUCAGUGCAGAAAAAGAAAGUAUGAUCGUGUGUGUAGGCAGGGGGGAGUUAAGGAUCAAACGAUUGAAAGAUACACCUCAAUAUAAUAACUAAAUGCCAACUUAGUGAUGAUAAGUAGGACCCAAAACAUCGUAUACCUGAAAGUUCAACAACAAAAAAAUUAGAAAUCAAACAUUUGACAUGGUUACCACAAAAGCAAUCAAUCAAUCUUAAAAACAUCAAACUCUUACUUGAAGAGAGAAAACGUGCUCUCGUGCAUUGCCCUACCAACAUAGAGACGAGGCUGAAAAAAUCAGGCAAGGCAAUAAGUGAACUAGAAAAGGAACGAGUAGGGAAAAGAAGAUUAUAUAAGAACAGUUAUCUACCUGUGACCACCACAUCAUAAGCAUCACAAUUUUGUAGUGGGAACUUUCAAGGAAUCGACGAACGAAAGGAAAAAGAAACAAUAUCGCGGCCAGCAUAUUUGGUGACAAGUAAAUUACAACAGCCAAAAUAAACAAGGAAGGUGAAUUUGAGGCAUUGCCAAACCAGCUUUGGAUGGUUCGUGCAAACCCUGAAGGAUCGUCCCAAGUAUAAGCAUAAGUGACAGGUAGAAUUAUCACCCAUGCAGCUGCCGAAACAACUUUCAAUAUGUAUCUUAACUUUACAUGAAAUGACAUGCUCUGCUGUGCUUUCCAACUAAGGAUUACAUCAAGGACAGCUGCAAACAUUAUAGAAAUAUCAGUAAAAACUUCAACAUAGCUGACAUGCAGUACAAUGAAAAGGUUUCCACAUUCCAUAAAAUGCAACAGCUUCAUUAUCGGGUUGACAUAAGCAAUAAACAAACAUGCAUCUAGCCAUAGAGAAACAAACAGUAAAGCAGAAGGAAAUUUCCAACUUAACUGAUACACAAGCAUGUAGACUGAAAUACCAGACAUUUUAAAAAACAUAGUCCACUAGUAGUUGGCACCUAAAGUGAUGGCAUCCAUUAACCAACAGUAUACAACAGAUCAAGACCAGUCUCAUUAUUGAUAAUGAAAGAAAUGGAAAGGGUGAUCCUACAAGGAGCAGUGUAAAUAACUUAAGGUUAGCCACUUCAGAUGCCAGAAACAGUGUGCAUAGAAAUGAUAUGUUAUCUACAGCACUAAAACAAAAGAGAAGCUAUAUGAUACAACUGGGAAACCGUUAUCUGCUGCCAUGAUUCAACAUAUAAAAGAAAAAAGAUGUAUGCCCUCAAAAGACUACAACUCAAAUCUUCUUUCUCAGUAAGUGUGUCAAACUAUAAUUAUUUUCUGUUAGCCUUAAAUGGGUGUAGAAACAAGGUUUUAGUGCAAACAAAGUGCUUUCUACGAAGAACUUGAAAAACAAUUCACCAGAAUAACCUCAGAUUUCAUAAACCAACAAGUAGCAUUUUUUUCUAUUUUUUUUAUCUUCAUAUGAUUUGCCUACCAUCUCAAAGAGGAUGUUCCACUCAAUCAAGAAAGCUUCCGUUGCAAAUAGUUAAAAUGAUAACGACAGACGCUGAAGUAAGACUAACUGGUUUCACUCACCUUGGCCAAGCUUCAAUAUAGCAGCAGUUAUAAAGACACUCAGCACUUUCUUGAACAAAUCACCCCUAAAGAUUGAACUUGGUUGCCCCGAGCCAUGCCAAGCAAUAAUAAUCAUGGCCUUACAAGAACCAGACUUUAUCAACACCAUGCCAAAAAAAUAAAAAAUCUCAAAGGUAAAUAUGGAAAAUCAGGAGCACCAAAGGUAAGUGCUACCUGCAAGGACAGGAUGAAAAAACUCCACAUUCGAUCAAAGCUUCUGAAGACAUGCCAGAAUGAGCGUAUCUCAACAAAGUUAACUUUCCCCAUCCAUCGAUCAUUAUUAGAUGGCUUGUUAUCCUACAUAUAAGAACCAUCAGCCACAAACUAACCAUCAGCCACAAACUAAGUAGGAGAAAACAAUCAUGCUAAAAUGACUUGAUACAAUUAGCCAGGUGUCCUUUAUUGCUAGCUUCCCAUUUGUUUUCAGUAACCAACACAACUUUCAAAUCUAUACAGUCACUAAGAGUUGUAGAUUACAUAGUCCAAUUACCUUAGCAAUCAGUGCCAUAAAAAGAGACUUUAUCUUUCAUUCUAGGAAAUAGAAAGCAGAACAUAUUGAGACUCAUAAGAAAGAGGAGACUGACAUUACUUCAACUUGAAGUCCACCAUAAAGUCAACAACCUAUAGUUGAUCAAGCAAAUACAAAACAUGCAAGCUAGAACUUUAUGAAGAGAAUUUACAAAAUUACUUUGAUUGCCACAAUAGAUUUAAUUGUCUAAAGCCUCCCAGAUGCAAGAACUGAGAACCAUAUAUACAAUAAACUCAUUGCUGUCCAUUGAGCAUUCUUCUUUUGGUUUAACAAAUGCAAGGGAAAGAACAAACAGAGAUCCAAAAACAAGCUUACCCCAUUUUUCUCACGAACUUGUUCAAUUGGGAGAGAAAAGAAAUCAGCAUCAGCACGCAUUGGCCAACCCAACCGGAAACAAUCAACGGACCUACAAUUAAACAUGGGUAAACAUAUCUUUAGGAACAUAAACAAUGUGGAGAGAUAAAACUUAUUAAUAAAAAAUUCAUACCAGAAGUAUUCAUUUAAAUCAUCGUAAUUCCUCCAUUGUGAAUGCUUUGAUUGCCCUCGUUUACUUCUUUCAGCUUCCUGCAAAGAAAAUCAUCUUUUUUUCAGACAGGAAGACCAAUUCUCCAGCAUAUUCACCUUUAAAUUAAAAGGUGCAAACAUACACACACCAACAGAAACGGAGAGAGAGAGAAUAAAAUGUAUGCAAAAGUGGACAGGAAUUGCAUAGGGUACCCUCCAAAUAACAUCAUAGAUAGGUGUAACAACUUUCUUCAAAAAAGCUUCCUCCUCGCCUCCAUAGGCUGGCUUCACAUUCUCUCCGGUCAUAGGACUGACAUUUCCAGCUAGCAUACCAUAAAGUUCAAAUGCCAUCUACAGUAAGCAAAGGAAAGAAGCAUUUACUAUUUAAUAAAGCAGAAUAGAUCCAUCAAAGCUAUCUAGAGAUAGAGACAUUAUGGUUAGAAACACAAGCCAGGCAUUGACACUAGUCCCUACACAGAAACUACAUAAAUAUAGUCAAGACAAAGAGAAGAUUGAUAACCACAUGCAAAAUGCCACUAUAAAUGGCAACAAAUUUCAGAGUAAGUUGACAAGAAUGACAUUGGAUAAAAGCCAACUCAAAACAAUUUCCUUUUAUUAAUGUUGGAGAGGUACAUGUAUGGCAACAAUGUCAUUUCUCCAACGCUAGAGAGAUAUGGGCGAACAUAAUUUUCAUUAGGUUGUUCAUAUCAAAUAGAUUACAAGGCAAUUAACUUAAAACAAUUCGCAAUAGGUGGAGAGGACUCAAUCAUAUUAACGAACCCAAGAGAUUCCACUCACCCUCACAUGUAGGAAGAAUAGACCUAUGACAUGGUAUGUACUUCAGCAGUAGUGAAUUACAACCCUACUGUGGACAAUAAAUGAUGGGACAACUUGCUUUGAUCAAUAAAAUUUAAACAAACCUCAAGUUUAGACAGUGUGGGAUAGAUUACUUACACUCUCCGUCAUAUGUAGGCCACAUAUUAGCAAUUUAAACAAACGAACCUACAACCUUGAAAACAGAAAACGGCAACAACCAAAAAAACAAACAAGGCAACAAGCAACCUAGGCUUCGAAACCAUGCUAAAAAACUAACUUAACACCAACUGGCCAUGAGUGGAAAGGCUUAACUUGAAUAUAAGUCGCAACAAAACCCUAACUUAGCCAAGAUGUGAUAACAAUACACAACAAUUGACAACUAUGCAUUUAUGAUGGCAAUUUCAAACACAUGAUGACACAACUUGAACUACAUAAAAAUACCAUUAGAAACUUGAGUGAUGCACGACAUAAAUCUGUCUAACCCAAAAAAUGACAUCACCAAUUUUACAAAUAAAUCAAUGGUUGGCAAUUUUCAUUCAAACUAACAGCCAUUGACACAGAAAUGAUUCAUGAACCCCAAAUGCAUAAGACCUUUUUUGGCUACAAUGAACUGACAUUUUGCCAAAUUCUCACAUUGCACAUUAAGUUUGAUAAUCUCUUACAAAUAGCCAAAAGACCAAUGCAAUGCUAUCAAAGGAUGUCCUAAUUUUAACCUCUAGCUCCUAUGGGCACCCAUGAAGAUACUCAAGUUUGAUAAUGUCCAGUUCUACAAGACAAAGUAUUUCUCACAAAUUAAAUGCAGAAACACUAACACAACAAACUUUUUUUUCCUAUCAAUUGCUAAAUCUUUUCUGAUAGAAGUAUGGGUCAAAACAAAUGGCUACUAUUUCCAUACCCAUUAUACAGAAGCCUGCUCCAGUUUGGUUAAAAGCCUUAAUUCAAUAUACAUAAGUAUGCAUAUCCAUGGGAAGAAGAGGAGUUUUUGGAACAUACAUGAUGAUAGAUGUAGCAAAGGCAUUCUGGCAUGAAUCUCAAGUUUGCAGCUUCACCCCAUAUUAAAAGAUACAGACCCAUGUAUAAUAAUUUUCGCUGUUGCACUUCCUGCUGAAUGGUUGGCAACCUGCAGAUUUGAAAUAUCAAGGAGAAUUAAGCCAAAAGAAAUAUGGGAAAUCCAUUCCUUAGAACAUGACUGCAGUUGAACAUCUUGAAAGCUUAGGGGUGAAGAGCAAAAGGAAAGAUACAUAACAAGCACCCUACAAACAGGAAGUGCUUCCCCAAAUUUAUCGAUUGGAGUUCACUCUUGCUAUGUUGAAACACUUGGUAUAAUUAACUUAAUUCAUGACAUAUAUUUCUCUUAAAAUAUAUCCUAGAAGCAACAUAAAGCGGCUUCCAUUGAAGUUACAUAGUCCAGCAAGAUUUACUGCUUAAUAAUGGCACGGAGUCUCACCAAAGACUACUUUUCCGAUCCAAGUACUUGCACCACUUUUUAUAGUUCUUAAAAAGUUUCUUCAUCACUUCUGUUAGCGCAUGAUCAUCCAACUGCGCAAGAAACAAUUAUGUCAGAAAAGUUCUUAGCCCUAACCCUUUCAGCACACAACAUAAGAUCCAAUUGCUUAGGCCACAAACCCCAUCUGAAGCACAUAUGAAAGAAGAAAGAAAAACUUUUGUAUUUUACUAAUUAAAAGGAAUUGUUAGCACAAAGAAAACAAACAUUUUAACAGAUAAUAACUCUCUACUUCUCAAAAAUAAGCUUACGAUAUAUUAUUCCGAGAAACCUCCCCCUCGUAUGCAGGCCAAUACUAACAAUUGAGACAAAUGAGCCUAACAUGUGAACAAAUAAUGAGCAACAAACAACAAAAAUAAACAAGGUAAGAAACAACCUAAGCUCUAAUACCAAGUUAAGCUUCCACUGUAAAACCGAUUGGCAAUACGUGGAAAGGACCAACCAAAACAAAAGGCCACAACAAACUCUAAAGUUUUCAUGGGAUACGAUGAUUAAACAUUACCUUCACAUGUAAACCCUAUACUAAUAGCGUAAAUAAACAAGCCUAAUACAUGGCUUAUAACUAAGGGGCAACAAAUUCCACAUGUUUGGCACACUCCUUGGCAUCAGUUGUUAAUAUUACACAUGGAGUGUUAAAAGGUGUUAUCAUAUAAGUUAGCUUUAGAAUUUGUUGUAACCUUAUAAAUUAGUUCAAUCUCUUCACUUAUUGCCAAUUGGUUUUGUUAUAGAAUAGGAAAUGUGUAAAUAUUCAUUUAUUAAUAAACGUAAUUAUAGGAAUUAGAAAUCACCAUAAUUAUAGGAAUUGGGAAUCAUCAUAAUUAUAAGGAUUUUAUUUUCUCUAUUUUCUUUAUUCUUUCCCUAAUUUAGAAAUAUUUAAGCUGUAUAUAUAAAUGAUGUAUUAUGAAUGCAAUAAGCUGAGUUUUCUCUUCCACAAUAACAUGGUAUCAAAGCUGUGUUGGCAAAUCUGUUUCCUUGAAAACAGAGUUCUUAGUUUCUCUUUUACACCCAAACCUAGGUCACCCAUAUAGGGUGACAAUCUGAUCCCAAAGUCAGCACUAGGAGGAGACUCACCUGCUGAUCGGCUUCUUCCUAGAACCCUGCCACUAGAGUCCCCACGAGUGGCUAUCACACGCCGCUUUUAGUUUCUGGUUCUGUUCCACACGCCGACCAUCUAUUGGAGAUUCACUCCGGUCUUCUCUUCUGGUCUUCAUUCCAGAAGGUUUCAACAAGAUAAUUUGGUAUUCUUGUUGGGUUUUGUUACUGGGUUUUCAAGACGACAGAGUCUGUGCCAGAAAAAAAUCAAUGGUAGUGGCUGAUGUGAUUCUUGUGAUGACAAAGGUCACAGAGCAUAAACUUAAUGGUUCCAAUUAUUUGGAUUGGAGCAAGACUAUUCGGGUCUAUUUAAGAAGCAUUGAUAAGAUUGAUCAUAUUAUUAAUGAUCCUCCUAUUGAUAAUACAAGGCAAACCUGGAUGAGGGAAGACACACGACUGUUCCUGCAGAUUCGAAAUUCCAUUAAUAGUGAGGCAGUUCAGGAGUUUGGGGUGAAAAAGAGUAAGUGUGAUCACUCAGUGCUUUAUAAACAAUCGGAGGCAAGCAUAAUCUUACUACUAGUGUAUGUUGAUAUUGUCAUUACUAGGAGUGACACUGUAGGUAUUUCAUCUCUCAAAUCUUUCUUCAUACUCAGUUUCAGACAAAAGAAUUAGGGUUGUUGAAGUGUUUUUUGAGUGUUGAGGUGACAAGGAGUAAGAAAGGUAUGUUCUUGUCUCAAAACAAAUAUGUUCUUGACUUGUUGACUGAGACAGGAAAAUUGGGUGCUAAGUCGUGUAAUGCACCAAUGACUCCUAAUUUGCAACUUACAAAAGAAGAUGGUAAAUUGUUUGAAGACCUUGAAAAGUAUAGAAGCCUGGUUGGAAAAUUGAAUUAUCUUACAGUGACUCAUCCUGAUGUUGCAUACUCUGUUAGUGUUGUAAGUCUGUUUAUGUCUGCUCCAACAAUUAACCAUUGGUCAGCUUUGGAACAAAUCCUAUGUUAUUUGAAAGGGGCUCCAAGAUGUGGUCUAUUUUAUGGAAAUCAUGGACAUACUAAUAUUGAAUGUUUUUCAAAUGCAGAUUGGGCAGGUUCCAAGAGUGAUCGGAGAUCUACUACAAGAUAUUGUGUUUUUAUUGGAGAAAAUCUGGUCUCAUGGAAAAGCAAGAAGUAGAAUGUAGUAGCUCGUUCUAGUGCAGAAUCAGAAUACAGAGUUAUGGCACAAACUGUGUGAGGUAGUAUGGAUGUAUCAGCUAUUAAGUGAAAUUAGUCUUAAGUCUUCUUUGCCUGCAAAGCUGUGGCGUGAUAAUCAAUUUGCUCUCCAUAUUGCCUCCAAUCUCGUGUUUCAUGAACGAACUAAGCAUAUUGAAAUUGAUUGUCAUUUUGUUUGUGAAAAGAUUCAACAGGAAUUCAUCCCUACAAGAUAUGUUAAAACCGAAGACCAGCUAGGAGAUAUCUUCACAAAAGCGUUGCAAGGACCUUGAGUUGAUUAUAUUCGUAGCAAGCUGGGUAUGAUUAACAUCUAUGCUCCUGCUUGAGGGGGAGUGUUAUAGAAUAGGAAAUGUGUAAAUAUUCUUAUAUUAAUAAACGUAAUUAUAAGAAUUAAAAAUCACCAUAAUUAUAAAGAUUGGGAAUCAUCAUAAUUAUAGGGAUUUUAUUUUCUUUAUUAUUUUUUUAUUUUAGAAAUGUUUAGGCUGUAUAUAUAGAUGAUGUAUUAUGAAUGAAAUAAGCUGAGUUUUCUCUUUCUAAAUAACAGGUUUUAGUAGCAUGCUUAACAAGUUAAGAGCUCAGGGUACUUGUUACCUCGUUUGUUAAGCUGUUCAUGCCUCUUAUUUGUCUAUUGUUUGUCCAUAUGAUUUUAUGUUUAGAUAGAUAUCAGUGUUUUGAUCUUUCUCAACACUAAGGACGAUUUCAGUCAAAUCAUGGAAAUCAAUUGGAAUUGUGUUGAUGGAGAUACUAUCAUUGAUGUGUGGUUGCAAAGAUGUUAUCAUGGUGGUUAUUUAGUUGGGUUUGGAUAGUGGCACCACACAAGAAAGAGUAACAAUUAUCAGCAACAAAAUGAGAAACUAUCAUUGCUGCUUAGCACUGCCAGUAACACUGCACAAGAACUUUAAGAGAGAUCUAUGAGAUAAGACUAGAAAAGUAUUUUAAAUAACUGGAAAAGGAAAUUGAGAAACGGGAAAAUUAAGUAAGAAGAAUUGCAUACUUUUGAUGAUUAAGAUGGGUUUAUCAAAAAUAAAAAACACACACAUAUUCACAAAACUAAACACCCCUUACAGAUCAAACUCAAUAGCCCCAUGUAGAUGAUUUUUGGACAAUUAUGGACUCACUAAUGUAUCAUUGUUCCCAAGCAUGUCUAGCAAAAAUUGGACGCACAGCAAGUCUAUGGAUUUAACCUCAAAGUAGGUAUAGGGUUUUAGGCUGAUUCUGCAUUACGAGAUGUUGGAGAGAAUUUGACUUGAUGGCUCCGAAAUGGAUUCUCUCCUUAAAACUUUCUUUGGAGUAGGAGAUUGCUUACCUAUGUCUCCUAUUUCACACAUCAUCACAUUCCUUAACCGUUACUUGAGAAUCAAUUCUUUCUAACUUGAGAAUUAACUCUCCAUCAUUUAAUGAGGAAUGAGCUAGCACCUUUUUAUUGGUUGCACUACUUAUACCUCUAGCCUAUAUGCGGUCUUUAAGCAUCAUUACUUGUUUCCACUUCCCACUCACUGCUAUAGGCUCUUGUUCCUACUCAUCGGGCAUAGCUUCAAGGGCUUGUCCUCGCUUCCACACUACUGUAAGUAUUUGCUUCACGCUCUUGCACGCCACUCCAGGCACUUGUUCUCACCUCUACGCUACUCUUAAGUAUUUGCUUCCCACUUCUGUGCACCACUCCAAGUUCAUGUUCCCAAAUCAUUACCCCUAUUCACCACUUCCCACUUUCCCUUUCGAUCAUUCCACCUACCACAGCAGUCCAUACUCUAGCGACCAUUCCAAAUCCUCUAUGCUGCUCUACUUCAUCUUGUUUCACCUCUUUACGACACUACACCCCAUAAUACUAAUUUAACCUAGUAAAAGUUCAGGGACUAAUCCAAACUUUUGAUAAAUAUUCAAGGAUGAAACGGGCCACAUAUAAGAGAAAAGGGGAUAAAGGUAACCAUCACCAUUUGAAUAUUUGCAAUAGAAAAUUCAUGCUCACAUAGAAAUAUAUAUAUAUAUAUAUAGUUAGCAAGCAAACCUUGGGUUGUUGAUCAGGCUUUGGAAAUUGCCGUAUGUGCACAUUUGCAAGCAAUAAGAUCAAAUGCUCCCUUUGAUUUGCCACAUUAUCUUUCUGAAGAGAUACCAAUUGAGAUGUAAGUAUGGGUCCAAAUAAACAAAUUGAAUUGGCUUUUACCAAUACUUUACUAACAAAUUUCAAAUAUUGGCAAGGGAACACAGAACACCCCACUGCACUGUAAACAUGUAGUUCUACUCCAUUUAUUUUUCACCUGAAACCCAAACAUUUCUUGAAGCCAAUCUAGAAUGUCUUCAUCUUUCUUUCUCUUGUGGUCUUUGGGCCAUGGAAGACCCCUAGUGUUACGAAGAGCAUAAACAGCUGCUCGGAUCUACAAUUAAGGUAAAUAACAAUACGUAAGCAAAAGAAGCGAAAAGCAAAUUGGAAGUUCAAAACAACUAUCAGACAAGAUACAAGCUCAAAAUAUACCUCAGAAUAUUGCAUUAUAGCCUGGUUUGCACUUUCAGGAUCAAGAGGAAGGAUGUUGUAAGGGACCAAGAUCUGUGUCUGUUCUGCAACUUUAUCUUGAGCUUCCAAAAUCUGCACUAACCUUAACCAUAAUUACAUCUUUCACAUGCAAAAAAAAAUGAAAUUUAGAGUUUAUGGUUUCUUAGUAAACUAAUCGAGCCAGUGAAAGAUAUCUACAUCAGACAAGACAAUAAAAAAAAUGAUCAAAGGUCAAAAUAUAUAAAAUAGUUUCACCUCACGGUCAACUUCAAUAGAUUGUGUCAAAUUGACGGCCUUCAAAACCUCAAAAAGAACAUUCGCAGUUUGGUAUGCUUUUGUAAGUUGCGCCCUACAUAAAAAAAAAAAAAAUUGGAUGUCAAGUAAAGAACUAUGAAUAGCAAUUUCCACAAUAAUCACCCAAAUAACUUAACACCAUACCACCUUUAGGACUUACCGAUCAGCUUUAUCAGCAGCACUUGUCAAUGCCUGGAUGUACUUUUUGUAAUAGUGUUGAUAAAAACUUUGCAUUUCACGGGCAUCACUUUUCUUAACCCUUCCCUGUAGAGUUGGAUCAUUCUCCUGUAAUGACAAGAUGAAAUCUCCUCAUGAGACCAACAGCAAAGAAUAGAUAUAAAGAACUAGAAGCAUAAAUAAAUGCAAAUGAGGACAUGUAGACAGUAUAACGAAAUUUAUUAUACAUUAGGUGCACUUCAGCCAUGAAAAGCUCUGAUUACAGAUGAAAUUCUACUUACUAACAUGGACUCCACAUCAGAUCUGUUUGGUAAGGAUCUAAAAUAUUGGAAACUGGUGAUCCUAGGGAAGCUAUACCAUGAACUAUUAUUAGCAUGCCUAGGACACUUCUACUUAUGAACAAUUAACUCCUACGAAGCUCAUCAGCCUUAUUAACAUUCAACCAUCUCUCUAACCAAUUCAUGCUUUCGUAAUCCGUCUAUGAAAAAUUAAAGUCUAAAAAACUCAUCAAUCUAAACCAGUUUAUGAACCCAACGAUCAAGGGUUUAGUUAACUAUACAAGUGAGAACAAUAUGAGAGUUCUGAUUGCCCUACUUGAUAACUUUUAAGAACUAUGUCAACCCAAACAAAAUAAUGUCUUACUUUGAUGAUUAAAACAAGUAUCAUAUAAAUGAAUAAGAAAAAUUCCUGCUCAGAAUGUGCUUUAAACAUUCCCUUUCACAAGUUUCAAGGCUAUCAUUGGCAACUUGUUAUGCAUUUUCAAUGUCUCUGGGACAAACUAGGGUCCGUGUCAAAAAUCACUAUCGAAGCCAUGACCACCCUUCAGAAUAUGAAUCACGAAGCAUCCAAUAUAAAAAAAUGUAAAAGCUAAUAUGACUUCUCAUAAACAAAAUUAACAAAAUAUAAAAAUUUAUUAACAAAAAGGAAAAAGAAGUUAGCAAAAAAUAAAUAUAUACCAUGCAUGAGAGAAAGGAAGGAGAGGGACAAUUAUUCAGAGUUGGGUUGACUUAGAAGCUAAGAUGAAUUCUAAUAUAAGUGAAUUUGUGAAAAUCCCUCAUCGAUUUUCAAAAGUGAAACGAGUGGCAAGAAUUGUAACUUACAUUCUUAAGAAAAAACUAGAAGGGAGAGCAUAAACACAACUUUCUGCUAAAUCCAAAAGUUUUAAAUAACCAUCACCGACUAAAAACCAGUAGUUAAAACAAGGGAUAAACCCAGUUCCCUUCUGUGUUUUUCCCCCAUCUAUCUAAUAUUAAGCAGCAGAAUAUCAUAAUGGAAGCUCUAAAAAUACCAGGUUCCACAAAAUAUAAACUUGGAAAAAGUCCCAGAAAAAUAGUCAAUAAAUACUUCAUUAUUGGUUCAUGAAUCAUUAAGCUCCAAUGAUAUCAACCAUGCCACUAUUCUCAUGCUUCUCUACACAAAUUGAAAUUCACAAGCUCAUUCUUAGUUAGCCAAAUUUGUGAAAAUCCUUUUGGAAAGCAUGGAUUUCCAAAAACGACAUGAGCUGCAGGAAUGGUAACUCACAUUCUUAAGAAAGAAGCCAAUAGGGAGUGUAUAAACACAGCUUUCUGCUAAAUCCCAAAGUCCACCAUCACGACAAGAAAACAGUAAUUAAAACAGGGUUUAAACCCAGUUCCCUUCUGUGUUUUUCCCCAUCUCUCUCAUGUAUCAAGCAGCUGAAUUUCAGUUUAGCUGCUCUAAACAUACUAGGUUCCACUACAAAUUUAGGAUAAGUUCCAAAAUAUAGUCAAUAAAUACUUCUACUGGUCUGUGGAUCAUUAAGCUCAAAUGAUAUCAAUAAUGCCAUUAUUCUCAUGCUACUCUACCCAAAUUGAACGUCAUUUCUACAUUUCAAAGGCAUUUAAAAUAUAUGCUAAGCAAAUUCUUCAAAAGAGAAGAACGCAAGAUACUCACUCUUUCAAGACGUUGAAGCAGAGCAGUUUUAAAUUGGCGAACACCACGUCCACUGGAAGUGGGAUCCAGCCUGUGAGCUUUCUCAAAUGCAUAGAAUCGACCUACAAAGAAAACCGCGAUGAAAAGAUUCAACUUGAGAAUGCAGAUAAUUUAUAGAAUCACACUACAAGUAACCAAGAAGCAAGAAGCAAAUUCAUAGCAACAACGAACUGAAACAAGUGAUACCAAGAUGUUUGAGGUUGACUAAAGACAGAUAAAUAUAAAUGCCCAUAUUUAAAUAUUUGACAGAACAAAACAGGUGAAAUUUGAAAUAACACUCUCCCAAGGAAAACCAAAUAAGCAGGGAUGUCAAACAUCAACCAAAUCACAGCACCGGAAGAAGUAUGAUUUUAAGAUCUAGAUGACUGUAGACAAAAGUAGACAACACUAAUUCUAGAAAAUCCAGGAAAAAAAACUUCAACGCUAGAAAAUGUUACAAAGAGUUAUCGGCAUACUUCUGCUUCAUUAUUAUUGCAUCUUGCUUCUAGGGGAAAAUCAUUUAAUGGUUCAAAGUUGCAAUAGUUGCUGCUGAUCUUAUAAAAGAUUUACAGGGUAGAAAACAAAUUUUCUUAUUGAGAUGCAUCCGAAUAAUGCAACAUUAGGAAACCCCAUAAUGUACCAUUUUUAAGGCAAUAUAUAGUUGGAAAAAUCCAAGUAAUAGGUUCUCAAAUAUUUGAAAUUUUCAGUAGUUAUCUUAACAAAAAAGUGAGAUGCAAGUAAAAAUAGUACUAAAUAAUAAUUAACUCAGUGAAGUAGACAACAGUGUAAGCCAACUUGUCAAGGAGCUGCAAGCGUAAGUAUAUUUUCACUUUCACCUACAUGUGCGUACAACAGAAAAUAUAUCCAAUAGUACACAAUGUACAUAUGGAAUCAGAAAAGCAGGUUAGAUAUAUUGGGAUUUGAAACUGCUAUACUUUACACACUUAACACACAAGUAUAAGGCUAACUCGUAGUAAUAGUAAUAGCGAGAAACAUGUAUGAAAAUAGUACUGCAAAUAAUGGCGUUAAAACAUAAAGAAAAUCCAUAUUGUGAAAAGCAAACUAAGGCAGAAACUUACAGAGAUAAGCCACCCUUGGGUUGCUUGAUUCGACCUCAUUAGCAACACGGAGAAUGGGUGCAAUCUCGCUAAGAGAAGAUGGCACCACCUCACUGUCAAAAGCUGUCUCUCCUAGAUUACCAGCAGUCUGCGUGCGUGUGAUCCGCCUCAGCGGUUGCGAUUGAUCUGACACCCUGCUCGAGGACAUCUUUGCCCUCGCCUUCCACCCAAAAUCUCAACGGGGAAAAAAACACUAACUUCCCUGCAAGAAAAAAAAGCUGUUUCUUUUCAUCUUGCAUUAGGUUUUAAGAGAAAUACAAAAUCAAAAACCAAAAUUUAACCCUAUCUCAACUUAACAACACAUCAUAAACAUCCAGAAACCAAAAAUGGAAAAGGAAAAAGUCAAGGUUUCAGAAACCAACAAAGUAAAAGCUAGUGAAUCUAAAAUGCGAAGGAGAAGAAAAAGACUCUGGUAAGCAAAGAAACUACAGUGAAACGCCAAAAGAAACUGGAAAUUUUAACUGAAAAUAAAGAUUUCCAAGCACUGUACUUAAACAUAAAAGAAAAACACUCCUAGAGAGAACAAAAAAUAAAGAGUUAAGCAAAGAAGAUGAAGUACCAAGCAAUUAAAGAGAAUACUUUGAGCUACUAAGUCAUCUACCAAAAACAGCAACAGAUUAAACACCGAAAUGGUGAAGGCAAUGUGAAGAGGAAAGAGAGCUCACAGAGAAAAACCCUAAGAGAGAGAAAAACAACUAUAGAGUGAGAAACAGAGACCGAAGAGAGUGAGUGAGUGAGACAGAAGGGCAGCUACUUUAAGCUACUUAGCCUCAAAGGAAGCAAAACGGAGAAGAAUGAAGCUUAGAAAAAGGAGAAUGGACUUGUUUUUUUUCUUUCUUUCUUCGUAACUGCUAUUGGUGGAGCGGGUUGGGCAGAGAAUGAGGCUUCAUGUUUAUUUAAUUUGCAAAAUUGCCACUGUUUGCUAAACCGCUUCUUUUAUUAAAUAAAGUUCAUGCUCUAAAUUUUUCUCUAUGCUUCUUUCUAAUUAUUCGAUGGUUAAGAAAUAAAUUAAUCUUUGGAGAUAAAUAUUUUACAUCUCAAGCAAUUUGAGUUCAAUUAACAAAAUUGAAACACUAAAAAUCUGUUUAAAUCAAUCAAAUUUUUUUUAAACUUGAAUCUCACUCCAAAAGUAAUUAAAAAAAUUCAAAGUAAUUAUUAUCAAUUUGAGUAAAGAGGUUAUAUUUAAAAUUAUUUCAUAUAAGUUUAAAACUCAAUUUAAGAUUAAAUUUUUAGUGCGAAAUUAGAACAAACAAUCUUAAUAUUUAUUUUAAUUAUACGAGUAGGAUAAAAGUGUAAAUAUGUAAUUAAAUAUAUUUCUAUUAGUAAUAUAUUUUUAAAUAAAAGGAUCUAUACAAAUAUAUAGGUUGUUACAUGUCAAAAUAUUUAAACUCAAAAGUAAAAUUUAUUUUGGUUUAACUAUAACCUCAAACAAUCAUUAGAAUUUACUUGACUAAGCCAAAGCUUUGUCAUCUUGGCAUCUAUGAUCAUGUGGCUAUCAGUAUCAAGACAGGUGGUGCUAACUACAUAUCUAGUAGGACUAGUGUUGUAGGGUAUUUUCGACAGGUGAUAUCAAAUUUCAAAAAAAGAUAAGAUUCUUAAUGAACCAAAGCAAGGUUAUUCAGGAAAAAGAAAAAGUAACCGUUCCCAAUUCUUGAAAAUAUCAACUUACCUUCGAUAGAAUCAUCAAAUUCAUCAGUACCUAACUACAAGCUUGGUAUCACAAAUUCCAAAAUGGCCAUGGUCUGUAAGGUCAAUUCAGCAAUCAUUGUAAUCCUUUUUGUUUGGUAUUGAAAGACCUUGGGUGGGGUAAAUUAGAGAAUUUGAUGAAAAGAUAGAGGUAAGAACGGUGUUUCAAGAGCUGAUCCUACGAUUGGUGACAAUUGUCAAUUUGUUUUGUCUUAACUUGAAAAUUCCCAUGUCUCUUUUUUGAUUUUUCCAGUAAGAGCCCAUAAUCGCACACGAGUGUGCUCUCCAAGAAGACCCUUCACACUGACAUGGCAUGUUUCAAUUGAACACCAAGACACUAAUAACCCAAUUGUCUUUAUGAGAUUACUUAUUUAACUAUUAUUAUUUUAUAUAAAUAAACACUAGUGUUUUUUUUAUUCAUGAAACUACUUAAACUCUAUUAAAUUAAAUGAUUAUAUGUUACUUAUACUAUAAGAGAUCUCACAUUCUUCCUCGUGUAGGGUUUAUUCUAAAUUAAUGUGCUCCAUCAAUAAUAAAGGUAGUAGUUUAUAAAAAGAAGAUCCUUCCACAAGUGUUAUGUCUUGUGAUGAUCCAAAAGUGUUAUGUCUUGUGAUGAUCCAAAUGAAAAUAUUGUUUUUAUAUGAUUUAAUUUGAUGAAUGCUAGUAAUUACUUUCAACAGCCAAAUUUCAUACAUCCUAUGUUUGUAAUAAAAAGAAAACAUUAGUUGGUUUUUUUUUAUAAGAGAUUAGAACGCCAAUAGUAUUUUUAAGCAAAUAGUCAUCUAAUAUGAAAUCGAAAUUUGUGAAAACUCAUGAAGAUUCUAAAAAAACAUUAAUCUAUAUAGUUAGCUGAUUAAUCUACACAAAAAUGAACCCUAUAAUGAAUGUGAUGAACAUAGAAUAAACAAUCUUACCUAAUGAGUUUCCUUUUCAAUUUGUGAUCUAUAUACAAUGGAAAUAAAACUUAAUAAUAAACUAGCAUUAUUCGAUCUGAAAUAAGAAAAACGUUAGUCAUUUUUUAUUUUUUUUGUUCGGUUAAAGUCAUUUUUAAUUACGUUGAAAUUAAAAGCUUGUUAUCAAGUUUUGUGUAUAAGUUUAUUUGCAUGUUUGAUUUUAGAUGGAAACAUUUUAUAUAGUAUUUGUAAUAUUUUAAUAAUUACAAGAAUAGAUGAGAAAAAUCACUACAGAAAAAGAGAUUUAAUCAAUCCAAAACCGUUUUUUAUGAUAAAAGUAAUCUCCAUACGAUUUUAUAAAGAAAUGAAAAGAUUAGCAUCGGACAACUUACAUAGAAAGAGAAAAGGAAAUGGAUGAAUUUGCUAAGACAAAAGCAUGUAACUACUUGUGAAUACACGAGUUAGAGUCGCCCAUUGGUUUCAAGGAAAACAUUUUAAACUAUAUAUAAUAACAAGGAUUUGUUAUGGAUAAAUUCACCUCAUUUGCUAUUGUCUAAGGUUGUAUUUGCUAUGGGUAAUUUAUUUAUCAUGAUUAGAUCAUCAAAAUGAAAUAUCACUAUUUUAAAAAAUUAUUUAAAUCUCAUUUAAAAAGAUGUGGAAAUUUUAUCACCAAGAGGGAGUGAUCUCUAAAAUUAUUUUGUAACAUAUUUUCAGCACAACCUUCGUGACAUUGGAUUUUAUGAAAAUACCUUAAUUACUUUGAUAGGUUAUUUUAGGGAAUUAUACUCAUAGAAAUUGAUUCAUGGAUUGUAAUUUCCUAUGCAAAAAAAAUUAUUAGCUUAUAAAUUGUUUAUUCAAUAAUAACUGAAAUUGCUAUUUUCUUCUUAAUCCUAAUUAUUAAUCAUUUUUGGAUAUUUUGGACUUGAUGCUAUUACUUUUUCAAUGUAAUAUCAAACAUAACAAUUUAAAAUCACAUAUGAUUCAUAGCAUUACACCGAGCAAAGAUUACUAGAUGUUUAGAUAAUCUUGGUGGACUUAUCAACAUGAUGAUUAAAACAACACAAUACUCUUGAAAGUGUUAUCAAAUAAUGUGAAAAAGGCUUUGAAUGAUUACUACUAGGUAGAUUAGAAAGUAGCUCGGGCUACGCAGCAAGGUUUGUAAAAUUUUUAAGUUAUUGGUGAAAAAAAUUUAUUAGAGAAAAAUGAUAUUUUUGUAUAAAGGGUUUGUAUUAAAUUUUCUCAAAUGAUAUACAAAAAUGAUUAAAUGAUAUAGAAAAAUUGUUUAUAAGGGUAAACAAUUGAAAUAAUAAUUCAUACAAUUAAUAACAGACAAAGGUUGUGUCAUGAUAUUGACUGAGUUAUACAUCAGAAAGUCAAAAAUGAAUAUUACAGUAGUCUUUUUAGACCUAUAUGAUUAAAAAGUGCAAUGUUAUGGCAAAACAAAAAAACAAAGAGAGAUUUUUGCUAUGUUUACAGAUAAUAUUAUGAGAAAGAAAAUGUUACAUAGUAUAUAACAAAAAAUUAUUUGUUAACAAGAAGUUGAUAUCUUCAACAAAGGUUCCUGAGUGCAAAAUUACAGUGCAAAGUAAUAAAUGAUAUUAUAAUCAUUUUAUAUAUACUUUGGUAAAGUAAGCAGUUUUAAACAACAGGAAAAGAGAAAAAUAGUUUCAAAGGUAGAGAAAAUGAAUCCAAAUUCACUGAAAAUGGAAAAAAAAAACCUUUUGGAUGAUUUCAUCUAAGGAAGAGAAAACUUGGCAAUUAUCCAAAUUGAUCAAAAGUAAUAAAGGUUUCUUGCUUUAACUAAGGUCAAUGAUGAUCUCCCAUUAUGGUUAAUCAAAUAUAGGUUUUGGAAUAGUGUAGCUUUCAUUAGCAUUAAAAGAAGUAGAGAGAAACAUUACUUAGUAUUUAAUAGUUGCAAGUAAAAAACACAUGAGGACAGCUUAAGCAUAGGAUUUGAAAGAUAUAAAAUUUAGAAAAUGAGAAUAAAAACAACUCUUAAUAGAAAUUUCAUAAUCUUAGAAUGCAAUAGUUGGUUGUGUAAAUUUUUUUUUUAUAUAAUUGGGGGAAUGAGGAUUCGAACCUUACUUUUAGGUAAGGGGAUCAUGUACCAAACAAUGAGCCAAAUGCUCGGGUGUAGUUGGCUGUGUGAGGUUGAUCAAAUUAUUGACCGUACUCUUAAAUGAUAAAAAAAUAUAUGUAGUAAAUAUAUAUUUUAAUUAGAAAAUGACAAAUUAAGAUGCAACAAUGAUUAAACAUUCUCAUGUCAAUAAUCAAUUUUUCUGAUCUACAUGACUAAUAAGAUACGUAGGCCUAAAAAUAUGCUCAAUGUGAGUAACAGUUGUUCAAAGAAGAAAAUACAAAAAGCAUUGAAAAGAAUCAACAAAAACAUGGAAUAUAAAUCGAUGCAAAGAAUCUAAGAGAAUAACAACAAAAAAAUAGCAAACUCUAACAACAAUAACCCAAAUGUAGUCAAUUUAAGUUGUAAUUGGGAAAAAAAGAUUAAUAGACGAAAAUUUAUCAAUGAUAAAACCAAAACAUUGGAAAAAAAGAGAUAGGUUUACCAACGUAAGAUAUCAUGAAUUUCUUAAUUGCUUUAAAGGACAACUAUCGAUAAUAUGCAUUGAAGAAAUUUUGGAACAACUUUUAUAACGGUAAAUUUCUUAUAUUUGAAAAAGACAUCAAACUAAAUCAAGGAAGCAAAAAUCUAGUAAAAGAAUAAAAGAGAUAGUUGACUCAAUCUAAGAGCAAUAGAUAAGCAACAACCACUUUUAUGAAUCGAGAAAAUGUUGAUAUCAACUUUCAUAUCAAUCCAUUCAUUUAAUAUAAUAAAUCUGAACAGAAGUUAAAAGGUCUAUGUUUUAAGGUUCACACUUAUUUUAAUGGUAAAAAUAAUCCUUAAUCUUUCUUAAGGCUUAAGUUAUUUACUAACUUUUAUCAGCAUUUUUUUUCCAAAAUACAAUACUCAAAAAUAUAAAAGCAACUUAGUAACAAAAACAUUAUUUGACCUCAAGUACUUUGACAUCGGGAGCAAUGUCUUUGUUAAGUAUCGUUUUGAUUUGCUAAACAAUUACUUUCAAUAAGAUUUGAGAAUUUAUUAUGCAUGCAACAAAUUUUAUACCAAUAAUGGUGAUAAUCAGUACAUUAACAAUUAUAAAAUUGAUUUUUUUUAAUAGUGCAUUUUCUUCCAAUUGUAUCAUUUUAACAAUGGUUGUGUUAUCCAGGAACGGUCUAAAUUUGAAGGGAAGAAAUCGUUUUUGUUGCUAAAGGAGGAAGAGGUUGACCUGCGAUUUGCGACAGAUAAUGAAUCCAGAUGAACUAUGGUUGGUUGUAGAUCUUUUGAUUUUAAAAUAAAGAAUCUUCUCGCAAGCAUAAGAUUGAUUUUUCAUGCGCCUUUGUUUGUCAACUAAUUCUUCCUUUAACAACAAAAACGAUUUUUUCUACUAGAAAAAAGACCAUAAUUAACAGCAAAAAUCGUUAGUGAACUUAACAAAUUGUAAAAAAUAUAGGUUGACAGUAAGAAUUAUUGGUAUAUUUAUAUAAAAUGUUAAUGACAAUAUAACAUUAAAACAAUUAUUUAUUUUUUAAAUGAUUUACCUUUGAUAGGUUAAGUUUGUCAAAUCUAUUAGAAUGAGUAAUAAUUACUUUUUUUGUUAUGUUGUUAAAUUUUUUAGCUUUAAAUAAUUUUUUUUGUUGUAUGUAUUUUGUUUGUAACAAACUUAUUGCUACUAAAGAAGAAAACAUCAUGAAAAUAAUAACAAAUUGCACAAAAAAAUAAUUAAAGAGGGUAAUAAAACAAAAUGCCAAAGUAAAUAAAAGAAAGAAAGGCAAAAAAUGAAAAUAGACGAAUAAAAAAGGUGAAAAAUCUCAUGGCACUUUAUAGAUAUACUAAUUACUUGCCUUAACACCAAGCCAUAAAUAACUGCAGAUACUGUAGAAGAGAACAAUAGCUCAAUCUCAUGUUCAUAUGACCUUAGAGUAAGUACAUAAAUUAAGUACCAGUUUGGAAAUAUAGUCAAUGAUCAUGGAAUGAACAAAUAAAUAAAAAAAUGUCUCAUUUAGUUGUUCAACAAAAUAUUAAGGAGUUUAGAAUUUUUAGCAACAAAAUUGAAUUAUAUGGUAUAGAAUCUCAUCUUAAAGACAAUAAGUGGAAAGAAUCUAGGAGUAUUCUCAUAGAGGAUAGAUGUCGUUGAGAAGAAAUAGCUAAAACAAUAGUUGAUAUUUACAUGAUAAUUAUCCAAGUAAUCACGUGGACUGUACAAAGAAAACAUCUCAAUUAGAAAUUAAACUUCUUAAUAGCAACAUGAUUGAAAACUUUGAUAAGCUAAACAAUCAAGGUCAAAUUACAAAUCCAUUUGAAUUUAUAUCCAAUAUACAUUUCCAUAUUUUGUAUUUUAAGUACAAACAUUUCUCUUUUGAAGAUGUUAAAAUUUAAAAAAUUCUGUUUAUAUACUUUUCCAUUAUCAAACCAGGCUUAUGAAGCAUAGAAGUAUGUUAGUUUUAUUUUAUAAUUAAUGAGUUUGAUUUCAAUUUUUACAUAUAUUUAGGCUAGUUUUAGACUAUAUUAAUUAAUAUUGUAUUUAAUUUUUAAAAAUUUGGGUGUUUAGGUUUAGGUUAUAUUCUAUAUUUUACAUUUUAUUAAGGUUUUGGUUUAAUUAUAAAUACUUAUGUAAUCUUAGUUUCAAUGAGCUUUUGGGUGAUAAAUAUUUGAAAUUUUGAGUUAAAAGAUGAUUAUAAAGCAAAUAUAAAUCAAAAGCAAAGGCAUAUUCAAUCACAUAUAUAUUUAGAGAAAAGAUUAGCAAUAGAACUGAUUUGACACAAUAAAUGCAUACUAAUAUUUCAAAUAAAUAGAAUAGAACUUGGCAAACCAAAAAUCAUUAAACCCAAUUAUCUAAAGCUAGCAAGAUUUUAAAUUUAAAAUAUUGUGUAAAACAUAACUUGAGCUUAGUACUCAAUAAUAAAUACAACGCCGCUGCAAUGUCACGACCCAAUACUCCCUUCGAGCCCGUAACAACUGCCAUGAUGUCUAAACAGACAUUCAUUACUCGGAAUGUCAACCGAAACCUCGCAAGGCUAUUGCAUCAAUUUUACGUCUCCCCUGUGAGCAAUAGUUACUAAAUAUCAUGUUUUAAGAGAAUAUAAACUAUUUUUAAAUCAAAAACAAAAAAAAGUAAUUUCUGCCACACAAGGGUAUUUUGGUCAUUUUUACCCAAAAAUUUUGAAACCUGGUGAAUAUACAACAUACGAUCGAAAAAUAUACAUUUCUUAUCUAAAAAUAAUUUUAGUAAUCUAAAUCAUCCAUUUAAAAUAAAAUUUUGGCUAAUCAAACUAAAUAAAAAUAUUAAAUAAAAUAUUUUAUUUUCUUAUAAAACAAUAUUUAUAGAACUCUGCGUAAAUAAUUUUUAUAGCGUAAAAGCAAAAUAAAUUCAUACAUACAGUGGCACGUGCAGCCAAGUAUACAAAAUAUUCUACAAUGACAUGUGGGCCCCAAAAUAACCGCAAAUAUACAAGAUUGUAGACCUUCAAUUUUUAAGGAUGCAAAUCCAAAAGCAACCCUCGACAAAAUCGGCUGUCUAUAGACUGUCUUGAGCCAGAAAUGGGUAAAACGAAGGGGUUGAGUUUUUAUAAACCUAGUGAGUAAGCAAAAUUCAUCUGUAACAUCUAAAGCGGAGUAAAUGGAGACAAUUAAAUCAUCCCAUCAUAAUAUAGUUCAUAACAUUCAAAACUCAUUUCAAUUCCUAUAAAACAAUUACACUUCAUCAAAAUAAUCAACAAGGCUUAUGAUUCUCUUAAAAACUUGGCUUGUGCCAAAACUCAUAGUCGGUGACACCUUGGCCCGAGCAUCCAAUCGAGUUCGCCAAGGAUGUUAAAACGACAAAUACCCAUAAAACAUGUUUUUACUUUUAAAAUAUAGCUAUUCCAUAGCGUUGGCUGCGUUUCAUCCUCACAUGGUGGUUCAGCGUGAAGUGAACUCUAAACUUUACCUUAGGAGAUACCCUUCGCACCUCUCAUACUAAGAUAAAUAUUACGGGGUUUACAGUGCCCCUCUAAUAGGCUGGUCCACGGAAACCCGCACACUUCAAUAAGCUAAAUACAUAACCCACCAAAUCAAUAAAAUUUCGACAGCAUAACAUGGCUAAUAUAGUAUUAUCUAACCUGUCAAUGUAAGACAAAANCAUCACAUUGUCAUAAGCCAUCAAUUCAAACCAUAUGUCAAUUAUAAAUCCCGUUAUGCCGAUACAUUUAUUACAAAGCAGGGUCGGCAUAACUAACAAUAGUCAAAACAUAUAUAUAACACAAGUAUAUAGUCUCCACUUACUCAAUUUCCAAAACCAGGAUUCAAUUUCAAACCAAAUUAUGAAUCUCAUUUCAUUUAACCAACACUUUAGUUAUAAAACAUAAUAGUUUACAAUUUAAGUUCAUUAUUCUUUAAAAUCAUAAAAAACGAGUAUAAACUACUUUAGAUAGUUAAGAUGAUCGUCUGAUUACUCACUAUAACAGGAGUCCUCCUACUCAUGGUCCUCGGGUACGAUAUCCUUACCCUUACUAGAGGGCUCACCACCUAUACAUAAUACAUAACAAGUAAUUCAAUAUAUUUGUGCCAAACUGUUAUAAAAGUAUUUUAAGCUCUUUAUGAAUGUAUGAAAUUGAAUGAGAAGUGUUCGAAUAAUCACUUAAAGAUGGUGUUCUAUGUAGGUUCAAUUGUUGUUGGACUGAAAUGGUAUUUGACCUAACUCACACUAUACACUGUUUAAUUAGCCAAAACAUUCAAUUCAACUCCAAAUAGAUUCAUUGCACUUUCGGUACUCCAAUAAGUCGGUAUACCUCAUUAGAAAUCAAUUCUAAGUCCAUUUACUAUAAUUUUCUCAUUAUCAUUCAAUUCGUUUACUAAAGGAACUAUAUUUUUCGAUAACCGUUUUCGAUGUCCAACAUCACGAAUCAUCAAAUACGAGCUAGAUAACAUGAAAUAUGACAAAAUUCAUCUUCAAAAUAUUCCAUAUAGAAUUUGGCAAAUUAGGGUUUGAUGAAAAACAUGUUAUUUUCUUGCUUGUUUUUCAUACCGAAUAUCACAAAACACUAAAAACGCCUAGAUAACAUGAGAUCUAGCAAAACCCAUCCUCAAAACCUUCCCCCCUUGAUUCGGCCAGCAUGCUUCCAUCAUGAAAACUUGAGUUUCAACCAUAGAAAAUGAAAAAGAAAGCAUGGGUAAAAUAGAUCUUAAGCUAAAUCGUGAAAUCUUACCUUCGAUCACUUCGUUUUUCGAAAAUCUAAUGAAUUUCUCUUGAAUUUUUCCUCCUUAGGGUUUUUCUAUUAUUUCCCCCUUUGUUCUUUGGCUUUCACGGCAAUGAAGACUGAAUUAGGAAAGGUUUAUGCUUGGUUUAUAAAGGAAAUUAUAAAAAAAUUAAAACUUGACACGUGUCGCCACUUGAUUGGUCCAUGGUUAAAACUUAACAAUUAAGCAUUCUCUUACCACCACAUAUAAUCCCAUAAUUAUCCAAAGUAUAAAAUGAUAAUAGGUGAAAUUCAUAGGCUUGACAAGUAUCAUGGUGGUGUAAAAUUUAAAAAAUUUCAAUUACGUCCUCAUGGGCAUGUGGAAUGAUCGGUUUGCCCAUAUGCUCGGAAAAAUGUCAAAAUUGAAAUUUUUCACUUCUCAAAUUCAAAUUAUGCUCCAAUUAGUCAAACUUUGUCAAAAAUCUUGUCCAACAUUCCAAUUUUGCCCUCGGAUGGCAAAAUGACCAAUUUGCCCCUACAUUAUGAAAAUUCCCGAAUUAACUCCAAAUAAAUCCUCAAAUUCCGAAUCAUCAUAUUAAGACAUUAUAAGAUUCAAUAACUCUCAAAUAAAUCCUAAAAUCUUUAUUCAAACUAGUUCGAGAUUUUAAUCAACUUAAUUGUACCACUAGGUACAAUACCAACUUUUAACGAUUCAACGAGGCAUCCAAGUAUGCAGACAUUCUAUCAAGCAUGAAUGACUUGACAAGUAUAUAAUAGAGUAGGUCUUGAAAUGCAAAGCAAAAAGAAAAUGACAAAAGAAAUUAAUAAGAGAAACCAUGUUUGUAUAGUUUUAAAACUCAUAAGUAAAUGUAUAAAAUAUAGAUCAAAAACCAAAUUACUAAUAAAAUCGAUAUAAAAUAACAUCAUUCGUUCUUAUUAUUGAAAAGAAGCCUCUAAAUAUGACUAAACAUAUAACUUCAGUCUAUUCGAGCAUUAAUAUGAACUGUAACAUCAUAAGAAACUCCAAAGAAAUAAAUAUAAAAAGUAUAAAGAAAAACAGUUAUUGUUGUUAUAAGUACUAACAGACAAAGUAAAGCAGAGUUUCCUACACAAAAUAAAAAAGAGAAAAAAUUUAUUAUAGAAAGCAAUGAAAGCAUACAAACUAAUAUAUCAUUUAUAAUAAGUGUAAAACAAAAAAAAACAUGCAUAAUAUAAUAUUAUGUAAAACAUAACCUAAGCUUAGUACUCAAUACUAAAUACAACACCCUUGUAAAACAAAAAGAAAAUGACAAAAGAAAUCAAUAAGAGAAACCAUGUUAGUAUAGUUCUAAAACUCAUGAGUUAAUGUAUAAAAUACAGAUCAAAGAUCAAGUUACUAAUAAAAUCGAUUUAAAAAAACAUCAUUCGAUCUUAUUAUUAAAAAGAAGCCUAUAAAUAUAACUAAACAUAUAGCUUCAGUCUACUUAAGCAUUGAUAUGAACUCUAACAUCAUAAUCAACAAACUAAAGCAAAGUUUCCUACACAAAAUAAAAAAGAGAAAGAAACUAAUAUACAAAGGCAUGAAAGCUAGAAAUUAAUAUAUCAUAACUGUAAAAUAAAAAAAAAACAUGCAUUAACAGAUUAGUCCAUCUGCAAGAAACUUUUAUAGACAAUCACACAUUAUAUUUUAAUAGAAAGAUUACAUUUCCAAAUGAGAAAACAGAGGGAGCAAUUUGAAGCCAUUUUUGGUACUCAAUCAAGUAGCAAAUUGAAGUCCAAAUCAUCCAUGAAACAACUAAAAAAGAAAUAGGUGGACACGAAGAUCUACCAAACCGCGAAUACCCAAACCCAUUAGAAAUUAAAAUCUUAAACCUUAACAAAGAAAAUAAUUUUUAAAAAAAAUCUGAAGGACAUUAGAGCAGGGAAAACAUGUAAAGCAUGUAAAUUAUCAAUCAAAUGAUCGAGGAAAAAUAAAUCAAAUGUCUAAAUCCCUAUAAACCUAAAACUCUAAUGUGGCUGUGGAAAGACAAAAGGAACAAUGGACAAGAAGGAAAGAAUGAGGCGGAUAGCAGAAAACCCUAAGGCCAAAAGAUAAAAGGAAUCGAGGGCAGGAAGGAAAGAAUGAGGCGAAUAGGAAAAAACCCUAAGGUAGGUGAAAAAUGAUGUAGGCAUGCGGGCCGUUGAAGUUGAUCCCAUGCCAAAAGUAGACCAAACCCUAAUCCCACACAAUAAACCCCUUGCCUUCCAAAAUAACCCUUGAGAAAGCCAUGUGACAAAAAGCAAAGCCACAUGUCAGCAUCUUAGCCAUUAGGAGACGUGGCCAAUUUUGGAAGGCCCUUUGGGGCUUCCUUUUAUAUAAGGUUAUUGAUAUGUCCAUCGUUUAGCUCGAGUCUAGUUAACACCUUAAGUACCCCAUGUUCAAGAUUGAGCUCAAUUCAGUCUCCUCAUUCAAGUUAGGUAUUUGGUUUUAAUAUAAAAAUAUUUAAAAUAUUUUAAAAUGUAUUCAAAAUUAAAAUUUUGAUUAUAAUAUAUUAUCUAUUAAUACAAUAAGAUUUUCAUGCCAAGCCUAAAAAUUAUGUCCAAGGCUGGGUUGUGAACCUAUUGCAAGGUGAUCUUUAAAUUUUUGCUUCAAAAUUACAAAAGAGAUCUAUCAAAAAUAACAUCAAAGGUAGUUUAACAAAAAAAAGAGACAAAUUUUUUUUAGCCUUCAAAUAUAAGGUGUUGUUGGAAAUAACCCUCCCCAUAAUUUUGACUAUUUUUAGCCAAGAGAUAAGAUUUUUGGACAAAAAUGCCUUUAAUUGAAACCUUCUCAUCCACGUGCAAUCAUACACUUGUAGAUAGGUGAAAAAAAUAUUCCCAGAAUUUGGUAAACAACAAUUUGUUAAAACCAUCCUCUUGUUGCAAGAAAUGAUUUUCUCUUAUUUAUUAGACAUUGGAGUAAGUAAAAACACUAGGUAUAUAAAAUGGCGAGAUUAUUAAAUGAUCAUUUCAUUCAUUUUGAAAGAUAGGAAAGUGUUUGAACAAGUUCAGAGCAAAGUAAUCAGUGACAAUAAAGAAGCUGGCAACACAUGGUAAGUUAGGGAAUGUCGAAUUUUUUGUUGUGUUUUAAGUGGGGUUAGUGAUUUGAAUACCAUAUUGGUUGAGAAUGUGGUUUAGGAUUUUGUUGUUAAACAGUAUUUGAAGUUGUGGAAAUCGUCAUAGAUAUUAAAUGAUAGGGCCAUUUGGGUUGAAUGUUGUAGCAUAUGGAGAGAAAAUGGGCAUGGCAUGUAACAAUCUGAUGAUUUCCUUAAUUGCAUAAAUAUGGUGUGUAGAAACCAACGAAUUUGAGGCAUAGCGUGUGUCAUCGUAUUUUUAAAUGUACGGCGUGUAGAAUGUUAUGAAAUUUAGGCAUAGCAUAUAACAACAAUGGUAUUGUAUGUAUGGCAUGUAACAAAAUAGUUAUUAUACAAGGCGUGUAACAAAAGAAAUAUUUUUGUAAAUGUCAUGGAGCUUCUUUAAUUAACUGUUUAGUGCAUUUAGCUUACAUGUGCAUUAUUGUAUUCUGUUGUAGAUGUAUUUUAGAAAGUACAAAAACGUUGAGAUGAAAUAAAAUGAGGAAUCGGUCAUGGUGAGUCUAAAGAAGGAAGAGGUGAAACCAUAAAUUUUUGCUAUUACGUCGACUCCAAUUAAGGAAGAAGAGGAACAGGAAAUCCGCAAGGGUUAGUUCUAAGUCGGUUUCUUGAACAACAUCACGCUUCUCAUAAUCAAUGAACCAGCGCAGUGGAUCAUCAUUAUAGAGUAACUAGGAGAAACAAGCCAAAAUGGACAUAAUGUCCAAGGAUUAAUCUUCAUGGCUCUUAUUGCCAGUUGAAAAUUAACAAAAUUGGCGAGAUGGGAAUACGAGAGAAGAAGAUGAAUCAAUUGGACAUGUGGCCAUUUUUGCAUCAUUGUAGUGGUUCAGGGUUGACUGUUGACUAUUUAUGGUUUAAGGUUUAGGUGAGAAAUGAUAUGAGAGAACUAAAAUUCAGUAAAAUAUGAUUGACGCUAAAUUAACUAAUGGAAUUAUGGUGUCAUUGGGGAACGACUUACAUAAAUGACUUCACGUACAUGUUGAAUUAUGUAGGUAUUUAUUGUAGUUAAAAGGGUUUGGGUAGACAGAAAACAUAUAAAGAAAUUAAUAUUGAAAAUGGAGCAACUUAAGAACGUAACAGUUUUCAAGGCAGGCAAGUGAAGAGACAUUUAGUCUGUAUACAUUUAAUCAGAGUAAUGAGAAUCAAGACUGCUAAUUUAACUUAUCAAAACUCUACAUUUGAAUUUAAAGUUGUUGGAUGAAUGCAAAUGCUUCUUGGUAUGAUACUUUAUAUCAAACACAUGAACAGGCAAGCCAUCUGUUAGUUGUUACGCAUGGCUUGUAACAAUUGUAUUUGUUGGCAUGGCAUGUAGUAACAUGGAUAAUUUAGGCUUAGUGUGCAAGACUUGGUGAAAAAAUGUUGUUGUUAGACACUGUGGAUAAAAAUUUGAUUUUAAGGCAUGUAUUGUAAGAGUAAUUUCGCAAGGUGUGUAGCAACUUAGUGAUGACGCAUGGUGUGUUUUAACCAAAUAUCGUUAGGUUGACGUGUAACAAGUGAGCAUAUUUAGGCAUGGCUUGUAAUAAUUUAGUCUAGCAUGUAAGAAAAUUGAACUUGUUCUGCAUUGGGUUUAAGGUAUUAAGGAGUCAUUUUGAAGACAAAUCACUAAAUAAAGCUUCAAAUUCUCUCAUCUCUUUGCAUGCAAUUUUGUUUUUAUAGGAGUGAACACUGAUUAAAGUUUGGCUCAUGUGUUUUUAUAAUUGAAAACUCCAUUUUUCCCAAUCGAAAACACCUAUUUCAUUAAAAAAUAAAAAAAAUCCCAUAUGAAGCCCUAGGGUUUAGAAUUUUCAAAUUCUUGUCUAUACUCGGGCUCAAGGCUUGAACAAAUAUGAAGAAAAGCUAUUUGAAACCUUUGUGAUCAUUUCAAUUGUUUGAGUUUCACCAAAAACAACUAAAAAGCAAAAUCCCCAAAUUGCCAUUCCCCUUUAGUGCACAAGAACCAUUGGUCGACGACAUGAAGGUAACAUUAGCAUCAACAGCAGCAUCGAAAGCGUCAGUGCUUUUGUAAAGCCUGACCUUAUAAAAUACUUAUCAUGACAUACAUGUGAUGAUAGCAUGAUUGCAUGCUAGGAGAGUCUCGAAAAAUUUACAAAAGUCGGUAUUGUACCUAGAGGUACAACAAAGUUGAUUUAAGCCUCGAACUAGAUCAAAUAGAGAUUUUAGGGUGAAAUUCAAAAUUUUACAAUCAAGGAAUGACUUAAAAUGGUGAUUCGGAGUUCGAAGAUUAAUUUGGAGUCAAAUCGAAAUUUUGACUAUCUAGCGGUAAAAUGGUAAUUUUGCCACUUGAGGAUAAAAUUGGAAUAUUGGAAGAAGUUUUUGAUCAAGAUUGAUCACAUUUGACUCAUUGGAGUAUAAUUUGAGGUUGAUAAGUGAAAAAGUUAUAAUUUUGGUAUUUUUGGAGCAUAGGGGUAAAAUGGUAAUUUUGCCACCCUAGGGGCAAAACAAUAAUUUUCCACCAUCAGGACAUUUUUCCAGAACAUGGCCUUCCCUUAUCCUCAUUUUGACCUUUGACUAAUCAUGUGGUGGAGAUAAAAGGUUUAAAAUUUUUAAAGUUUAAAAAAUGGACCAAUAAGAAAAUGACAAGUGUCAAGCUUAAGAUAUUUUAUUAUUUAACUUAAAAUUCAGCAUAAAUCAGCCCAUUAUCUCUCCAAAUAUUCGGCCAAGCAAGGAAGAGAGGGAAAGAAAGGAAGAACAAACCCUAGGUGAAGAAUUUCAAGAGAAAAAGUGUGAAAAAUCAGGGAAAACAAGUGAAAAAGGUAAGAUUUUUCAACUUAAGCUUUAAAUCUAUUUUCCUAAAGCAUUUCUCCUUAUUUUCCAUGCUUAAAUUACAUGUUUUCAUGAUGAAUUCAUGGCUGGUCAAAAUGGGUAAGGAGAGAGAAAGAUGUUGGAUUGAUUUGAUUUUAAGAUAUGCUAGUGUUUUUAGUUAGUUUAGCAUAUUUAGAAACAAAACAACAAGAAAAGAAUUCAUUUUCUCCAACAACCAUCAAUGGCCGAAUUUACCAUGUGUUGAGUGAGGAUGAAUUUGAUUUUAUUCUAGGAGAAUUGGUUAGAAAAUGAUGAAUUAUGGUGUGGAAAAGUAGUAGGAAAAAUCAUGGUGUUAAUGCACUAUUAUUGGUCGAAAAUUUUAAGAAGAAAAGUGAAGAUAGUUUUGCCAAAUUUUAGGUUAUUUGAUUUGAGUUUGGUGAAUUAAGAUAUUGGAAAAGAAUUGGAACAAUUUGGAGUAAUUUGGGAUUAAAUUGGACGCGUUAGUAAUUUAAUCGGGUGAUAAGACGAAUUAGGCCAAUACCGGGUUUAGAUAGUUACCAAUGCAUUUUUGCAUUCCAUAUCAUGCAUUAGUAGUCUAAAUUAGUUUAAUUUCAAUUUAGUACCAAUGUGGUGAAUUUCUUGAUUUUGUACUAUGUCAAGGUGGUGAGUCCUCCGAUAAAGGUAAGGGAAUUACGCCCGAGGAUCAGUAGUCUGAGUAUUUCGAGAAUCUGCACUUUAGACAUUGUGAGUAAACUUACUGUCAUUUUAAUUAUCUAGGGUGAUUUUUAGAUGAUUUCAUGAAUUCUAUGGAAAAAGGGAUUUAAAAAGGUAAAUUUUCAUGUUUUAUGAAUAAAUGUGUUUCAAUUAAAUUAAUUUAUAAAUUGUUUUGAAAUUAAUAAUGAUGUUGAAAAAUAGAGUACACGAAGACUAUUAAUUGUUGCAAUUCGAUUGUUUAAAUUGAUUGGCUUAUGAAUAAUCUAGCAUGAUUGGCUAGUUGGCAAUUGUAUUGAAAUACGAAUUGUUUGGUUGCCUUGAAAGAUUGCGAAUUACAAAAAUUGCCUUAUCAUGUUAUUGAAUUUUAUUGUAUGGUGGAUUAUAUAUUAAUUAAUCACUGCAGUAGGGGGUUUCUGUGGAUUAGCCUUUUAGAGGGGCACGAUAUAUCCCAGUAUAUUUUUACCUCGAUCGGAGAGGAGCGUAGGGUAUCUCCUGGGGUAAAGUUUAAGGUCCACUUCACGCUAAACCACCACGUGAGGGUGAUUCAGCCAACACCAAGGAACGGCUGUGAUGUCCAAAAAAAAAUGUGUUUUAUGUGAAAUGUGAAUUUUUAACAGCCUUGGCAGUCUCGGUAGGAUGCCUCGGCCAAGGUGUCCCCGAGGAUAGAUUUAUGGUACAAGCCUAGUUUUUAUGAGAUUCAUAAGCCUUUUUACGUAUUUUGAAUGAAAUGUGUUCUAAUGUUGUGACCCAGUUUAUGAUAAUUUAUUUUAUUGUCUCCAUGUACUCAACUCUAGAUGUUUAUGAUGAUGUCUGUUUACUCACUGAGAUUUUAUAAUCUCACCAGCCUCCUUUCCAUCCAUUUCAGGCUCAGAUUAAACUGUAGAUAGCUGAUCUCAUCGAGGACUACUGUGGGAUUUGCAUUCUCUAAACCGUAGGUUCACAGUCCUCCUUACUUUUGGUUAUUCGGGGGUCCACUGGUUAUUGUAAAUUAAAUUUCGUACUCUAGAUAUCUAUACUACUGUAUGUAGGAAUUUAUUUUGCUUUGACGCUGUAAAAAUUAUUUACGCAGUGUUUUAAAAAUAUUAUUUGAUAAGAAAAUCGAAUAUUUUACUUAAUAUUUCUUUUAUUUUCUUAUUAUGUCCAAUUAAUUAUAAUUUCAUUUUAAAUGAAGAUUUUAGAUUUUUAAACUCAUUUUGAUUAUGAAUUAUGUGUUAUGUACUUGUAAAUUAGAUUUUAGCAGAUUUCAAAUUUUUGAAAAAAAUGACCAAAAUACCCCUGUGAGACGAAAAUUAUUAUUUUAUUUGUUUUAAGUUGGAAACAGUUUAAAAUCUUUUAGAACGUGGUAUUUGGCAACAGUUACUCAUAGGGGAAAUGAGAAGUUGAAAUUAAAGCCUUACGGGGUUUCGAUUAACAUUCGGGGUAAUGAGUGUCGAUUGGGACAUCGCAGCGGUUGUCAUGGGCUCAAGGGGAGUACCAGCUUUAUUGGAUUCAAUGUUGUAUAAGAUACUGUCUUUACUUCCCAUAAUAGAUGCAGUGUGCACCUCCUUUUAACAUGUAGUUGGAAUUUUUCUUAGUUCGUCAAUUUCUACUUUUGAUUGUUAAUCAGAUCUUGAUGGUUAUCAACUUUUUUAGGUGUAUUAUAUCUAUUGCAUUAUGUUGAAGUCUUGAAGAACUUUAGUUACAAAUGUCCAUGAGAGAGAAUUGUUGGGGUUUGCUACCUCGUAGUCUCUUUAGAAAUAAAACAGUCAUCAAAUUGGAACUGUAUUUUAUACUACUAUUGUUAUGAGCAUUCUUACUGACGUAUCGUUUCCACGUAUGAAGACUAUCCAUAAUGGCGGUGUAGACUUUGUUGAUGAUGAUUCAGUUCGAAGGCUUUGGUUUGGUUACCCUGCAAUUGAAAAGUUGUUGAUUCGACUUGCUCAUCAAUUUGAAAGUGUUACUAAGUUAAAUAUUUGUAAACCUAAUUGAAGAGAUUGAAUUUAUAUGAUCAUGGUGAAAUGUUUGAUAAACCUUUUCAUGUUGGCUUUGAUGGCCCAUGGAUUUCAAGAUGAGUUCAACGUUGAUGUUGUAAGUACUUUGUUUAAUGGCAUGAGUAAUGAUGAGUUAUUGCGAGUAAGUUCACUGACUUUUUUGUGGAUGCAACAUUUUAAUUAUAUAGUUGGUAUAAAUAUCCCAAAAUGUAACAAUUUAAAAAAGACUUGAGAGAAAUGCUUGUAAAUUAUUGCCUUGUAGAUCUAUGUGUAAUUUUUUGCAUAGUGUAAUAUAUUGAAUUUGUAGUUUUAUUGCAAGUUAUAGUAUAAAACUUGGGAAUUUUUUUUCAUUGUCUCAUUUUUAGGCUUUUGGUUUAGGGCAGAAGCAUGUGACUCUUUGUUCGUUUGAAUUAUGAAGCUUCUUUUGGCUGUAAAAGAAUCAUUAUGUUAGCUACAUAAUGAGGGUUUCCUUAAAAUGGUGUUAAGAGAGUAUAGAAUGACAAGGUAUAUUUACGCAUAAAGUGUAACUGACAAAAUAUAUAGGCAUCGCGUGCAACUAGCAAUAUAUAUAGGUAAAGUGCAUAAUUGAAUAUAUAUAAGGUUGGUGUGUAACUGACAAUAUAUAUAGGCAUGGCUUGUAAGUGAGAAAUAACAUUGGCAUGGCGUUUAACAACAAUUGCCUAGUAUCCAUGGCUUGUAAUAAUAGUGUCUAUAGGCGCAUUUCGUGUAAGAAAUUGGUCAUAACACGUAUUGUGUAGAUGUCAUAAAUUAGAAAAUAGAAAUAAAAAAGUUACAUCCCAAGAAAUGUAUCUUAAUUUAAUAAUGAUAAGAGAAAGUUAUAACUGAGCAAUGUUGGUAAACAUUGUGUUGGAUAAUCAUACCCUUAACAUGAAAAACAAUGGACAAAUGCAUUAAAUUUUUUAAGGAAAAAGAAAAUGAUCAACAAAACUCUUUCAAGCUGGAAAAAAAAGAAGAAUUGAAGCAAUUGUCAUUGAAGAUUGAACGACAUUUUUAGUAGCCCGAGCGAUUGUCUCAUCUAUAUGGCAUCUCCAAUUUGACAACAAUGAUACAAAAAGCAAAGGUAUGUGGAUUGGGUCACAUGAUGUGGGUUAUAACAUGCCACAAGUAAAAAAAGUGGGUUUUAACAUGUCGCGAGUAAAAAAUAAAUUUCGUUCACACGUGUUGAAACUAAUAUGCUCCACGGCAUCUGAAAAAAGGUUGUUGUUUCUAGAAGAGGUGGAAAAUAAAAGUUACAUGCCAAAUUAAGGUUGGUAAACAUCAUGUUGGAAAUUUUUGUUGUAACACGCCAUGGCCAGAUUAUGUGACACACUAUAAAUUUAACCACUGUAAUCUAAUAGAAAAGAGUUGAAGACAAAAAUGCCCUUAAUGAAAUUAUUCAAAAUUUCCCUUAAUGUAUAUAAGCGGUGAGGUAUUUAACACUCCAUCACAUUUUAUACUCAUUCGUAAAUCGAAGGAUCAACUAAGAGUAGAGAGCAGAGAAGGUUUGAUUCAUUCUUAUUUCCUCAUUCCCAUAGGUAUCAAAGUGUUGAACCAAGUUCUGAGCAAAGUUAUAGGCAAUUGCAACAAAUUCGUUACUGUGUAUAGGUUAGUUAGUGGAUGGUGAAUUUUUUUAUAUGUUUUAAGUGGGUGUUUUGGAUGAUUAGGUUGGUGUAUGAAAUGUUUGGGUUUAGGGUAAUGCUUGAUAUAUUUUUCCUUUUUUCUUUUUCAAUUUGGGGGGGUUUCAUCUUCAUUUUACAUGCAUUUCUUGGAGACAACUACCACAUAUAAUUGACAUCUUUUUAGGCGUGUAAUAAUAGUUUAAAAAAUCUGCAUAAUGUGCAACAAUGAUAAAUUUGUUAACUUGGCAUGUUGCUUCAAUUUGGUAUAAUGUUAAUGGCGUGUAGCAUGUGCAUGGGUGAUAUGUUUUAUAAAUGGAGUUGAGACAGUACGAUAACUUUAAGGCAUCUCUUGUUUUGUUGAGGGAGAAGUGGGCCUUCAACGUCUCCAUCAACACCCACUGUAAAUGGUUGCAACUGCCAUACAUCAACAAGAUGCUUUUUGAGAAAGGGAAGUACACAAUAGUGAAACACACAUGUUUAGGUAUGAUGCUGGACGUCCAUCCAAAGGGAUUCUUCUGCGUUGGUUUCCUAUAGAACAUCAUGGCUUGUCUCACUGAGCCUGAUUCAAUGGAGCAUGAGUUGUGGUUUACUAUUAACAAGACGAAGGCAUGGUUCUCCAAGUGGGUGUUCUGCCUCAUUACAAGACUGAAGUUUGGCCCCAUGUCAGAUAUAUUUUGUUGACUGUAUGAGGUCAUCCUCAGAGGCAUUCACACGAGAUACCGAAAUGGGAAUAAGAAUUUGAAGGUAUAACAAUUUCUUGAUACGUUACGAAGAGGCAACUUUGAGCAACCAGGAGAUGUAACAAAGAUGGCCCUCACCUUGAUCGUAAAUAAUAGUUUAUUCGAACAAGACUACAGAAAAUGAGUGACGCUUUGGUUGUUGGCAUUGGUUGAGGAUAUUGACGCUUGGAAUGUCUUCCCAUGGGGUCAUUCUGUAUGGAGGAUGACUAAGGACUACCUAUUGAAGGGGUUCAAAGUUCCUGAUGAAUGCUUGGACAAGCAAAAUCCUUUAUGCUACAACCUUUAUGAAUUUACGUGGGCGAUACAAUUACUAUCAUGAAACAUUUUUCAGUUUACUUUUGACAUAAAAUUUUUUUGUUAACAUGUCAUGUAUCAAUUAGAUGAUUAUUAAGUUUACAAUUGACUUGUAGUUUUAGGCAAUGGAGGCCAUUCUUGCAUUCCAAACUUUAAUUGUGCCAAACAUAUGCAAGGAUGACAUGUAUCCAUUUAUGUGUAGAUGGUAGUGCAAUCAGAAGCCGAAGGAGUUCUACAAGGUGGUGCAACAGUUAGAGUCAUCUCAAUAGGUGAGGGAAAAUCUACUAAUAUAAACUGUUCAUCUGUCAACUAUCUUUCAAAAUCUAAUAUUAAAGUAUGUAUUUUGCAGUUGUGGGCACAUGAAACCUUAGAGCCAACCCCAGAGGAGGCCAUUCGAGAAUAUUGGUUAGACAUAAAGGUCCAUCUAUUUGAGUGGAACCAGCACGUGCCAAUAGGGCAUAUGGAGAAUUGACUAGAAUGAGGUCUCCAACAAAGACUAAAGAGGAAAGUGUUAAAGGAGAAAAGAGUGUUUGUCCAUGUUAAGCAGAGGCGCAUAACUACUGGUCGAGAAGACGACCAGUCACUCCCUCAGUUGUAAGGUGUUAUUUUUAGAUCCCACUAAAGAUGCAUGGAUCACAAUGGUUAGCAAAUACAGGUCAAGCCUGUACAUGGACCUAUCAUUGCAUUGCCAAGACGAGAAGGAUGCAAUGGUAGAAACAUAUGAAGUGCUCAAGAAAGACGCUAGGGUAAGGUAAGCUUAAAAUUGUACAUUUCAUGCAUGUGCAUUUUCAAUUAAUUCAAUCUUGCCACCUUUUGAUUUUGGUAGAUUAGAUGUCUAGUUGCAACAUGAGGAUCUUAGGGGAUCAAUGACCAACAUUUUUCAUGAAUUAAUAGUAGUUUGAUAGCCAAAUAAGGAGUGAACAAAUUGAUGCUUACCUUGGUGUCAUCUGCAAACACCUUACAAGGUCGAUGUCCAAGUUGUACAGCACACAUUAUUGUUUGGUUGAUACAACAUUCUUUGUAAGUUUAUGGUUUACAAUUCUCAAUAUUGAUAAUCUGUCUAUGUUUUGUACUUAACGAUGUCUAAAAACUUUGUAUAUAUUUGAAACACACCAUUUGUAUGCUAUGCAUUCAAAAUGGUAAGAUGUUGAACUUAAGUAAUAUGAAAAUUCCUCUUCAGUUGUUGUUUUACUUGCACAGUGAUAUGCCAACAUACUAAAGAAAAUGGGCAGGAGUGGAGUUCAUACUCGCACCAUGUAAUGUGGAUGGGCACUAAGUGGUUGCGAGUAUCAACUUGGUUAAGUGGAGUAUAAUGAUGGUGGACUUCGCACAAACUUUUAUUGCUAUAGAAUCUGGACUGCAGGUGGCUCAGAUGCAAUGCCUUUGUACAAUGAUGCCUACUAUCUAUCAGUAGUCCAGUUAUUUCAAUUAUAAGCACCACAAGAAACUAGACUUAAUGUAGAUUCCACUCGAGAUAACAUUACCCAAAUCGGUAACACAUCGGCAGAAUGAUUGUUCUAGCUGUGGUAUGUUUGUUGUUGGAUAUAUUGAUGAUAUUAUACAAGGGGGACAAAUCAAAGUAAAUUAGUCCCUUAUUGCAAACAUGCGGAAGCAAUUCACUUUUGAAAAUUUUUCCAACAGUUGUUCGAGUGAACCCAAAACUCAUCGUAAUUGAACAGUUGUAUGCACAUUUAUGAACAAAAUUAAGUUGAAUAUAUAUAGAGAUCAUAACUUCUUUGAAUGUGUUAGAGCUUUAGCAAUCAUGAGCGCAUUUUUUGAAAUGAGUAUGUAAAAUUAUUAGAAUACGAACAUGUGAGUCAUUUGAUUCAUUACGUGUGUGAAAGAAGCAGUUUUUUUUUAUUUUUUUAGGAUGGCAUGUUGCAUUUUCUCAUGUUAGGUACGAUGUGUUGCAUAUUCGCAUGUUAGGGAUGGCAUGUGGCAUAUUGGCAAGUUAGUCAUGGCAUGUUGCAUAAUCGCCAGUUAGGCAUGAUGCUUGCAUAUUUGCUUGUUAGGCAUGGCAUGUCGCAUUUUCACAUGGUAGGGUUAGCGGGUCACAUUUUCGCAUGUUAGAGUUAGUGUGUGGCAUAUUGGCAUGUUGCAUAAUCACUAAUUAGGCAAGGCGUGUUGCAUUUCGUUUGUUAUGCAUGGUGGCUCGCAUAUUUGCAUAGUAGGCAUGGCGUUUUACAUAUUCCCAUGUUAGGGUUAACGUGUGGCAUAUGCACAUGUCAGGCAUGGCGUUUCGCAUAAUCGCUAGUUAUGUAUGGUGUGUUGCAUUUCGCUUGCUACGCAUGGCAUCUCGCAUAUUCAAAUAGUAUGCAUGGCGUGUCGCAUAUUCGCAUGUUAGGUUUGGCAUGUGGCAUAUGCGCAUGUUAGGCAUGGUAUGUCACAUAAUCGCUAGUUAGGCAUGACAUGUCGCAUAUUCGUUUGUUAUGCAUGGCGUGUCCAGUUUUCACAUGGUAGGCAUGGCAUGUCGCAUAUUCGCCUAUUAGGGUUGCCUGUUGCAUAUUCGUUAGUUAGGCAUGUCUUGUCACAUAUUUGCCGGUUAUGCAUGGCUUGUUGCAUAUUUGCAUGUUUGUCAUUGCUUGUAGCAUAUGCGCAUGUUAUGAAGCGCAUGUUAUGAAUGGCAUGUCGCAUAUUCGCAUGUCAUUCACGGAGUGUGGCAUAUUCACAUGUUAGCCUUGACCUGCCACUUAUUUAGGUAUUUGGCAUGUCCUCUAUCAUUUUACAAUAUCAGGCAUGGCGUGUUAUAUCGUUUGACUUUUAGGACUAUAUGUUACAUGCCACUCUACAAGUAGAUUAUCAUCUUGCGUAUCUUCAUGUAGCCGCAUGUCUGACAAAUCUUGCUGCAACAUGCGACGCUAACAUCAUUGGCAAGUUUUGAUACAUGACUAGUUGAUGGAAGAUAGGGAUUUCUAUCUUGGAUGUUUUUGGACACUAAUACAUUUGACCAACUUUUGUUAGAAUUGCAUAGUUUUGUUGAUUGUUGGUCUCAAAGAGCAUGCUAGAGGGGGGGUGAAUAGCACGUUUGGAAUAACACGAAAAUUCUUUCCAAGUAAAGAGCUUAUUAAGGGAAUUUGAAAAUGGAAGUUUAAAGCUUGUUGGAGGAAUGAUUUAAAUGUUAAGAGUAAGAAGGAAAAAAAAAAAAGAAAGUGGACAAAACACAAUGAUUUAUAUUGGUUCGGUUUCCUUGACCUAUAUCUACUACCUUGAUCUCCCAAUCAAGGAUUUUCAAACCAAUUCAUUAAAAUCAGUGAAAUUUCCAAGCUUCCACCAAGCUUUUACAAUGGCUUUUCACAGGCUCAGCCAUAAUUUUUAACAAUGGUUUUUCAUAAGAUCAACUAAAACCCAAAACUAACUUUUCUAAGGCUAAGUUAGAACCUACAACAACAACCAAGCUUACCUAAGCUGGAUCUACCCUUUAAAGUGUCUCUCACACUUUAAGUAAACAAGAAAUAGAGAAAUGAUGAAGUAUAAUUGAUCACUUAGCUUAUUUAAGUUAUAUAAAGUUAAGCUCAAACACUUUUUCAAAGGAUGGGAGUGAAAUACAAGUGUAAAGAGAAGGUUUUUGGUCUUUUAAGCUCAAAAUCACUUUGGAUGGCUUCACUAUAUGAUUUUUGACAGUUAGAGAGGUUUUAAAUACUAGAAAAAUCACUUUUAGUCGUUGGAGACAAAAACUAACCUUUUUUUCCAUUAUGUUGUCUUUUUGUGCUUAAAUUCAAAUGUGCAGACAAUGCUUCAUUAACCGGUUAAAGGUGAGCUUUAACUGAUUAAGUCUUCUCUGACUUGCAUUGUGUAUAUUUAUGUUAACCAAUUAAUAACAGCUUUAAUCGAUUAAUAACUUUCUGUUUUCAAGCAUUGUUUUUGGCUAUCCUCAUUUUAAUCGAUUAAUAUUCCCUUUAACUGAUUGAAGCUUCUCUCCAUUCAUCCUUAACUGAUAAAAAUGAGCUCCAACUAAUUAAGAAGUAUUCAACUUUAAAUCUUUUGGUUCAAUGUUUUGGACGAUCAUUAAUAUUUUGAAUAUGAGUUUGAAUUUUGGCGCUUCUUGACACUUUAACUUUGACCUUUAACCUGUCAAUUCCUUUCCUUUAAUUGAUUACAAGGCUCUUGUUUUGCAUCCAGCACCCACUUAACUUAUUAAAUCUUAUGUUAACUAGUUAAGACCUUUAUUUUUGUCCUUAGUGUGGCACCCAAAAUUGCUUUAAUUCAUUAAGCAUUUGUGUUCAUCGGUUAAGACUAAUCUGUCUUCAUUAAAGCUCUUUCUUCUUUACCUGUUUAAACAAUUAACUCAUCUUGCAAUUGAACAAGCAUAUUGACUUGGUUUCAAAUAUCAAAUAUAUUAAUGAAUUUAAGCUUUCUCCUGCACACUUAAAUAAUAUAAUUAGACACCAAUGAAUGUGUAUGUUUUGUUAUCAUAAAAAACACAUAAAGUCAACAUUCUCUCUAUCUUAUUUUUGAUGAUGACAAAACACUCCUAGAUCAAGAGUGCAAUGUUUAUGUUCAAUAUGAAUGCUUCAAAUCUUUAUGCAUAAUGAGUUGUUUCCCCUUAGAUAAUGCAUUUAGUUUUCUUUAAAGAUUUGCAAUAAAAUAUUUAUGGCAUCUACAGUAGCUAAACAAGAUAUACAAUACCCACAGUAACUAAGUAAGAUAUAUUAAAUAUCCAUAAUAACUAGCAUAUAAUAUUCAACAAAACCAUAACUAAGCAUCAUACACAUAAAUUAAAUAUGAAACCUAUCAAACUUUAUUUAACUUAGUCUUUUUUCUCUCCUUUUUUGUCAUCAUUAAAAAAAAAAAAUUUAAACUCCCCUUUAAUGAGUGCAUCUAGAUUUUCCUUUAAUCUUUAAAUCAAACUUUAAUGAAUAGGAAUCAUACGCAAUCAUACACCUAAGUCAUACAAGCUUAUAGAUAUAGUUCAAUAACUUCAAGAGACAAGCUUGUAACUAUGUAAGAACAAAUGUAUGGGAGUUAAAUCAUUUUAAGAACUUGUCAAGGAUCACUCAAAUAAUGUUAAAGCAAAUUUGAUCAUUUUGUCAUAAUCAAAACUAUAAUAAUUUUAAAGCUAACAAUCUUCCCUUUUUGAUAUGACAAAACUUUGAGCAUAAUUUGCAUUUGAAAUGAUUUUAAAAUCUCCCUCUCAACAUUUGCAUAAAAUUAAAUUUAGUCAUAAACCUUCUCCCCCUUUUUGUUAUAUAAAAAAGGUUAAGAAUAGUGAGCAUUAAAUACUUAAGCUCAAGAAAUAAUGGUUAGCAAAAUCCAUCAAGAAUAUAACCAUUAAGACCAUAAAUAUGUAACCAUAAAGUCACCAAGUCGUUAUAUAUAUGCACUUAAUAUUCUCAACCAAGUCAUUAAGAAAUAUACCCAUUAAGCACAUUCACGUAUUAAUUCCUCCAGAGAAUCAUCAAUAAGAAUGCCAAAUGUAUAUACAUCUGUAAGCAAAAUGUGGACAUAACAAUUAUGAAGUUCAAGAAAGAGAAUCAUAAAGAUAUUCAAUUAGCACAUAAGCCAUAUUUCAGCUCCAAUAGCAAGUGUUAAAGCUCAAUAUAUCAAUUGAUGGAUAUAAGUAAAAUCUCCCCCUUUGUAAAAGCACAAUAUCAAUUAUGAGAGAUGAAUCAUUUCAAAGCUCAUUAUAUCAAUUAUCAAAGCACUAGUAAAGACUUUCCCUAUCAUUAAGCAUUCUAAGCAUAUCAACUUCAAAGCUCAAACACAUUUACAAAAGAUAUGAUCGAUUUAAAGCUCAAGGGAGAAGAGAUAAUUCUAAAGCUUGGUGCUAAUUUUAAAUAUAGAUAUUAAUUUAGAAAACUUAAGGCUUGAUACCAGUUAUGUAUUUCAACAUUCAAGUUUAAUUGAAAAGCAAUAGAAGGCACAAUAUCAAUUUUGGUGUUUAAAAAGAUGUUACCGGUAGCGAAGAACACCAAAUGUUGAAUUCUCACCAAACCUUAUUGUGGUAGUUCUUAAUUUCUUAUGAUAUCAGUGACAAUGAUUGAUUCCCCUUUAAGAAAUCAUAAACUCAAUACAAAUUGUUAGAGAUCCUUAAUAGAUCAAAUAUUAAGAGAGAAAUUAUGAGCCUAGAAUAAAUAAGCAUUCAAAUGGAUAUUAAUUUAUUUCCCUAAUAUUCAAGUAUUCAUGGAACUAAAAGAGUAUAAGCAUUUGAAUAGAUGUUCAACAUAUGCAUCAAAUACUCAUAUUUUCAAGAAAUAUUUGCAAAGUAGUUCCUAGGCAUGUCUAAGGUAUUAUUAGUUUUCAAGCAUCAUUCUCAAUUAUCAUCAAGCAUUAUCAAUAAUUAAUCAUCAUCAAGCAUUCAUUAUUUAUUCUCAAUAUCAACCAACCAAGCAACAUCAAUCAAGCAUUUCUAAGAAAUUCCCUAAUUCAUAUAUAAAAAUAGCAACUCAAGGAGAAAUUAUAAAAAAAAUCAUCAUUAAGCAUUUUUAGUGAGUAUUCUUCCAAUUCAUUUUCAAGCGGUCAUUCAUCUUAGUUGUUUUGAAGCAAGCUUUGCAAGAUGUAUUCUCCAAAUUAUAUAUGGCAUUAUCAAUUUAAGGAGAGUUUUCACAAAAGGCAUAUCAUUAUUAAUAAAACAUUACCAAAGCAUUUUGCAUUUAUUGCAAUCAUGUAUGAGAGUUAUGACCCAAUAAGCACAAACAUGAUUACAAUAAAAAAAUGGCUAUCUUCAUUAAUCAUGAUUCCAAUUUUGUUUAUCAAAAUGCAAGCAUGAGUUUAAUAUAGACAUAUACCCAUUCAAAAAAUAUGCAACAAUUGAAGUUCAAGGUACAUGCAAUUUCUUAAUAAUUCAUAAUUCAUGAGUGAUAUCAAUUGUUAUAGAAUAUUGAAAAGUAAAGCACUUAACUCAUGAUAUAUUCAAAGUGAACAUUCAAUCAUUAAUGAAUACCAAUUGUCAAGAUUUAAGAAAGAAAUAUUUAAUAAAAGCACAUUAGGCAUUCAUUGUUAACUAAAGCUAUAUUUCAUUUGACAUAUCAAGUUCUUCAUGGUAACUUAUAAGCUAAAGUUUGAUGCACAUAAAAUCUUUAGAUCAUGUUAACAAUAAGGCUCAAUGAAGACUUAGUUAAUAUUUAAAUGCAUUUUCAAAAUAAAUUUCAACUAUGUCAGUUUAAAAUAUAUGUCAUGAUCAAACUCGACAAUUAAAUACAUAAUCAAAUGCAUAGCUCAAGUUAAGUUUUAAACUUCAAACCUUAAGGUCAAGAAAAAUAAUAAAUUAUGUAAGCAUGUGCCUUGACCAAUAUAAUAGAUGAACCAAAAUUUAUUUUCAUGAAGUUCAACAAGUUCAUCAUAAUCAAUUUCAUAAGUAUAAUCAAAGAAUCAAUCUUGGAACAAUCAUUUAAGUACAAUAAUAAAGCAUAUUUCAAGAAUUGAUCUUGGGAUUCAUUGAAAAGAUUUUUCAACAUAAGCACAUGAACAUUUUAUUCUCAAGAAAUGAUAUUAUUUAUGUAAGCACAUAAAUUCAAGCAUUCAUGAAUAAUUUUCCAUUUUUCAAUUUUAACAUUGUAAACACAUGAAACUUUAUGGAAUCAAUAUGAGUGUCAUGCUUGGGAAUAGAUAGAUUUAAGCAAUCAAGAAAGUUUUCCUAUUUUUCAACGAAUGUUGUAAUUUCAAGAAUAUGUACUUGCACCAAAUGAUCAUGAGAAUAUUAAUAAUGCAUGUUUUAAAGGUAAAGAAUCAUCUUCGAAAAGGAAAUUCAUGGAAGAAAAUAUUGCAAUGGACAAGAAAUGAAGUAGGAAACAUUUUGGAACUCAAAACUUGUCCAUUUUGACUUUAGAGCACUUAAGAAUCAACUACACAUCCUUGGGGGUCAACUUUUAUCAUUUCAGCAGCAUUUGUUUUUGCAUUUUGUUCUCCAAGAGUUGACUAGCUAUGCUUAGGAGUCGACUAUGCUUCAUCCUAGUACAUUAAAAAGUCAGAAAAAAAAAUGCAAAAAUGUAACAUUCUAAGGUACAAUGAUCUCAAAAUAUAGACUUGUGUGAGAACAAUUUAAAAUUUCAUUUCAACCAUCUUUGGAACAUCAUUUUGGACAUGCACGAUCAAAGAUUCUUCAAGAAAAAUAUAUGAACUCAAAUUUUGGCUUUUAUUGCUCAUUGUUCAUAAGUGCUAGAAAGUUGAAAUGCUCAUUUGAAGAAUAAUGUCUCUAAUAUGAUCAAGCAUGUUCAAUUUUCACAAUGAUGCGUGAAUAUGACUUAUAAAAUGUACAAGCAUUUUAAACAACGUUUAAGCAUAAUAAGCAUCAAAUUUCACAUUUUCAACAUUUUUUCAGUGUAUAGACAAAAAUGCCCUUGAGGUCAUUCAUGCAUUCAUUUGCAAUAAGAACAAGUUAUAAUAGCAUUUUUAAUAUAAGAUACACUUGUUCAAGUUUUAUAUCAUCAAAAUCAUUGUAGCCUUAAGCAUUACAAGAAGGUUUGUUCAUUUGCUUAAAAUAUAAUCAAUUUCAAAUUAUCAUACUCAUGAUUAUAUUUAAGAAAACUCUUUCAAUCUAUUUCAUAAAUCAUGAGAGAAAUAUCAAGCAAAAUGGGAUUUAUGUAAUUCAUGUAUAAAAUCAAUUUUGCUUAACCAUGCUAUGUCAUCAAAAACAAUAAAUCAAUUUCAAUCAAAGAGAAUAAAAAGAUUUUGCAAGAAAAUCAAUUGAUAAAGAUUUAAUCUUUCUUUGCAAACUUUUCAACUUGAAACAUUCAAGAUUAGACAUGUUUUGUGAAAAAUCAUGAGUUCAAUAUCACUCAAUUUUGUUCAAUUAUACUUUAAAUGAUUUAUGAAAUGUGUAAUGAGCAUAAUGAAUCAUGUUUAUGCAUGUCAAGGGUCAUUUUCAAAUAUCUCAUAAUCAUGUGCCAAAAAUGCCCUUAUGACCAUUCAAUCUUAUAAGCAAGCAUGCACAUCCAAUAAGAGCAAGUCAUAAGUUUUUUCAAUAUAAAACAAACUUGUUCAAUUAUAAAUCAUUCAAAACUUAAAGGAUGGCAACAUUUUCCUCAUAUAAGUUUUUUUUGCUUUAAAAGUACCAAUUAAAGUAGUCAAUGCUUAUCAUGCUCAAUUUUAACCAAUUUGAAACAUUCAAUUAAGUCUUAAAAGAAAAGUUGUUCAAAUGGUGAAAUUAUCUUAGACAUAAGGAAAUAAAAAAGUCAACUCUUCAAACUCAAAUUUCCUUGUCUAUAGGCAAUUAUGUAAAUCAAUCUAAUAGGCACAUAUUAGCCAUUUCACACAUACCUUUAAUCACCAAGCUCUUGUGCUCAAGGUUAGGCUUAAAAAUAAUUUUUCUUCAAAAACAUGGUAUGAACCAAUUUCACAAAGCAUCAAGAAAAAUUAUUCAAUAUAUACACAAGUAUUAUAACAAAUCAUUUUACGUAACAAAGCAAAAUUAGUCCAAACAAAUACAACUACCCAAGCAAUUUUCUCAAUUAAAAGAAUGACUAACUUUUGGCAAGAGAUUAUGAAGAAAUAUUCAAGCUCAUAUAGAAGCACAUACGUAUCAAUCUUAGACUUCUACUUCCGUCAAGAUUAUGCAAUUUAUAACAUGUAUCAUAUCAAAUCAAGUUGCAUAGCCAAGAUUUAUUAAUAAAGCUCAAAGAAUUAUGCAUUUAAUAUUCAAGCAAGAAUAGGCAACCAAAGUUUUCAAUUAAGAAAAGCAAACAAUUUAAGAAACCAAGCUAAAUAAAUGAAACAUACAAUAAACAAAUAAUCAAAAAUCUCAUUUAAACAAAAAAAAAGCUUUUAGCAUAGAGAUCACCCAUUUUUCUUUAUAUAUGACUAAAAAGCAUUCAUUCUUCAAGAAUUGUUCCUCCUUGCUCUAGUACACCUACAAGAGACAUUUUUCAUUUGAUUUUUGGUAUCCAAAUCACUUUGGAUCCUUGAAAGUUAAUCUCGUUGCACAAAGUUCCUUUCGGAACCCACACUUAUCUAAAUUUGUAAGGUACAUAUUUUCUAAUUGGACAAAUGCAUGAGUAAUAACUAUAAAUUGUACAAUGAUUGUAUUUGGUCAUUUUGGAAGAUGAGGAAUUCAUGAAAACCUUUUGUUUCUCAUUUAAUAAAUCUUCAAAUUUCUUUGUCACAUCAAAAUUCCCUUUUUCCAAAAUAUCAAUUUUCUUUUAGUAAGCUUCAAAAUCUUUUUUUAAAUUUUCAUUUUCUUUUUCCAAAUCAAUUUUUGUUUUCACCAAAAAUUCACUUUCAACAUUAAGUAUGGAAAUGGUUUUCUUGUGCUUUAAAUUCAUUUUCUUAAACUUAAAUGUUAAAUCCUCAAAAGCAUCAUGCAAUUCAUCAAAAGCAUAUGAAUUAAGUAUACAAGAUGAAGAAAUUACUUUUAUCUCUUCAAGAGCCAUGAGGCAUAAUUCAAUUUGAUUUGAGCAUUCAUCUUCACAUGAUUCCUUGUUUGCAUUUGCUAUGUUGCUUGUUGAGCAUUGAUUCUCACAAGACUUAUCUUUCAAUUCCUUUUUCUUCUUUAUUUCUCUAUAUAACUCUUUUAAUUUUUUUCAAAUUUCCUUGGCACUUUCGUACAUGAACACAUUAUUAUAUUCUCUAUAAUCAAGUGCACAAAUGAGAGUGUGCAUGGCCUUAGAGUUGAUUUGUACUAUCUUCAUUUCAGCUUCUGUCCACUUACUUUUAUUUUUAGGAGUUUUCUCACCAUUUACUGAAUUAGUAAUCAUAAGGAUAAAAGGACCAUCAGUAAUGACAUUCCACAUCUCAUAAUUGUAAGCCCUAACAUAAAUGAACAUUCUAGUACUCCAAAAUUGGUAAUUGGUUCCACCAAAUAGAAGAGGCAUAUUUAUGGAUUGACCCUCAGCCAUAUUAAAAUUUUAAGUAGCCAUUAGAUCUUCACCUUAAGAUGUUAAGCCUUUAAAAUCAAGGGUUAGGCUCUAAUAUCAAUUGUUGGUCCCAAAGAGCGUGAUAAAAGGGGAUUGAAUAACACUUUUGGAAUUACAAGAAAAUUCUUUGCAAAAAAAAAAAGCUGAUUAAGGGAAUUAAAAAUGGAAGUUUAAAGCUUACGGGAGGAAUGAUUUAAAUGUUAAGAGUAAGAAGAAAAUAUAAGAAAGUAGACAAAACAUAAUGAUUUAUAGUAGUUCGGUCCCCUUGACCUACAUCCACUACCUUGAUCUCUCAAUUAGGGAUUUUCAAACCAAUUAACUAAAAUUAGUAGAAUUCUCAAGCUUCCACCAAGCUUUUAUAAUGGCAUUUCAUUGGAUCAGCCACAACCUUUAACAAUGGUUUUUCACGGGAUUAAUCAAAACCCAAAACUAACUUUUCUAAGGUUAAGUUAGAACCUACAAGAAUAACCAAGCUAACCCAAGCUUGAUCUACCUUUUUGAGUGUCUUUCACACUCUAAGUAAACAAAAAAUAGAGAAAAGAUGGAGUAGAAUUGAUCACUUAGCUAAUCUAAGAUGUACAAAGUAAAGCUCAAAACACUUUUUCAAAAGACGGGAGUGAAAUACAAGUGCAAAGAGAAGGUUUUUGGUCUUUUAAGCUCAAAAUCACUUUGUAUGGCUUCAUUAUAGGAUAUUUGAUUGUUGGAGAGGCUUUAAAUACUUGAAAAAUCACUUUUGGCCAUUGGAGAUAGAAAUUAGCCAUUUUUUACCGUUAUUUUAUCCUUCUGUGCUUAAAUUCAAAUGUGCAGACAGUGCCUCAUUAAUUGGUUAAAGGCAAGCUUUAACUAAUUAAGUCUUUUCUGGCUUGUACAAUGCUUCUUUGUGUUAACCAAUUCACAGCUGCUUUAACUAAUUAAUAACUUUCUAUUUUCAAGCACUGUUUUUGGCUAGCCUCUUUUCAACUGAUUAAUGCUCCCUUUAUGUGAUUGAAACUUCUCUCCAUUUGUCUUUAACUGAUAAAAAUGGGCUCUAACCAACUAAGAAGUAUUCAACUUUAAAUAUCUUGGUUUGGUGCUUUGGAUGGUCAUCAAUAUUUUGAAUUUGAAUUUUGGCGUUUCUUGACACUUUAACUUUGGCCAUUAACUAGUUAACUUCUUUCUUUUAAUUGAUUAAAAGGCUUCUGUUUUGCAUCUAGCACCCACUUAGCUUAUUAAACUUUGUGUUAUCCAUUUAAGAGCUUUCUGUCUGUCCUUAGUGUAGCGGCCAAAAUUGGUUUAAUUGAUUAAGGAUUUGUUUUAAUCGGUUAUAACAAAUCUAUUUUCAUUAAAGCUCUUUCUUCUUUACCUGUUUAACUAAUUAACCCGUCUUAUAACUGAACAAGCAUCUUGACUUGCUUUUAAAUACCAAAUAUAUUAAUGAAUUGAAGCUUUCUCCUGCUCACUUAAAUAAUAUAACUAGACACCAAUGAAUGUGAAUAUUUUAUUAUCAUAAAAAAAAAUUACUUUAUCUUACCUCGAGAUGGCAUGGCUAUUCCCUUGCCUUUAUCUUUCUUGACAUUUCUUGUAGAGGGUGCCACCCUAGGUGGUGUAAUUUCCAUCGAAUGAAAAUAGCCACGGUUAUGUCCCAUUGAUUGUCUAGGCCUUAGACAAUCUUUCAUCAUAUAUCCUGCCUACCCACAUCUGAAGCAUAACCCCGUUGAUCUAAGCAUGGUCCACCAUGUGCCUUGCCACAAUUAUUAUGUAGGACAUCUCUCUUUUUGGGGCCUAGAUUCGAUGAUCCAUUGAAUAGCUCUCACCUUCCAAGAAGACUAAAAGAUUCAUUGUUUUGAGGCAAUCUACUUGUAGGAGUAGUUCCCUUUCGACCCCAAUGGUCCAUAGGAAUUGGACUUCGUGUUUCAUUAAAUGCUUCUAACCUCAUUGACUUUCCAUUCUAGCCUUCCAACCUCUAUUCUUUUCUUUCAUAGUCCCCAAUCUACGGCUCUUAAUCAAUCUGGUUGCAUCUACCACUGCAGAGUAACUAGCAAACCUCUAGGUGGAAAUAACUUUGAAUAACAGCUCUAUCAAGCCUUUAACAAAGCUUUUAAUUCUUUGUUCUUCAAUCAAGACCAAGUCAGGUGCAUAACGGGACAAUUGGGUGAACCAUAUAUCAUAGCCCACCACCGCCAUAUUUGGAGUCUGCAUUAGGAUCUCAAAUUCCUAGGCCUUAACAUCUCUCACGCUAUUAGGCAAAAAUCGAUCUAGAAAUACUUGGGCAAAUUCAUCACAUGUAAGUGGAGCCAAUCUUCUUUUUCUUGAAGGUCACAAACUAGAUUUGGGCUACAUUUUUCAGUUAAAAUCCUACUAACUCAACUGACUGCUAGCUGAAACAUCCCCACGCUGAGCAUAUACGUUCCAUAUCCUCUAAGAAUCUCUACGGAUCCUCUUCGACAUUUGAGUCGAUAAUCAUAGAGGGCUGUAGUUUCAUAAAAUCUACUAAUGUCACCAUAAUUGCCUCAUUGUCCAAUUGCACUACUGGCAUAUAAUCCCGAUCCUUAGAACUAGAAUCUAUCCACUCCUCUAUUUGCACCUCAUCCCUGCUACGAAACUUGGCAAACUCUUAUGCUAAACUCUACAACCUUGCAACUAAAUGCUUUAGAGUGACAACUCUUCCCGUUGGGUAAUCAUCCCUAGCUUCCUCAUAAUCAUCCCUAGUGCACUAGGGUCUACAUGUCGAGUGCAUCUCGUAGCUCUAGCUCUUCCAUGAAUCCUUGAUAGGGAAGUUUAUGCUCUAACCGUAACCUCAUCGGGGGCAUCAUGUUCUACCCUAGCUCUAGAGGCAGCCUUCGUCUUAGGUGGCAUCUUUACCUAGACAAGCAAAAUCAUAUUCAAAAUCCAUAUUUCAAAAUCAUGGGUGGCAUAUUACAUGACUUAGGGGUUCGCGCAACCUCCCGCUCAUGAAUUGCGUUGUAGUCACAAAACAUCAACAACACUCCACACUAGAACCUAUCUACUCCAUUGAUUGACACAGACUGACCUAGGACUCUCUCUCUAAGACCUAGGUAAAGCUGUGACACCAAGUUUGUCACAACUCAAAUUCAAAGGUCUGUGAUCGACACGCACGAGCUUGGCAAACAAGCCCACUAGACUUAAGGAAGCCUUCAUAAUUAAGUCUUAUUUAACAUAUCUCAUAAAGCCUCAUGGCUAACAUCAUUUCAUUAAACUUAUACCUUGAUUUUCAACAUUAGCCCCUUGACUCAUAAUAAUGUUCGAGACUUAAACAUAAUAUACACGUAGGCAUGCAUUGGCUAGCUUGUCAUGUUACUAAACAUCUAAUUACAUAACAAAAAGCAUUCUGUGCCGACAUAUUUCCUUUAUGAUAGACUUUGUAUACAUUUUUACGGAAGCGUACAUAACUAUGACUCAGACUAUGAUGCAGCGAAGAGUGCAUCAGCAGAAAACCUACCAAUUAUCAAAAUCCUGUGUUUGUCUAAGCAACAACGCUAGCCACUGAUCCUCAAAGUCUAUUUAUCUACAUGAUACAAUUGAGAGGGCGAGUCACACUAGUACUCAGUGAGCGAGAGAAUAAAAACAAUUAUAAAUGUGUAGGGAUAGUUGCUACACAUAUCCUUUAAUCUUGCAUGCAUAUCAUACAUCUCAAACAUGUACAUAAUGGGACAAGUUAGACGUCACCUAUCGAUCAUAGUUUAUCAUAAUCAUGGCAGCCGUACUAUGCUGCGUAUUUACAUCUAUUAGCAUAAUGAGAAGAUAUAAUUCAUUCCCACUUUACUCAUUCAAUAUCAUUUAUAACAUAACCACUUAGCGACUCAAUCUAUUGCAUGAACUAGCCCGCCAUAUGGCCGUCUACAUACGUGGCUUAACAUACUUACCUCGUAACACUCACCUUGACGCUGAUUCAUAAUUUCUCAAGCUUACAGUACAUCAUUUCCCAUAUAACAUAUGCACAUGGCUCUUACCUUAAGCCUUUACAUUAAUCAUCAAUUCAUAUCAUAACAUAUCAUGGUGUACAUUUCAUAUCCUAUGGUAUACUACUGCAUAUUCAUAACAUCAUAACAUGUCGUAGAAAGGUCCUCUCUAGACAUAACAUAGUCACGUACGGUGGCCAACCAAUAGAUAACGCAUGAUAUCAUGUCAAACCCCAUUGCUGUGACAAAUGAUAAAGUCAUCUCACGCUCUAUUGCCGAAACAAAUGAUGGAGUCAAUUUACAUCAUCCGAAACAAUCUCAACAAAUGGCAUCAAAGCACUACAUGCAGGAAUCACAGCUAGGACGAAACCACCAUCCUUACCACCAUCUCUAUAGGCAACAUAACAUCAUCAUUGCACAACAAGCAGGAAUCACAGGCGAGAUGAAACCACCAUCUCUACUUACCACCAUCCAUACUUACCACCAUCCUUAUUGCGGAACAUACAUGGUCACAGGGAUAUGGACACCUUCUAUCUCAUUUCAUUCAUUCAUUGUCUGGAGUCAUUUACAAACAGUACGUACAUCAUAUCAUAGACACACUUAGUCAUGCUUAUCACCACACUAUCACAAGUCAUACAUGAUCACAUUCAUUUCAUUGUAACUUACUCAUAUCGUCAUCCUAUCACAUUCUAUAUUUAGCGUAGGCAUAUCCUUCUAGGCAUGUCAUACAUCCUUUCAUAAUAUUCACUAAUCUAGACAUAACUACUCUAGACGUACUUAUCAUGUGUAUCUUUAUCGUAACAUCAUAUUUCUAAUGAUAUUGGCUGAUACUUAUAUUAACAUCAUUAGCCUAGAUGUAAUCUUUCUUUAGGCACAUCAUAGUGAUCAUAAUCACUUUCUAAUCUAGGAAUUCUACCUCUAAACAUACUGAUAGUUCAUACAUAACAUACAUUAUGCAUUUUCAUUACUUAAGCAUUCAUGCACUAUAGUCAUUAUGCUUUUAUGUGUAAAAGUUCCCCAUUCACCUUGACAAUUUAAGCAUUCCAUAGCAAUCCAAGCCAAAUUCCUUCUAUUCAAUAACUGUCCUUUCACCAUACAAUAGCAUUUAGCUCAAAAACUAGGGAAUGGGUAAAAUUCUUACAAUAGCAUUUAGCUCAAAAACUAGGGAAUGGGUAUAAUUCUUACUCCCAUUGUACAUCUAGCAAUCAACAAUGCACAAACAUCAACAUUUACAUCAUAAUCUCAAUUUUAUAGCCAAAUCCUGGCUUUUAGAUUAUUUCUAACUUUUCAAUAUAACACAUUCUGUAACCAAAUUAUCAUAUAAGCUCAACUUUCUCAUGUUCAUCAAUAAUGACCACAUCUCUUACCUUUAAACAUAAAUUUAACUCACUUUAAACUUCAAUCUCCAGCCAUUUUCAACUCAACAACUACUAAAGCUGAAACAUAACAUUUCUAAUUAUUGAACUGUUUAAUUCAAAAACCAAUCAGUAAAAAGCUUCAAUCCAUACCUCUAGAUCAAUUUUCCAGUCUCAUAAACACCUUUUCCAAGCUCCAAGUCACCAAAGGGGACGAAGGUUUUGAGAGAGUGUUAAGAAAGCUUUUAUUUUCCUUUUAUUUGCAAAUAGGCAGACUACCCAAUGCCUUUUUUUUUUCUGCAAAUCUCCAUGCAUGUAUCGAUACAUUUGGCAAUGUAUCAAUACAUUUCCACGGGUUAACUUUAAAUCUAUUGAUACACAAGGUAUGUAUCAAUAGUUUUCCCAUGGACUACUCUCUACUUCAAAUCAUCGAUACAUUUGGACAAUGUAUCAAUAAAAAUUACAUAAAAUGCUCUCCUCUUCAAAUCUAUCGAUAUAUUUGGCAAUGUAUCGAUACCUUUUCUAUAAUACCCCUCUUAUGUGCUUACUACUUUGAAUGUGUCUAUACACAGUGCCCAUGUAUCGAUACUUUUCAUCCAAAUUGCAUUUUCUUCAACACUUAGAGCUUUUUAGUUCCAUUCUCUAACUCUCAUUCCACUUCCCACAUACAUUCCUAUCUCAAUUCAUGAUAUACCUCAAAUUCUCAUCUAUGUUCUAUGUCACAUAACAUAUGAAUCAAACAUAGCAUAAUUGCUUACAUAACAUACUCAUUUAAGUUCCAACAUAUGCACCAUUUCAUUCAUGUGCCAAACAUAUGCACAACAUCAUUCGAGUCUUUAUAUACUCAUACAUUUUCAUAAUCAUCACUCUAUGGACGUAGGCAUUCCUUAAAUUCAAAGUCAUAUACAUCAAAAUAUCAUUAGCUCAUUCAAAUAGCUUAACAUACAUUAAGCAUCAUUACCAUCAAAAUUGGGGGUGUUAAACAAUAUGCCAUGAUUAAAUAUAUAAUCAUAUGUUCACAUGAUCAAUCAAUCGACAUAUACACAUAUAAAUGCAUACAAAUAUAUUCACAUGAAUAUUUAAUCAAAUCAUCAAUAAACUAUACUAAAAACAAAUUUCAAAAAUAUUAUGACUAUAGUGAGGAGCAUAAUGAUUCUAUGUUUCAAUCAUUCAAGAAAAUAUUAAAAGCAUCAUUAAGCACAUGAUUAAUAUGGUGCUUGAGAGAUAUUACCAAUAACGUAAAACACCAUUUGUUGAGAUCUCACCAAGCUCAUUGUUGAAGAUUUCAAGUACUCAAACAUCAUAGGACAAUGUCAAUGAUCAACUCCACUUUAAUCAUUCAUUAGAUUGCUUCCAACAAGGAAAAGGUGUUAAAUGGUUAAUCACAUUAAAGCAUUAUCUUACCUUCCCUUGAAUGAACGUUGUUAAACCACUUGAGAAUAAAUCAUAAUCAUAUGAUAAAUGAGUAUUUAAUUGAAUGUUCAACAUGUUAAUCAAUACUCAAAUAUUCAUGGAAGUAGAAAGUCAUUAGCAUUUAAAUAAAUAUUCAAUAUGUGCUUCAAAUACUCAUAAUUUUAAGAAAUAUACACAUUAGUUCCAAUGCAUGUCCAAGAUAUCAUCAAGCAUUAAUUGUCAAUUUCAUCAUACAUUAUUCAAGCACUAUCAAUAAAUCAUUUUGCAAUAAUUUUCUAAUGAUAAUUCAAAAGAGAGUUUCUUCAAUAAGAGUAUAUUAUCAUUAAGUACCCUUGGCAAGCUUAUUUCUUAAUUUGAUAAGACAUGUAUCAAGUCAAAUCUAUAAGAAUUAAUAAUCAAUAUUGCACAUGCCAUAUCUCAAUGAUCUUAAUCACCAAUGAGUGAUUUAAUUUACUCUUUCUUAUCCUAUUGACUUAGAUCAUGUAUGCUCUUCUUACAAAAAGAAAACUCAAACUUUUGUUUUUGGUGCCUAAAUUUUCUUGGGUCUUUUACCGUUAGUAACCUUGGUUCUCUUGUGAACCAUAUCACUCUCCACUAUCUUGUAUUGAGAAGAUUUAUUUCCCUUUGGAACCCAUACAUUUUUGCUAACCUUGUCUCUUUGUGUAACAAUUCUUAAAGGACAAGAUGAAGUAAGGUGUCUAAAUUUAAAACAACAAAUACAUCUAGAGGAUCCAUCAUACUUCUCAUUCUCUUUAGUCAAGAAAUUUUUAAGAUGGAUUUCUUUUUGUGUGAAAUCGUAGCCUAACCCUUUUUUGUUAAAAAAUGUCCUUUGUAACUCCAACAUGUCAUUCAAUAUUUGUUGGCUAUCAUGAAAUCUAGAGAAUGUCUCAUGCAUACUUUUGUCUUUUUUUUAUCUCAUUCAUUUUAGCUUGCAUGUUAUUCACAUUGUUUUCUAAUUCAAUCCUAGUUUUAACUAGGUUCUCAUUUUCAACCUUAAGUUUUGGUGUGAUGCCUUUAUAUUUCAACAUUUUUUUCAAACUUAAACAUAAGAUCAUCAUUAGAAUCUUGCAAUUCAUCAAAGGUUUAAUCACUUUCAUCAUGAUUAUAAAAAUCAAUAUUAUGAGGAGUAGGAUGUACCUUGUAGCCAUUGUGUGCCAUGAGACAAACAUUUGUAAUCUCAUCAUCCUCUUCAUCUUAUGAAUCAUCACUAUCACUCGAAGUUGCCAUCAUUGAUUUCUUCUUGAAAUUUCUUGAAGUCUUUUUUUUAAAGGCAUUCAUGCUUGGUGUGAUUAGGCUUCUUGUAAUCAAAACAUAUUACGUAGUUUAUUAAAUACUCCACUUUAGCCACAUCCCUUUUUGUAGGUUUUCUAGCUCGAAAGUCCUUCAUGAACCUAUCAAAUUUUCUUGCUAACAUAGCCAUAUUAUCUUCAUUUUCACUCUCACUUUUAGUGUUUCUCUUAUCCUCCUCAACCAAAGAUUUAAAGGCUAAACCCUGUUACUUGAUCCCUUCUUUCUUAGUUCUUCUCUCUCAUUCUCAUGUUUAAGUGUCAUCUCAUAAGUGAGUAGGGAGGUUUCUCUAGCCUAAAAUCAUUUGGGUUUCUAGCCGUUUCUAUAGCUGUGACUUUAGAUCUCCAAGAUUUUGGUAGGCUAUAAAGGAUUUCUUUCCAAGUUGUGCAUUUGGGAAAUCCUUUCCUAAGACUUUUAGACCUCCUACAAUAUUGGUGAAUCCCUCAAACAUCUCAUUAAUAGAUUCACUCUCUUUCAUCUUAAAAAGCUCAUAGUCAUGUGUAAGCAAUCCAAUCUUGGAUUCCUAAACUUGGUUUAUUCCCUCAUAGGUAGUCCCUAGGGUGUCCUAAAUUUGUUUUGCAUUUUCACAUAUAGACACUCUGUUAAACUCACUAAUUCCUAGGGAGCAAAGGAGAGUGUUAUAUUCAUUGCAAUUGAUUUGAAUUCUUUUCUUUGUCAUUCCACUCCUUUCUAGUCUUAAUCACCAUCUUACCAUUUACCUUCUUAUAAGGAAUAUGUGGACUACAUAAAAUAACAUUCCAAACAUCUAACUCCAUAGAUUGUAUAAACAUUUACAUAUGUUUAUUCCAAUAAGGGUAGUCAGUACCUACAAAGAGAGGUGGCCUUAGAUUGAUUACCUUUCACCAAGGUCAAUUGUUGUAACCUCGAUUUUGAUGAUUUUGAGCUUUUACUAUGGGUCACUCAAGGUUGUUAGACAUGAAAAAUUAAGCCCUAGCUUUGAUACCAAUUGUUAGUAGUAUAAGCUCAAUGCAAUUAAUACUAAGAAAGGGUGAAUUGAUAUUUUAAAAUAUUCUUCAGAAAAUCAAGUAUAAGAAUCAAGUCUUUACAAUCAAAAAAAUAUUUCUUGUGUCAAAAAUAAAAUGAGUGAUUUUUUUAAGUUAAAUAUAAACAAUAAAUUACAAUGCAAAAAAGUAAAUCAAGAAACAAGAAUUUUUAUAAUGGUUCGGCUUUCUUAAAUGCCUACAUCCCCCAUCAAUAAAUGCAUGGCAUCUAUCGAUAAAUAGCAACCCAAAAGUUUCUUAAAGAACCCUGAAGCCCAUCUAUCAAUAGAUUACGUCGAUCUAUCAAUAGAUGACGUUAUUUUCAAAAAAAAUAAAAAGGUAAAAAUGCAUUUUUCACACCCCAUACUAUAAAUACGUCACAUUUUUCGAGAGUUGGCAACUCUCAGCCACAUUUUGCAAGGUAAGACUCCAUCCAAAACCCUCUUAACUCAUUUUUAAGACAAAAUCUUUGUUUUUGAUGAUUUUAAACUUGUUUAUGGGUUUUUAAGAAAAAAUGAUAUUUUAAUGCUUUAUAGUCUUUAAAGUUUAGAUUUCUAGAAUUGAAAUAUUUGUUUUAAUGCCCAGAUAUUUCUGUUGAAUGACAAAGCUCAAAGAUUUGUGGUUUUUCUAAUCAUCUAACCUCAUCUAAGGUAAGAGUAUAGCAUUUAUGGGCGUCUAGCAUGCGUUUCAACUAAAAACUGGUCUUAGUUAAAAGUGAAUAAAUUUUGAGGUCGAUGUGCCAUUCACGAGAGCAUGCUAAGAACCUAAGAUAGUGGGGGUUUGUACCACUAUUAAUUAGAAUACGGCGAACACACUCAUAGUUUAAGAUGUUAAGAUGAAUAAGGUUAUUGAGUCUAAGCUAUGAUUAAAUGAGUAUACAAAUGAUGUGUUUUACUUUGAAUGUUUAUGUUAUGAUGUAAUGUCUAAUGAUGAUGUUAUUCACAGUAGAUUGUGGUGACUUUUGGCUUGGUUAGAUAGAACCUUAGCUUAGGGAAUGAUCCUUUAAGUUAGAAGGACAUAUGGAAUGGUAAAGUGUAGGAUUUUAUCGAAAAAAUAGAGUUUUAAAAGCUUUUUAUCAAAACUUGAAGAACAUCUAUCGAUAGAUAGAAGACAGAAUAUUUCAAGAAGCAUUCUGUGCCCCAUCUAUCGAUUGAUACCUUAAUCUAUCGAUAGAUGCAAGACAGAAUUGGUUUGUUAUGCAUGAUUAAAGGUUUCUCAAAUGUAAAAGGGUUUCUAAAGGUUAUGUAAACUUGCUUUUCAUGCAUAUGUUAUUUAAAAUAUAUUUAAAUACAAUGUUUCAUGAACUAUAUAGAUUUGAUGAAAUGGUUUAUGAAUUGCAUGAGAUUUCAAGUGCAUGCUUACGAAAGAUUGUAUUCCCCUUGGCUUAUCCCCUUCCCCGUAUCCACUCACGAAGUCUUUGUGACUCACAUGUUAUUUUCCCUCACUAUUUUUGUUGCAGAUCAGUGAUAGCACUCUCUUACUAGUAGCCAAUGUCACAGAGACAUGUUUCAUUCAUUCCUCAUUGGUAGGUGUCUAGUAGCCUCUUGAUGCCUAGUGAGUCGGGUCAUGUUCUGCUGACAAGUCGGUCUUAUAUUUAUGUUUAUGGAUUACUAACAUGUUAUGUUAAGGUAGCCAAUGUUUGGACACUUUACAUUAUGAAUGUUAUGUUUAAAUGUAUAUAGUGGCUUAAGAGCCCAUAUGGACACUUGAUGGUGUUGAUACAUGUAAAUGAUAUGGUGCAUUGAGAACGUGGCAUUCUGAUGAUAUAUGAAAAGUUUGCACUUACACUGAUAUGUUAAGAAGUUCCAUAUAUGUGUAAUGUUGAGUAUGAUGGUAUGCAUAAGUUGAUAUUGUACGCCUAUAGAUGUUGCUGUAUGCUUCUGCAUUUAUGAAUGUUUAAUGAUGAAUGUUAAAAAGGCUUGCUUGGGCCUAGCAAGCUAUACCCCAUCUAGGUUCAUCAUCGAACAUGUUCCAUCACAAAAUGGGAUGUGACAACAUUGGUAUCAAAGUCAAGUUUAUAGAGUCUUAGGUUAUUUUUAGUUGUUAGUAGAAUGUUUGGAGUCGUGUAUAGGAAUCUUGUUCUUAUUUUGUAAUCAAGCACAAACCGAGAACAAGAGACCCAUAUAUAAUUCCUUGUUUAUCUACCCACUUUAUGCUUAAGAGUUAUGUUUGGAAUUAUUGUGAGUCUAUAGAGUUAAGUAUUACAGUAUAUCAUUGCUCUUGUCUAGAUGAGAUAUGUCGCUUAGGACAUGGGCUAGUUGAUAACUCUAUGAUAUAGACUCAUUUUAUCACAUUUCUGGGGCUUAAGUAGCUAAGUCUAGAGAUUUUAUUUUUGGAAUUUAAAGUAUUUUAGUCAUUUUGCAUAAUUUUGUUUAAUCCAUAUUGAUUAGUUAGUUGAAAGUAUUUUAGUUUAGUUUUAUGUUAUUUCGCUUUAAAUUAUUUUAAGUUUAGUUAUUGUUCAUUUAUUUUAUUACUUGUGUAGGAAAUUUGAUGAAAAGAACUUCGUUGAUGAAAAUCUGUGCAAGUAUGGCGAUGGCUUUAUUCGUAUAUGCUGUAUUAUUUUGAGCAUAACAUGAGCUAAAAAAGUCCAAGUAACAUGAUUUUUGAGCCAUUGGAAAGCUAAGAGAUAGAGAUACAACUUUCAUGUUUUCUAAUUUGCCCAGUUCAAAAUAGAUCAAGGUGAAAAUCACAUUGGAAGAGGCUGGAUUGUUGUAGUUCUACACAAGGCAGCACAAAGGAAUGACAACUAUGACCUUGAGUUGCUCAAGGCUACGACAUCGUGAUGCACCAACGCAUCAUACAAAAUCCAGAGAACAAAGCACCCUGGCACUGGUGGAUGGGAAAUAGCCCAUACUUGGACCCAAUAGUUGAACAUUGCGACAAUGAGGGUAGCAUCGCAGCACCACAUGGUUGAUGUUCACCAUAGUAGAGCUCAUUAGCAUGCGCCGCAACACCAGAUGAGAUUCCAAAAGUAAACUUUUGACAAGAAUUUGAAAAUUAAGGAUUUUGGAGCUUGUUUAAAGGACCUUUUUUUAGAGGUUUUCAAAGUAAGACAUCAAGCAAUUAUUCUGGAGAAAAAGAACCAAAAAAUGAAGCAAGAGAACAAGAGAAUUUGAGAGAGAAUUGAGAUCGAAAAGCUUCAAUUAUUAGUUUUCUCUCUUUACUUUUAUGUUUCUCUUAAUAUUUUUGACUUGGAUUAAUGGUUAAUUUAUUUUGGACAAUGUUUUUAUUAGACAUUAUGAGCUACACUAUUUUUCUAGGAUUGUGGUGGAUUUCAACAUGUAGAUUAAAUAUUUUUUUUCUCUUUUAUUUACUAUGAAAGGGUAUGGUUUUGUUUAUUUAAAUUUGUUCAUAAUGCUUUUUAUUGUCUAGCCAACAUUUGAAUGAUUUGUUAAUCUGAAUGAGACUUAACAGAGUAAUUUUAGAUUUGUAACACCCUUAAUUUUUGAUGUAAAUUAAGUAAACAAAUAAUGAUUUCUAAAUAUGUGAAGUCUUGAGGUACGUUGAUGAUAUGUUAUGUAUGCCAAGUGUUUAAAAGUGCACAUAUUGACACUUAGGUGAAAUUUUGAGGAAAUAUGUGAUAAAUCCCAUAGUUUGAGCUUUUGAUCUAAGUUUGAUGUUAUGUUUGUGAAAGUAUGUUUACGGGAUUAAGUUAAAUAAAUGAUUUGAGGUGUGAUAUUAACAAGGGAUGAUUUUGGGGUGUUAAACUUGGAUUUUUGGAAGUUUUAGAAGCUUAAAACUACCUACAGGAGAAAAUGUAUCGAUACAUCCCCUUAUGUAUCAAUACAUUCUUGGCAGGAAGAACAACAUAAGGUGUUUUGGAGGAAUUCUAUUGAUACAUUUAAAGAUGUAUCAAUAGAUUUGGCAAAGGAUGAACAUGUAUCAAUGCAUUUCCUUAAUGUAUCGAUACAUUUGAAGCAAAAAGCAUUCAGGACCAUGCUAUCUGAAAUUUAUCUAUACAUUGCCUCAAUGUAUAGAUACAUUCAUUUGAAAUUAGGGCAAAUGUAUUGAUACAUUUGGCAAUGUAUAGAUAUAUCACAAACAAAAGGCAAAAAGAAAAAGGGGUGUCGACCCAUUUGCACCAAGCCCUUUCUCUCAACUAUUUCUUUCCCUUUCUCUCCCUAAAAAACUCAAAACCUUAACCCCCAAAUUGAUUUUUAGACCCAUUUGAGGCUAUUUAGAGCUUAGGAAGCCAUCUUGGAGGUAAGAUUUAACGUUUUAUUGAUUAUUUUUCAAUUUAAUCAGGAAAUAACUUUAAAAUCCAAUUUUCUCCAAAUUUGGUAAUUUUCCCUUUUUCGUUUGGAUGGGAGAAUUUUGAUCUAAGACUCGUGCAAUCCAACUUCUAAGGUAUGGGUUUAGUUCAUUAAUGAAUGAUUUGAGCUUAAAUAGUUGGAUUGCUAAGAUUUGGUUAAUUGUGAAAAAGUUGACAUUUUUUUCGAAAGCCAAGAAUAAUUAAUAUUUUCAUGUUCUGAUGUGUUUGAAAGGGGAAACAGAGUUAGACCAACUUGUUGGCAAUCUAGAGGGCGAUUAAAGACUAAGGAUCGAAGCUUGGCUGGGAGUACCUCUAAUUUUUCACUGUAAGUGGGUUUAAAUAAAAUGCAUAUAAUGCAUUACGCAUGAUAGAUGCGCUGCCAUGGUAUUAGAAUGAAAUAUGUAUGCCUAGAUGAAUGAACCUAGGCUAGAGAACAACAUAUGUGUAUAUGUAUAUAUGUGAAUCGUGUGUGGCUGUGUGUCGUGAUGUGAGCCACAUGGGUGGCUUAUGCUAUGUGUGUCUAGACUAGAAUGUCUAAAGGCUAUGAUGAACCCCUAAGAGUUGAUUACCCAAGGUGAAUGAUAUGUUGAGAUGAUUUGAUUAAAUGAUGGCUUGGAGAUUUAGAGACAUUUAGAACCUAACUGAACUUAAAGACAAUUGAAGCUUGAUAAAUGUGAAUUGAGGUUCGAUAAGGAAAAUGUGAAUGAUAAAGGCAUGAUGGCCUUUUUUGUGGUUUUGUAUUUUUGUCUGAAGAAUGAAUUGUGGUUGGGUGGAGUUCCAUCCCCUUGUGACUAUAUGUGUGCUUGUAGGGAUGAUGGUAAGUAGGGACGAUGGCACUAAUCCCGCCUAUGAUUCUCGCUUGUAGUGCUUUAAUGCCAUCCAUUUAGAUUCCUCCGAGUGACGUCAAAGUCAGGAGAUUACUUCGGUCAAUGAUUUGAUUCUUCACCAGCUAGUUUGACGCUGAGCGUGAUUUGUUCUCUGCUCGUUUCUUCAGCACGUGUGUUAUUUGUUUCUCUACCGCACCUUUGCCCUGAGCGUGAUUUGAUUUUUUGUUAGUUGCUCACUAAGCGUGAUUUGACUAUGUCAAGGAGAGGACCACUCGUUGAUUCGAUUUGCAUAUGAUGUGAGAUAGCCAUAAGAGGUUUAGAUAAAUAUGAAAUGAAUAUGAUGUGAUACUUUGGCAACUAGAAUGUGCCGUGGAGAAUAAUUUGAAUAAAUUUGAUCAAUUUUGAGGUUAAGCCCAAUGAUAUGCGUGAUAAUCUUUAAAGACAUUGAGGAUGAUGACAUGCCCUCACAUUGAAAGUUUCAGGGAUAAUGAUAUGGCCUAUAUUUGGAGAUGUUUGUUGAAUUAUGAGGUUGCACCUAAAUUGCGAUAUUUAUUAUGUGAUUAUAUAUAUAUGUAUGAUUUUGUUUAUUUGCACCACUCACUGAGUAUUAUAGUACUCACCCAUUUGUAUACCAUGGACAGAUAAAUAGGCCAUAGAGCUAUGGUAAAGGUCAUCCAGCAACAAACCACUUUCGGCAUCUAAUUGGUCCCCAUCCAUUGUGUUACUCCACUGUGUCAGUCAUGAACUUCCUCUCCACACUUAAGUUAUUAUUUAUGUAGGCACGAUGUGUCAUAUGAACUUGUGUAAGGGUUGUUAUGUACGAACCUGUCUUGGAUGGCUAACAUAUAGCCCUAUAAACAUUUGUAUGAAUUACGUGACAGGGAUAAUGUAUUAUUACAUUUGGUUUUAUUGUGAAUAUUUGAUUAUUAAAUCCUUUGGCUUAUGUUAUAUGAUUUUUCAUUCUAAGGCUUGCUCGGGUCUUGUGGGCUUGCCUAUUGGGCUCCUGUGUAAAUCACUGACCCCCAAAUUUGGGUCGUGACAAGAUUAGACUAAGGUUUGAAAAAUGUAUAUUCAUGUCACUUAGGUGAUCUGAUUCACAAUUAGGGUAGACAUACGUCUAGAGGCCAUACAUAGCCAAUUUAGAACAUUAGCUUAAUGAACCUUAUUUAAUUGAUUAUUAUAAACAUAUAAUGACCCAAUUAAGUUAGCUAUUUAUGCAAGCAUCUUGAAAGAGACUUGUGUCACAACUCGAUACUCUCCUCGAGCCCGUGACAACAGUCGCGAUGUCCAGAUAGAUAUUCAUUACCCGGAAUGCCAAUCGAAAUCUCGCAAGGCUUUAAUAUCAGUUUUCUCACCUCCCUUACGAGCCACAGUUGCUAAUAUCGUAUUUUAAAAGAUUAUAAGCUAUUUCCAAACCAAAACAAUAAAAAAAUAAUUUUCGUCUCUCAGGGGUAUUUUGAUCAUUUUUAUCGAAAUUUCGAAACCAACUAAUAAUGUAGUCUGCGAGUGCAAAACAUAUAUUUCAUAAUCAAAAAUAAGUUUAGAUGUCUAAAACAUUCAUUUAAAGUGAAAUUAUAACUAUUUGAAUAUAAUAAAAAUAUUUAAUAAAAUAUUCCAUUUUCUUAUAAAACAAUUUUUAUAGAGUUAUCUGUAAGAAAUUUUUGUAGCGUAAAAGUGAACUAAAUUCAUACAUACUGUAAUACAGAUAGUCAAGAUAUGUAAUUUAAUUUACAAUGACACGUGGGCCUCUAAAUGACAAAAGUGAACGAAGGCUGUGAACUUACGAUUUUUGAGGAAGUAAAGUCAACUGUAGCCUUCGACGAUAUCAACUAUCUAUAAACUAUCCUGAGCCUGAAAUGGGUGGAAAUGAGGGUGAUGUGAUUAUAUAAUCCCAGUGAGUAAAAAAAUAUCAUCUAAAUAAUCUAAAGCCGAGUAAAUGGAGACGAUUAAAAUAGAUAAUCAUGAAAUGGUUCAUAACAUCAAAACACAUUUGAAAUCAUCUAAGCUAGAUACAUUUCAUCCAAAAUAUACAACGAGGCUUAUGAAUCUCUUAAAAACUUGGCUGAUGCCAAAACUCAUUCUCGGGGAUACCUUGGCCGAGGCAUCUAACCGAGUCCGCCAAGGUUGUUAAAAAGUCAUAUACGCAUAAAACACAUUUUUACGUUUAAAAGCACAACCGUUCCUUGGAUUUGCUAAAUUCACUCUCACGUGGCGGUUCGGCGUGAAGUGAACUCUAAACUUUACUCCAGGAGAUACCCUACGCCUCUUCAACCGAGGUAAAAAUAUAACCGAAUUUCGUGCCCCUCUAAUAGGCUAGCCCACAGAACCCGCCACUACAGUGACCAAUCUAUAACCCACCAAUUCAAUAAAUAUUCAACAGCAUGAUGUGGCAAUUAUUUUACAACAUAGCAUGUCAAGGCAAAACAACACUUCAUAUAUGUUUAGCACAAUUACCAAUCUAGCCACUCAUGCCCACAUUAUCAUAAGCCAUUCGAUUUAAAUCAUGAUUUAUAACACAACAAAUAGUCUCCAAUUACUCCAUUUUCAAAACCAUCAUUCAAUUUCAAGACAAUUUUAUAAAAUCAUUUCAUUUAAUCACAUUUUCCAUAAAAUUGAAAAAUUGGAUAAAAACAUACUUUAGAUAAUUAAGACGAUAAUAAGGUUACUCACAAUAUCGGGAGUCGAAGUACUCCUAGUCUUGAUCUUCGAGUGCAACUUCUUUACCCUUACCAGAGGAUUCACCACCUAGACAUAAUGCAUAAUCAAGCAAUUUACCACAUUGGUGCUAAACCGUUAUAAAACUAAUCUAGGCUCUAUAUGAAUGCAUGAAAUGGAAUGCGAAUUGUUCGAAUCAUCGUCUAAACACGAUGUUCUACAUAAAUUCAAUUGUGUACCUAAAUAAAACGGUAUUGGCUUAAUUCGAUCUAUCACCCGAUUAAUUGACCAAUAUGUCCAAUUUAACUCUAAAUAACUCCAUUUCUCUCCCAAUACUCCAAAUCAUUAAACACAAUUUAAAUAACUUGAAAUGUGGCAAAAUCAUCCUCACAUUUUCUCUUGAAAAAUUCGGCCAUGGUGAGUGCAUUUACAAUAUAAUUUUUCAUGCUUGAUUCUCACACCAUAAAUCAUUCAUUCCUAAUCAAAUCACUUGAACUUCAAUCAAAUUCAUCAUCAAUAUUCUACAUGGAAUAUUCGGCCAAUGAAGAAUCCAUGAAGAAUAUGUGAUUUUUCUUACUUGUUUUCCUUCCAAACAUGAUAAAUCAACUAAAAACACUAAAAUAUCUCAAAAUCUAACCAAAUAAAUCAUCAAAUCUUCUCUCUCUAAAUUUGGUCAGCUAUGAACCCUUCAUGAUAUCUUGUGAUUCAACCAUGGAAAAUGCAAAAGAAUGCAUAGGAAAGAUAGAUCACAAGCUAGAGUUAAGAAAUUUCACCUUUGAUGUCUUGAUUCCUUAAAAUCUAGUGAUUUUCCCUUGAAUUUCUUAGCUAGGGUUUUGUUCUUCUUCUUUCCUUUCCUUUUCUUCCUUUGGCCAACCAAGAGAAAUGAGUUGGGAGGGUUUAUGUGCCGAUUUCUAAAGCCAAUUAUAAAUGAAUGAAAAUUUGACACAUGUCACCAUUCCAUUAGCCCAUGUGUUAUACUUACCCAUUAAGCAAUCUCUCUCCACCAUUUAAAAUUCCUUAAUUAUCCAUAAUAAUAAUGGGUGAAAUUCAUGUGCUGGACAAGUGUUGGGUGGUGCAAAAUUCCAAUUUUGCCCUUGGGCGGCAAAAUGACUAUUUUGCCCCUUAUGCUGAAAAAAAUAUCGAAAUUAAAAUUUUUCACCUCUCAAACUCAAAUUAUGUUCUAAAUAGUCAAUCUUGGUCAAAAACUUCUUCCAACAUUCCAAUUUUAACCUCGGGUGGCAAAAUGAUCAUUUUGCCCCUACGUUAUGAAAAUUCCAUUUUGACUCCAAAUCGAUUCUCGAACUCUGAAUCACCAUAUUAAAUCAUUCUAGGAAUUUAAAAUUCUAAAUUUCAUCUUAAAAUCUUUAUUUGGUCUAGUUCGAGGCUUAAUUCAACUUAGUUGUACCAUUCAGUACACUACCAUCUUUUGACGAUUUUUUUCGAGGCUUUCCAAGUAUGCAAGCAUAUUGUCAAUCACAUGAAUGACAUGGCAAGUAUUUUAUAAGGUCAGGCUUGACAACUUGUGCAUAGGUUUGGAUUCUAGAUUAGCAAAACUACCCGAGAAUGUAAAUAUAGAGAGAAACAGAUGUCAAAUGAAGUGUUGAAUGAACCCAUAAUCCUAGGUUUUAAUCUAUUGCUUUUCUCUAGUGGAUUUUUAGUUUUCAUUAAUUAGUUUAGUUUUUUGAUUAAAUUUAGUUUUAAUUAAUUGUCUACAAAAUCGAGUUACUUGAAUAAGACUUAUUUGUCAUAAUUUUAUUAUUUAGUGAACAAUUAAAAGCAAAUCCUUGUGGGAUACGAUUUUGAACUUACUGUCUAUAUUGCUUGUUUGAUAUGUAAACUUGCGUGUACUACACAACAAGUUUUUGGCACCAUUGUCGGGGUUUAUUUUUCAUAUUUAUUUUGCUAAUAUUAAAAUUCAACAGAUUAGUCUUAAUUUGAGUUUUUCUUUCUUUAUUUUUCAAGUUUAAUCUGUCGUUGUUUGAGAAAAGCAAAAAACUUAGAGAUUGUAUCUUGUGAUCCAGUGGUUGAGAGAACAUGCCAAAGACUUCGACAAGAAAAUAAACAAGUUUGUGCUCAAACUGAUACAAUGGUUGAUCAAUAAGGUGAGUAGUAAAUCCAAGAAUGAGUAGUGGAAGAGAAUCGUUGCUUAAGAGAUUAUGUUAUUCCUUUAUUGUAAGGGAUUCCAUCAAGCAUUAUGAGGCCAACUAUUUAAGCCAACAAUUUCAUGAUUAAGCCGUCCAUCAUCAGCAUGAUCUAAACUUUAAUCCAGUUUAAGGGUCUUCCAAAUGAUGAUCUAAAUGCCCACACUUCGAACUUCUUGGAGAUAUGUGACACCUUCAAAUACAAUGAGCUCACAGAUGAUGCAAUUUGUUUGAGGCUUUUUCGUUUUUCAUUGAGGGACAAAGCUAAAGUGUGGCUGAAUGCGCUCCCUACUGGAUCCAUCAUGAGCUGGUUAACCUUGCUCAAAAGUUUCUUGCUAAGUUCUUUCCUCCUUCUAAAACAGCAAAAAUGAGGAAUGAUAUCACAUCAUACAUGCAAUUAGAUUCUGCAUUAUUGUACGAGACCUAGGAAAGAUAGAAGGAUCUACUUAAGCAUUCUCCUCAUCAGUGUCUUUUAAAAUGGCUUCAAGUGCAAAUGUUCUACAAUGGAUUAAGUGGUCAUGUUCGAACCACCAUUGAUGCUGUUGCGGGAGGAGCUCUAAUGGCAAAGUCAAUUAAUGAGGCAUACGACUUGUUAGAGGAGAUGGCAUCGAAUAAUUACCAAUGGCCAACAAAGCGAUCAAAGCAUAGGAGAGUAGCCAAAGUUCAUGACGUGGAUGCUAUUACGACAUUAUCAACACAAGUAGCAAUUCUAACUAAGAAAAUUUAUUCUUUAGGUGCUAACUCAAUUCACAGUCCUUUUAUAGUUUAUGAGUAUUGUGGAGAUGGCCAUGCUAGUAAUCAGUGUCCAAGCAGUACAAUGACAUUCAAUUUGUGGGAAUAGACAACAAAACAACCUUUACUCCAACACCUAUAAACCAGGGUGGAAAAACCAUUCAAACUUCUCUUGGGGUAACAAUCAGGGAUCAUUUUCAGUUUUAAGGCUAAACAUGCCUCCCGGAUUCUAACAAUAAGUAAGAGCUCCUAUUCUAGAAAGGAAACCAUCUAUAAAGGAAUUGUUCAUGCAGUACAUGGCCAAGAUCGAUUCCUUCAUACAUAGUCAAGCGGCUUCGAUAAGGAACCUUAAGACCCAGGUUAGUCAACUAGCCAACUCAUUAAAAAACAAAGCUCAAAGGAACUUACCUAGUGAUACAAAGGUAAAUUCGAGGAAGAAAUGUAAGGAACAUGCCAAUGCCAUUACCUUGAAAAGUGCUAAGGAAGUUGAAAGAAGCCCAAAGCAAGUUGAAUAAAAAGGCAAGAUAGUUGAGAGUGAGGCAUAGAUUGCAAGUUCUAAUGAGUUGUGUUAAAAGAAGGAGACUAAGGCAACUCUACCACCACCACCAUUUCCUCAGCACAUCAAGAAACAACUAGAAAUAAGCCAUUUCAAAAAUUUAUGGAAGUGUUUAAAAAGCUUUACAUCAACAUUUGCUUUGUUGAGGCUUUAGAGCAAAUGCCUUCAUGUGUAAAAUUUCUUAAGUAUAUCUUGUCCAAGAAAAAGUGAUUGGGUGAAUUUAAUACAAUAGUACUCACUAAAGAAUGUAAUGCAAUCAUACAAAACAAGCUUCGUCCAAAGCUUAAGGACCCUGGCAUCUUUACUAUUCCUUGUAGAAUUGGUGCAUUAUUUUUUGCCAAGGCUUUGAGUGAUUUAGGGGCAAAUAUUAAUUUAAUGCCUUUGUCUAUCUACAACAAGUUGGGUUUAGGGGAGACUAAGCUUACUACUGUGACUGUACAAUUGGCAAAGAGAACCUUCAAAUAUCCGAGAAGUAUAGUGGAAGAUGUGCUUAUAAAAGUGGAUAAAUUCAUCUUCCCAAUGGAUUUCAUAGUACUAGAUAUGGAGAAGGACAGAAAAAUUUUUAUUAUCCGUGGGAGACCUUUCUUACGCACUGCUAGAGCACUCAUCAAUGUGGAGCAAAGAAAACUUACCUUGCGAGUGCAAGAUCAAGAGGUAACACUUAACAUUUUUAGAGCUUUAAAGUUUACAAAUGAUCAUGAUGACAGUUUUGCAGCUAGUGUGGUGGAUAAGGUCACAUGUGAACUUUUCAAGGAAAGCCAUCCUACUGACCCACUUCAAGCAUCAUUGGUUGCUGAGUUUGAGAUAAGUAAUAAGGCUAUCAUAAAAUGUGUGAAUGUGUUGAAUGCUCGAUUUUGUGUCUUCAGAACACAAUUUGAGUUGUUGGAUUUCUCUUCCUCUUCAUCCUCACCAAUGAAGCCUUCUAUUGAAGAACCUCCUAAGUUGGAACUCAAACCGUUCUCAAAUCAUCUAAGGUAUGCAUACCUUAGUGACUUGUCCACUUUUCAUGUUAUUGUUUCUUCUACUCUUACUAACAAGCAGGAAAAUAAGCUAUUGAGAGUUUUGAGAGAGCACAAGAAAGCAUUGGGGUGGACAAUUACAAACAUAAAGAGGAAAAGUCCUUUGAUAUGCAUGCAUAAAAUGCUGGAGGAUGAUCACAGAGCCACUAUUGAGCAUUAGAGAAGAUUGAAUCCAAUCAUGAAAAAGGUGGUAAAGAAAGAGAUCUUCAAGUGGCUCAAUGCUGGCAUCAUUUAUCCUAUUUUGAAUAACGCAUGGGUAAGUUUGGUGCAAUACGUACCAAAGAAAGGUGGUAUGAGAAUGGUUGCAAAUGAAAACAAUGAGCUCAUUCCCAUAAAGACAAUAACCGGAUGGAGAGUUUGCAUGGACCAUCGAAAGUUCAAUAAGGCCAUAAGGAAAUAUCACUUUCCUUUACCAUUUAUUGAUCAGAUGCUGGAUAGGCUAGCUAGAAAGGAAUACUAUUGUUUCUUGGAUGGAUAUGCAGAACAUAAUCGAAUUGCAAUUGCUCCAAAGGAUCAAAAGAAAACAACCUUUACUUGUCCUUAUGGCACUUUUGCCUUUGGGAGGAUGCCAUUUGGACUUUGAGAUGCUUCAUCCAGAUUCCAACGACGCAUGAUGUCUAUUUUUUCAGAUAUGGUGGAGAAGACAUUAGAGGUAUUUAUGGAUGACUUCUCUAUUUUUGGAAGUAAUUUUGAUGAAUGUUGUUGAAUCUUGACAUGGUUCUGAAAAGAUGUGUGGACACAAACUUUGUGCUAAAUUGGGAAAAGUGCCAUUUUAUGGUACAAGAAUGCAUCAUUCUUGGUCACAAGGUUUCUAGCAAAGGCUUGAAAGGGAACAAAGUAAAGAUAGGAACAAUUGAGAAGCUUCCACCACCAACCUUGGUAAAAGGCAUUAGGAGUUUCCUUAGACACACUUGUUUUUAUCGACAAGUCAUUAAGGUUUUUUCUAAAAUUACUAAACCUUUGUUAUUGUAUGUCAUGUUGCAUUUAUAAAAUUGAAAAAGAAAUUGACAUCUACACCAUUAUUGUAGUUCUUGAUUUGUCACUCCCAUUUGAGCUUAUUUGUGAUGCUAGUGACUAUGAUGUAGGUGCAGUGUUAGGACAGAGAAAAGGUAAAGUUUUUCAUUCUAUAUAUUAUGCUUGAAAAACCUUGAUUGAAACUCGGAUGCAUUACACCACUACUAAAAAAGAAUUAUUAGCUGUUAUGUAUGCAUUUGACAAGUUUCAUUUAUACUUGAUUGGCACAAAAGUUAAUGUUUAUAUUGACCACUCUGCAAUUAAGUAUUUGAUUGCUAAGAAAGAUGCCAAGCCAAGAUUGGUAAGGUGGAUAUUGUUGCUACAAGAAUUUGAUUUGGAAAUUAAAGACAGAAAAUGUUCAAAGAAUCAAGUAGUAGACCAUCUAUCAAGGUUAGAGAAUGACAACUAAGGUAAGGACUUAACUUUGAUCAACGAAACCAUUCCUGAUGAACAACUACUAUAUGUUGGUCAACAGAAUUUGCCAUGGUAUGCUGAUUAUGUCAAUUAUAUUGUAAGUAAGCUUCUUCUUCCAAAUUUAAAUAUUAAUAAAAGGAUGAACAUUUUCAUGACAUUAGAUUUUAUGUGUGGGAUCAAUAGACCUUCUUGUACUUAAGAUGAAGGAGGAUCGAAAGGUUCUAAUGAUACUGGGACAUCCAUUCUUGGCCACUGCAGGCUCACUCAUCGAUGUAAAAGAGGGCAAAAUAACUUUCAGAGUUAGAAAUGAGGUAGUUGAAUUUACUAUCUUUAAUGCAACUUAGUACUUUUCCUCCACAACUCAUUGCUAUAGAGUGGACUUAGCCAAUAAAGGUAAAGAUCAGAUUACUCCACCACCACCACUUAAGGAAGCACCAAGCCUUCUUGCUAAACUACCACCUUCAACCUAUCUUGAUUUCGAGGUUGAGCAACAAGUCUCAUUACUUUCUAUCCCACUUCAACUUUUUUCCAUGGAAAUGUAAAUAAAAAAUGAUGGGUCCUUUCAAGAUUGCGAAGAUUUAUCGUUGUGGCAUUAUAGAGGUCGAGAGUGAAGAUACCGGUUUGUUUGAUGGUCAAUGUGUUGAGCCUCAAGCCUUAUGAAAAAAAAGGAUGAAAAGUUGAAAAUAGAGUCUAGCUAAAGACAUUAAAGAAAACGCUACUUAAGAGGCAACCCAAGUUUCUACACUUAGAUACUUUGUGCAAAUAAUUUUUUUCUUUUUUUUUUAGUUUUCUGGAAUUUUAAUUAUUGAUUAUUAAUUUUCUUUUAUGACUUUUUCUUUUAUAAAUAAAAAAAAUUUGACCACGACGCUAGUGAAUCACUCAAGUUCCAUACAGGAACUUGAGGCUAAAGCGCUGCGGUGCUACCUAAUGAGCGUUGCAGUGCCUUAUAACCUAAAAAAAAAAAUUAAGUAUAAGGCUAAGGGUCCGGAGCAACGUCACGGCAUGCUAGGUCCAGUGUCACGGCACCAUGUCGAGCCCAAGGCCAUAUAUAGACCUUCUUCUUUCCAAAUUUUUAAACCUAGGCAACCAUUUUUCACUCUUUUUCUACCCCACUUGUAAACUUUUAUUCUGUUUACACUUACCCAUUACAACAUCACUUCAAAAUACAUAUUUCCUUGCAUCAAACCUUGAGUUUAAAGGAUUUUAGAGAAUUUUUACUUUAUUAGAAGCAUUAAGGUACAAGAAAUUUUGGUAAGUGCUCUAUUUUCUUUGUCUAAUUAUUUCUUAUGUACAAAAUUAUGUUUUAAAGAUGGGUUUUUGCUUAGAAUUGAUGGGCAUAUGCUAGAUUUGGUAAUGUAGUGAAUGGGUUGAAUUUUCAUGAAGUUGGUAUUAAAUAAUACUAAAUUUUUGCACGUAGAAUGAAUUAAAAUAUUAUGAUAGGUUUAAUGUUGUUCAAGUUGUUGUGCUAUUAAGUAGUUAUUCUUGAACAUUCUAUGCUUAUUGGUUUUUAACUCUCAUGUUAUACUAAUGUCACGACCCAAAUUUCGGGCCAUGACCGGCGCAUGGGCUCAAUGGACAUAGUCCACUAAGCCCAAGCAAGCCUAUCAAAUUAUUCUACUCAUCAUACCAUCAAGUAUUGUUAAGUCACAAAUUGUAACUUUAAACCAAAGUAGUAAUAUACAUUGCCAACUCGUACUGGCAUUACUCAUUUAAAAUGUACAUACUUUGCCUACAACAUGUAUCUUAAUAAUUUACAUCAAGUUUGUCUAUACAUCUCAAAAAGAAUACUCAAUUUCUAGCGGAGGGACUCAAAUGAAUGUACCACUACUGAAUGCCGAGACACCUACCAAAAGAUGGACACAGGUCUACAAGGAUACCUUGUCCUAGUUAUCGGCUGCCUCGUGAUCUGAAAACAUGAAUUUGAAAUGGUGAGUAUAAACCUAGUGAGUGAACAAGGAAGGGAACAAGCAACAACAAAGGAAAAUUUAAAAUCAUGAUGCACUAGUUUCAAAACAAUGCAAUUUGGUUCAUUCCUAAUAAAAUCCCUUAUCGAGCCCUUAAGUGAUUAAUCAUUUGAAAAUCAUGAACCCAUACAUAGAGAAUCAUUUGAAGAAUGAAAGCUUCAAUAUUGCACAAGCAAGUCAAUUGCGAGAAUGCCUUUCCGCUGAACCGACGUUGGAAUUUAGUUAUUAACCGAACGAGGGUUUCUCAACUGGCCGAGGGUUUCUCACUAAACCUCCUCAUUUUAAACUUAACUCUUUUAAUCCUUAAUGUUGGAAGUCCAUGCUCCCAUAUGGUAGUAAAGAAGUGAAAGAUAGGGCAGCAAUUGGACAAGAUAAAAGACCAAAACAGAAGGUUUUUCGCUGCAGCGAGAUUGAAUCUCGCUGCAGCGAAAUUUCUACCCAUAAACAAAAUGUUUCUUGCUGCAGCGAGAUUCAAUCUCGCUACAGCAAAAUUGCAACCCAGAAAACAGAAAGUUUCUCACUGCAGCGAGAAUGCAUUUUGCUGCAGCGAGAAGCUACAGUGUCAUUCUCGCUGCAACGAAAAUGCAUCCUCACUACAGCGAGUUUUCAGCCAGCCUACCCUUUCAAAACCUGAGAGUUUCUCACUACAACGAGAAUGAUUCUCGCUGCAGCGAAAUACAGGGCAUCAAUGCAAAAUUUACCUUUCUCCCAAAGGAAAAACCACCCUGCCAAAAGGUCCAAACCAACAUGAAAACACAUAACAAUUUCUCAAGGUUUAACAUGUCAAGUUUCACAUGCAUUACAACCAUAACCCAUUAUCCAUCAAUUUCCUAUAACACACAUAUUUACAUAUNNNNNNNNNNNNNNNNNNNNNNNNNNNNNNNNNNNNNNNNNNNNNNNNNNNNNNNNNNNNNNNNNNNNNNNNNNNNNNNNNNNNNNNNNNNNNNNNNNNNNNNNNNNNNNNNNNNNNNNNNNNNNNNNNNNNNNNNNNNNNNNNNNNNNNNNNNNNNNNNNNNNNNNNNNNNNNNNNNNNNNNNNNNNNNNNNNNNNNNNNNNNNNNNNNNNNNNNNNNNNNNNNNNNNNNNNNNNNNNNNNNNNNNNNNNNNNNNNNNNNNNNNNNNNNNNNNNNNNNNNNNNNNNNNNNNNNNNNNNNNNNNNNNNNNNNNNNNNNNNNNNNNNNNNNNNNNNNNNNNNNNNNNNNNNNNNNNNNNNNNNNNNNNNNNNNNNNNNNNNNNNNNNNNNNNNNNNNNNNNNNNNNNNNNNNNNNNNNNNNNNNNNNNNNNNNNNNNNNNNNNNNNNNNNNNNNNNNNNNNNNNNNNNNNNNNNNNNNNNNNNNNNNNNNNNNNNNNNNNNNNNNNNNNNNNNNNNNNNNNNNNNNNNNNNNNNNNNNNNNNNNNNNNNNNNNNNNNNNNNNNNNNNNNNNNNNNNNNNNNNNNNNNNNNNNNNNNNNNNNNNNNNNNNNNNNNNNNNNNNNNNNNNNNNNNNNNNNNNNNNNNNNNNNNNNNNNNNNNNNNNNNNNNNNNNNNNNNNNNNNNNNNNNNNNNNNNNNNNNNNNNNNNNNNNNNNNNNNNNNNNNNGUCCAACUAGUGAGAGAAAGUGUGAAAACCAGAUUUUUGAAGGUUUUUAAAGUGAGAGGAUGAAAGAAUUCAAAGGUUCUAGUCAAAAGGGUUCAAAGGUGUGAAAACUAGAGCUAGAGAGAGAAAAUCACUCAAGCUUCAAAUCAAGCUUCCAUGGAGUUUUGAAGAAACGUGGGAGAGGAGAAGGGAAGAAGAAGACCAGAUGCUGGAAAUUCAAGAAGGUGUUGGAAAUUUCAAGAUAUUUAUAGGCCAACUUUUCCAUUCCCAUAAAAUUACCAAAUUACCCUUCCACCAAUUAGCUUAUUCUCCUCCAAUCUUUUAUGCAAUCUUUUGCUCUUUUAACACUAAGACAAGAUUCAUAAUGGUCUAGACAUGUUCGGGUUCAUAAAAACUUAAAAUUUUAAUUCGAGGUGAAAAUGACCAUUUUGCCCCUGUUAUGAAAAUUAUUGAAACUUCUAGUUUUCUUCAUUUUUUUUCAUCAGCACACAUCAUUUAUACUGUCUUAUGCCUAUUUAGGCCUUAAAAUAUCAUAAAACGUUCUUCUGGAAGCUUAUUAGAGAAAAUGACGAAACUACCCCUAGCCCAUAUUAUUACAUCUAUACUUAGUCACAAGCCUAUAGAAGUUGGGGUAUCACAACUAACUACUUGUGGUCGAAAGCUUCUUAUUGAUUGGGUGUGUUCCGAUAAUCACCAUGGCAUCAAAGAAAAGGGCAUGCGCUAGUGGAAGUGGAAGCAGUUUUGAUCAAAGCAAAUUUGUUUCAGUCGAAGUUGAAAAACACCACGCUUAGUCCCUGGUGCAGAAAUUCCCAAUACCAGAGCAUGGCAUUGAUGUUCGAAGAGGGCUUUAUCUUGACAUAUGCAACAUCAUUGAUGCACGGUAGUGAGGCAAAUUUUGUGCCUAACCAAAAGUAGCGACAAUGUUAAUUAUUUGUGAAUUUUAUGCCAAUGUCGUUAAAAGUGUGAAUGUGAAAGCAUUCGUUUGAUGACGUCAAGUAUCUUUCGAUGCUCACACUAUUAAUCAAUUUUACAAUGCACCUGACAUUGAGAAUGAUGAGUACAACCAAUUCAUGAAUGGUGAAGUCAAUCUGGGUGAGGUUUUAGGCUUCAUUAGCAUCUUGGGCUCAGAAUGGAAAUUGCACAAGGGUGUUCCAAUUUCUUUCAAAGCUAAUGCCAUGGACAGGGACUGCAGGGUUUGGUAUCAUUUCUUAGUUGCAAAGUUGCUUCCAAUAAAACACUUGAGUGAUGUGAUAAAAGAUAGAGCGAUCCUUUUGUACGUAAUUGUCACUGGGAAAUCUAUUGACAUUGAGUAAUUGAUCUUUAACAACAUUAUCAUGUCAGCCCCGUUCACCAUGCGACAGUUGUGGUAUCCAUCAUUGAUCACUGCCUUGUGCCGUCAAGCUAGAGUUGUUUGGUCGCCCAAUGAGAAAUUGGUACAUCCCAAAAUUCCAUUAGAUGUUGGAAUCAUUCAUCGGUUUCGCAUGCGAAAGCCAUUUACCAUUGGAGGAGGUUCCUCCGUUACAACUCAACCCCCACCACUAACCAAAAUCUUUCCAUGCCUCAGUGAUUAGAACAACUUGAGCGUCAUAUGAACCAUCAAGCAACGUUUUUUAGAGCCAUUGAAAAGGUGAUAAGGGCAUAUGCCCAACAUGUUAGCAUGGACAUAGCUACUUUCUCGACGUUGCUAGCUGACCCGACCCUAGAUGACCGUGCUGAUGAUAAGGUGGUGGAUGAUACAUGACAUUGGUAUGCAAGUUUAGGGGAGUAUUCUCUUUCUUUACUUUUAUUAACAUAAGGGAUAAUGUUAACUUUAAGUUUGGGGGGAACUUAAAAUUUAUUUUUAGUAGUUUGCACUUAUGUAUUUGAAGUUUGAGUUAGUUGUGUAGCAAGUUAGUUAGGAACGUGUUGAAAUAUUAAGCUAGAGUUUGUGCACCAAUAAAAAUUGAUUUAUCUAUCCAAUGAUAAAAACUAAUUGCCUUAUUAUUCUUUUCACUUUUAGAAAGCAUGAAUAUUGUUACAAGAUUUUGUGGAAUUCUUGUGCAUAGCAUCAUUUUAGAAUGUGAUUUCCAUAUUUGAGCACCGUGUUUCUUACACUAUUUUAUGAUGUACAUUUAGAAAAUGAUUAUGUGAGUGUGAAUCUUUAAACUAUGUUUAGAAUUUUAGAAUUUCUUUUAUCCUUUCUUGAGGUGAAAUUGUAGGUUACACUUAGCUAGGAAAUGACUAAGGCCAGCUUUGGAUCGAUUGAGCUUUUCAAGCUAACCUAGUCAGAUUUUAUCCCUAGUAUACCCCUUUGAGCCUAGAUUUAUCUUUUUCUUUGUCAACCAUAAAUAUAUUAGCUUAGCUUGUAAAUAAUUUUCCAAAUCCACUACCUUCACUCCUAAGCAUGUACAUGGUUUUAGGAAUUAUGUAUGGGCUAAAUGAUGAAAAGGUGGAAAUGAUGAGUUGAGAAAAAUUUCAAAUUCGAUCUGAAGUAUUCAUUCUACUAUUAUUGAAAGAAACAAGUUUGGUGGGUGUUGAAUUGAGAAUAAAAAAAAUAAAUGCUUGAUGAAUGAAAAGUGAAAAAAAAAAAGGAAAAAGGUGUACUUGGUGAAGAAAGAUAAGGCCAAUUAGGUCGUAGAAUAAUUAUAUGAUUACGGUGAUUUAAGCCUUAAUAUAUCCUAUAUCAUACCUUAACCCUAGCCAUACAUUAUAAGCUGAAUAAAGUCCGAAGAAUCCAUAGCCAAGUGAUGGCCUACAUUAGUGGAGAGGGAGGUGAAAAAUGAACAUAUGAAAUUCUAAGCUCGUUGAGAUUUGCAUGAACAUAAACUUAUCCGAAGUGCAUGAUGUUCAUUGUAAGAAACUGCACACACACACGAAAAUUCAUUCAAACAAUAAGCAAGCACUUGGAAGAAAUAUGAACUUAGAUAGUAUCCAUGUUUUUUUUGGAGUUUGGAAGAUAAGGUAAUUUAUGAGGAAAUUAAAGGUGAUCAAUGAAGUGGUGCAUUCUCAUAAUUGAUGUUUUCAACUUUGUUGUUUCAUUUUAGUUAUUGGUCAAGGACUAGAAAAAUAAUAAGUUUGGGGGUGUGAUAACUCUAUGGUGUAGAGUUAUUUAGUCAUAUUUUGGAUGCUAAAUUAGCUAAGUCCUUAUGAAUUUUAGUUAGUUUGAGUUAGUUUUUAUGCAUUUUGUUAUUUAGUUUAAGAUAUGUUGAUUUAGUUAAAUUUACAUAAUUUCAGUUCAAUUCAUGUUGAAAUUCUCAAUUUAAGCCAAUACUGAUUUAGUCCUUGUUUUGGUAGGUGUUCAAGUGCAUAAAAGUGCAUUAAUUUAAACGGUGAUGAACUAUGCAAAGAAUACUAAAUGCAGAUUUCCACUAAAUAUAUUGUGGUAAUUUGGACAUAACUUGAGCUACAUAAAUUCAAUCAAUGUGAUUCUUAGACCAUAGGAAAGCUAAGAGGCAGACCUACAACUUUUAUAUUUACCACUCUACUUAGAUCAUCCUUGAGGUAGGAGAAAAUCACAUUGCAAGAUGAGUUACUAAAGCAGUUUCUACACCAAGGUUCUACAAGGAGUAGCGCCAUGGCCUUAAAGAACUCAAGGCCGUAACCCCCAAGGGAGAAUCAAUGUUUCCAUACAAAAACCCAAGGGCUCGGUACCAUAGUGGCCAAAGAAGUGGGCAGCGGUGCCGAUUGAAAGACACUGAAAAAAUAUACUAGGUUGGAGCGUCGUGGCACUUUGAUGUGGAUUAAGUGAUUUCAGCCAAUCAGGGAAUUGAAUUUUUAGGGCUUUUUGGAGGCUAUAAAUAUGUGAUUUUCAGUAGCUGAAAGAGGGAAGACAGAAAAUGAACAAACGAUAGUUUUUGAGAGAAAUGAAAAAGGCUCUCCAACAAGAGAAAUAAAAAGAAAUCGAAGAUCAAGAAUCGAAAGAGGCUUUGUUAUUCUUUAUAGUUUUUCAUUUCUUUCUUGUUUUUUUUUUGCUAUGGAAAUGAUCUUUUCUUUUGAAAUGGUUAUGUUUGUUGUAAAAAUGAUGAUGAACUAAAUUCUUUUUCUAGGAUUAUGGUUUAUUUGAAUAAGUAGUUUGGUAUUAUGAUCUCUUCUAGUUUAGUAUUAUUAGGUGUUGCAUGGUUUAUUCAAUCUAAUGCUUAUUGCUUUUCACUACUUGAUCACUGAUUGAAAUGUAUUGGGUCUCUAAAUGUAACUCAAUGGAAGGGGUUUAAAAUAAACCAUUGUUUUGAAUAGCCUAUGUUUAAUUCACUUCGGAGUUAGGUGAUACUUAUGUAUUCAAAAUAGACAUAUACCUAAAUGCCUUUGGCAACCAAAUUAGAGCACGAAUAUAAUGAACCUUUUCUAAUUAAUUUACAUAGACAUAUGGCAUUAUUUUUAAAAGUAUGUGUGCAUGAUCUCGACAGAGACUUGUACAUAAAAUGGAUUCUAAGUUAACUGUGUACCCCAUUAAUCUAAGUUAAGGAGAAUGAUUAAAUCCAAAUGAAAUAUUGAGAAACGCCAUAAUCCUUGACUUUUGAAUUAAUAUUUUUCUUAGUGAAAUUCUAUUCUUCUUUAUUUACUUUGUUUUAAUAAUUACUUUAAGCUUAAUCAAUUAUUCAAAAUUGAGUGCUUGCAUAGGAUAAAUUUUGUUAUAAAUUUAAUACUUAGUAAGAAUAGGUGAAAAUCUCUAUGAAAAUGAUACUCAACUCACCUUUAUACUACUUAUACCACCACAUGCACUUGCAUGUAUUAAAUCGACAACACAUCUUGAUAAUUUUGCAUGUAAUAACACAACCCUCCUGUAAAACUUGCCAGCAAUAUUAUUCACUUUCCAAUGGCAUUUCCAUCUAUAUCACCUUUCAUCAAAGCAUCAACAACUCCUUGGAACACUUCAGUUCUAUAUUUUUUUCUAAUUUUUUAAAUUAUAAUAUAAUCUAAUACCUUCAACAGUGGUGAAUGCAUCAGUUAUAUAUUUGUGAAAUAACUUCCCACCCAUGAACAAUGUCAAUCCUUGACUCAAGCAAAACAUAAGCAUAUACACGUAGAACUUUCUAACAGUGAUUGUGCCUCGUUUUGUCUGAGUUGUGUGAUCUUUCUUAUAUGGAACACCAAGACCAAAUUCCUCAUAAGGAAAUAGUAGUAGAUACUGUAUAAAUAUAAAUGAUGGAUGCAAAUCAUUUAUCCUUCACAAAUUAUGCCAUCUAUGUUCCAAAAUGAUAUCACAUUUGUCAACCAAUUAAUCCAUAUAACCCACAAUUAAGGUAGCUAUUUCUGAAGACACAAGAUUCAUAUAUUGCAGACCAUCAUUUCUUCAUCUUUCAAUAAAUUUUAAUCUAAUCAGUAGGUAAUCAGACUCUUGAAAUCUCUCUUUAGCCAUUCGAAAAGUCUUGACAAUCUCAUUAGUUUCGUCAAACAUCUUCAUUAAUUGUUCCGCAAUAUUUGCAUCCAUAGUCAAUUGAUUCAGGUCACAUCCUAAUGCAACAACUAUGUUAGACAUUUCAUUCUCGGUGUCAUAUAUGUAGAGUAGAGCAAAUUUUGUUUUGUAACCAUCAACAGCUAAUAAAAAACCUAUCUUAUGAUGGUUUUACCUGCUUACCUUAAAGACUUAUGUCCUGGUUUCUAUUGAUUUCAUUAUCUAUUUUACCACUUAUAGAGAUGAAUUGAAACAUUAAGUUAUAAACUCAUCUGUUAUCUCUAAAUUUCAAAGCAGUUUGACCACCUCUAAAUCAAGUAAUGCAACCAAUAAUGGGGUUGGUUGUUUGGAAGGCGGUAAAAAAACAUUUUACCUUUUAAACAACACAUAGUGAAUCUCGACUAUUGUUGAUUCCUAUUCUUAUUUUUUCUCUCUUCAUACAACAUCUGCACACCACAAAAGAAACAUGUGUAUUUUGGGCCACCAAAAUCUAGAGGUAAAAAAGAUGGAUCUAUAAAUGGAAUGUAUAGAAUAGUUAGAAACCUUAGGAGGAAAAGCAACAAUUCUAUAUGUAAGAAAGACGUUCAUGGGGAAGCUAACCUUGAUGAAAAUGUUCUGGAUUUGAAUUCUUAGCAUGAAAAUUCAUAGUGCUAUCAUUGUUGAACUCAGUAGUUGUUCUACUAUGAAUAGAUUGUUGAUUAAUUGAUGAUGCAUUGUUUUCAUCAGCAAAAGGAUAAACUAUGGAAGGAUCAUCUAAAACGAUAGAACUGCACCCUGGAAUAUUAUUGUCACAAUGUUGACACUUAACAUCAAUAGAAACAGUUUUUUGCCUUCGAGAAUGCGGACAGUCAUAUUCAAAGUUUUGAAUGUCAUAUGACAAAUCAAUGCCACCAUAACUAAGUCUUUGUUUAGAAUUUGUAAUCAUACCAGGUAUAUUUCAAUAUAGCUUAUGCUUGCUGAUGAACAAUGAUUUUCAUAUAGACGUGGGUUCAUGAACCAUGAAUUAUGAAAAUUUGAAGAAAUAAAAACAUUGGCCAAAUGUUCAGACACGGUGUGCAAUUCACCAUUAAAGCCAACCAUAAAGGGCAAGAAAACAUCGAAAUGACAUACAACAAAAGCAUAGCAAUGAAAGCGAAAUUUAUUGUAUUCCAUUUUGUAACCUUCGAUUUUUUCUAUUCUUAAACAUAUGAAAAAAUGAAACACAUAUAGUUGUCUAAAAAUAAAAACAUCAAAUGCAUCUAAAAGAAACCUCACCCGCUAUUAUUAAAACAAACAGCAUGUCAAAGAAUAAGAAACAGAUUUAAUGCUUAAGAAGAAAAUAUCACUAAUUUUUCAACAUAAUGGUAUAAUCAAGAACGAAGAAAGAAAAUGAAAGAAAUAUAUGUCAAGCCAAAGAAAAAAAAGGUAAAAUAAUCCUGACCCUUAUUUAUGCAUAUAAUGGUCUAAAAUUUUAAAAGUAAUUACCUUUAAAAGUAGAAUGAUGAAUAGUCAAUCAAGUAGAAUAUAGUUCACUAUGGAUUUAUUGAAGAAUACAACAAUCAUUAGCAUUGUAUAACCACUACAUGAAAGCAAACAAAACAAAAAGUAUGAAGAAGACAAAUCACAAAAAUUCAAUAACCAAAAAUUCAAUGAAACUGAAUAUAUCACUCUAACUAUAGCCGUAAAUCAUACGAUUUCUCAUAUGACAAACUACAAAAAUUGGAUAACCAAAAACUCAAUCAAACCAAAUAUAGGAAAAAUGUGUUCAUAGCCAAUGAAUAACAAAACAUUAAUGUUAAACGUGAAGGUGAUAGGUAGAGCUAAAUUAUAAGUUAUAAUGCAGCAAAUUGUUACGGGUACCUAAAUACACUCUUUUUGAAAGCAAUUUGUCAACUUCUUAUGCUUGCUUGCAAGCUAAAUCUUUAGUAUAAGCAACCACAACUUCAAGUAAUGGAUUGUACUUGGUGUUUUAGCAGUAAGUAAUCAAUAUUUGUUGGACAAAAUAAACAUAGACAGCAUGGACAUGUUUUUCUUCAUACCUAUUUAACCUUUUCAAAAAAAAUUCUUACAAGCUCCUCAAAAGUAAUCUGUUUUGUCUUAAUGAGUUCUCCUACUUCAAGAACUUGGUAAAAUCCAGAGAAUGUCAUAUAUAAAAUUAAAUCAUAGCUAGUGAUUUUUUUUGUAUAAGUGGCCUACCACAGCCCACCAACAAAAGGUUUUCUUCUUAAGUAUCAUUACAUAAUCAAAACGUGGAAACUUUGCUUAGGCUCUUAGUUUCCAAAUUUUAGGAGAAAUAUCCAAUCCAAGAUUAAUUAAUUAAAGUAAAAAAUAACUCAUGCAAUUAUAUCAUUAACAUGUAUUUCUAUUAAAAUGAUGACAUUUAUAUGCCGUUGACAGUUUGAACCUUACAUCCAUAAAAUCUAAUAGUUGACCCAACAAUCAACCAAAAUAAGUCAACAAUGAAGCAUUAAUCAUCAUAAAUGCCAUUCAGGAUGAAUUUGCCCAACACUUGCACUACAAUCUUCAUAGCCAAUAAUUUUCAGCACAUCAUAUCUAAGUAUUUAUGUUUCUACUAACUACUAAAAAGUAUAAAAAUAUGGUAGAAAUGAAGAUGAUCUUAUUGACUUUCCUUAUUUAAUAAAAAAACUAUAGUAAAUCAACAAGAAGAAAAGAAAUAAAUGUAUUUCAAGUGUAAUAUCAAACAACACAACAAUUCUUAGCCAUGCAUAAUCAUUGCAUCAAAACAAAUGAAACAAAAAUAAUAAGAAGAUGAAUCAUAGAAAUUCAAUAACAAAAAUUCAAAAAAAAAAUUAUUCUUUUUUGUAGGAGCAUCAACUAACUAACACUCAUGAAGGCAAUAUCUUUUUCACUCUUAGGUUUUCGAAUGCUCAAAGUCAACGGAUAAUUAAAUCUAUUGGGCUCACUGUUUUAUUCAAAUAUCAAGGUUAUUAAUUGACAAAUCGAUGUUACUAUAACAAACACCAACAAUACCUCGUGCAUCAUCAUAAUAAGCAUUUAAAUAACAUAAACUAUUAAUCAUGCCUCAAAAUGCAAACCAAAGGCUUAAAGUCAACUAGUUAGUGUGUUAGUAUCAGAGUGUAGGGCUAAAAUGCGAUGCAAAUGUAUAAGUUUUGGGUCAAUGAGGAAUACAUGAUAUAUUUAUGCAAAGCAUUGGAUUAUAAGAAAUAGGUUAUGCAAACAUGAAAUACAAAAAUGGUGUCAAAAGUAAUUAUAUUUUAAUCUUUGCAGGUUCUAUAUCAAUAUUUAUGUUGUUUAAAUUGUAAUCAAUUGCUUGUUUUGGGGCAUGGGAAAGUAUUAGUUAAACUUUCCUUUGAUUGUGCAAUAGAAAUCGAAGCAUUGGCUUAACUUUUUCUAUUUCUUUACCUCUACUAAUGAGAUAUUCAACUUUGAAAUAAAUGCAAAAAAGAUAAUGUUUCUUUAUCUUACUUCUUUUCUCUGAACCUUAAAGUUGCAUGUUUAUUACAUUUUCUUAAUUUAUACAAUUUUUUUUUAGCAUCUUUGGACGCUACAAAGCAGACAAGACAUGCAAUCAAAGAUGAUUGGCAUAAGGAGGUCUAUCAAAAGGUAAACAGCAAACUAUCUUGACUACUCUUAUUGUAGAUUAAAUACACUUAUUGACUUGUUUCCAACACAGUUUUAAGAUAUCUAAAUGAUUACUAAUUUAGGGUAAAAAAAUGGCUAGAAUGCAUUACUAAAUUACAAACAUCAUAUCAAAGAUUAUCUAAGGUGUGUGUUAUUGGAUUGUAGCAAGAAGAUGGAUCUAGUUGUCUUAUGGGAAAGACAUCAGAGAUGGAAUAGAUUUUCUCUUUUCUUUUUUUUUUUUUUUGCUUACACUAGUUAUUAUAAUCUAUGAUAAUUGAUGUAUGAGGAUGAUACCAUCAAGUAGGCCAAAAGGCUCUUGCAUGCUUAUCCUAAUAAUAAUCAAUUUCAUACCUCUAUUCGUGAAGUUCGUUUGAAGUAUUAUAUGUAUAUUAUUAAGACUAUUAGAUGCAAAACAUUAUGUGUUAUUGUUUUACUUUGCAAAUUAAAGCAAUGAAAGAGAAGUACUUACCUGUAUUAAAUGGGAUGCACCAAAAAAUUAUCGUUAUACCACAGCAGGUCAGUUUAUUUCUUUAUAUAAUUUUGUAUCUUCAUUACUUCACCUUAAUAAAAGAGUUUGAAAACCCAUCUGAACCAUAAUUCGCCUCUCGAAAUCCCUAAAAAAUCAUAAAAAAGCUCGAAUUCGUUUCUCAGAAAUCAAACAGAAACUACUCGCUUUUUGGGUAACACUUGAGCAUUUAACUACCCAAAAAAGUAAAAUAAAAAAGUGAAAACACUACAUAUGAACACCCAAAUGCCUAAAAAUUUCAAAAGAUAAUGAGUAGUGAAUCAAAAUUCCUUUUCUUUUUUCAUACAUUUCCCCAGAAACCAAAAAUAGGAUAGGAAAACAAAACCGAAUUAAAUAGUGAAACUGAUGAAGCUGUAGCUACCAAUUAGUCGAUCCACCUUAAAUGAGUCAAGGCUGGUAAUGAGACUCACUCUAUAGAGUCGAUUUAACCAAGUUCAACGCCCAAAUGAUAGAUAAAAAUUGAAAGGCAAGUGACGAACAAAAAGAAUAGAAAACAAAAAGAAAAGAUAUGAGAAAAUCCCAAAAUAUCCUUCUAAAAACACUAAAAGACAAACACAAGUGUCAAACCAAAGAAAAGUCUGUACAUCAUAUUCAUUAUAUUAAGAUAUGUGAGCACAAUGAUAAAAAUAUGUAAGAGGAAAUUGUGAGAAAAGGAUUUCAUGAUAAGGUGAUUUCAGAAAUAACCAUCAAUAUAAAGUUAUCUAUUUCUAGCCAAAAAUAAGCAUGAGUAGACCAAAAUGCCUUUAAAAACAUCAUUUCAAAUAAAUGCUUAGUUGUUUGAGCUAUCUGCCUCCCGCCAGAGAGAAAAUAGAAAAAAAUAAAAAUAAAUGCGUGCAACUGUUUGGGCUCGGUCAUCUUUCUCUCUCAACUCUCUGAGCUGUCUCCACUCUAGCAAGUCUCUAUUGAGCACCAUCUUUGUCAGCUCUCUUAGAUCUCUGAAUUGUAUGAGCUCUAUCAACUCUCUGUUGAGCACCAUCGUCAUUGGGCUGUGGUCUAUCUCUUGGCAUCUAGCCACAUUGUCGUCGAUUAACAAACCCUAUAGCAGAGAUGACAUCAAGGUACCUAUUGUUGUGUUUAUUUAUGUAAUACACUUAAAUUUUUGAAACAUUUGGUGUAAAUUAGAAGAUGGAUUAGAAACAUUACCCGAAGUUGUUACACGCCAUGCAUCUAUAACAUGUGUUAAGAGUUAUUUUAGCGUGUUACGGUUGUUCCUGGCGUGUUGUGGGUUAACUAGUUUUUUUGGUUGUUAGCGUGUCACAGCUGGUCCUGGCGUGUCAUGGGUUAACUGAAUUUAUGGGUUUUUGGCAUGUCACGACGUUCUUGGCUUGUCGUGGGUUAACUGGUUUUUUGGGUUUUUAGCUUGUCACGGCUGUUGGUGUAACGAGUCAGUAUUUACAGUUAUUGGCAUGUCCCGACAGUGAUGCAUGGCAUGUCACAACAUUUUACGUUAUAUGCAUGGCGUGUAACAACAUGACUGACAAAUUUUUAAUCACGGCAUGUAUUAUGUAAAAUGAUUAACAAUAUUUUUUUUUCAAAAUUUCAGUGGGGUUUCAAUUGUGCGACUUGUGAUAAGACACGAUGGUCAGUGGGUGGAUGGCAUUUAUAGGGGUGGUGAGUCACGAAUGCGGGGGGUUAGGAGUGAUUUGUCGUUUGUGGGCUUGAUGAAGCUGGUGGAAAAUGUUGUUGGGGUAAACUCAAAAAUUGACGAGAUUGAGUUACAUGCAUUGAUCAGUACACCCGGAGAGCUAUCACGGCCAAUUAUCAAGGACGAUGAGGAUGUUGCAUUAAUUUUGCUAGAAUAGAGGAAUGUUCCGACUGUGUAUGUCAGCAUUAAGGGAUGCCAAACAAAUGUUAUGUCACAUGAAGAAGUUGGACAACAUGGUAAUCAGCUCAAUCAAAAUGAGAUUUAUAAUGCUUCACAUAUACCAGAGCAUUUGGUCCGUAACCCACAACAAUGGCAAUUGAAGUAUGCACAAUAGUUUGUGCAGCCCGGUAGACAAAGACAUUCGCAGAACAGUUGGCUGCACAAUUUCAAUCAGGAUGUGCAUCAAACUGAUUUCUUGCUUCUCUUAAACAAAUGCAACGAUUGGGUGAAACUGUAGAGUGUGUAAUGCCAUUGUCAAAUGAGAAUACGACAGUUGAGGACAACAAUGUGAUGUGUGGAGGGUGACAUUGCGAUGCUGGAGGAUAAUAUUGCAUUUGAUGAAGGAAAUGAGGAUUUGUUCACUACAGGUGAAGAUAGAUUUGAUGACACUUCAGAUGAUGGGCUUGAACAAUCACAAGAUGAUAGUUCAGACGAUGACCGCCUUUAUGACAGUGGCAUUCCAAUUUGCAAUAAUGUUGAAGGCAAAACGGAACCUGUUGAAGGUGUUGAUGUAGGAGAUGUUCAGUGUGAUGACCCCAUAUACAAUAACCCCAUCGUUGGUGAGAAUGGGAUUCAUUCCCUUGAUACAUUGCUCGAUGACAGUGAUCAGGAAAGGGGAAAUGCAGGGAUAUCUCGUACGUGGCUAAUUGCAGGUGCAGAAAGGUUCUUAUUGCAAACAAUUACCACUAAGGAGUCAACAUGUGCUGAAGAUCGCUUAUACAAAGGAAGAAUGUUUUCGUCGAAGGCCGAGUUGAAACGAGUUUUGAACAUGUUGGUUAUAAAAAAGAAGUUUGCGAUAAGAGUAAAAAGGUCAUGUAAAGCUCGUUAUGAGGUUGGUUGCAAGGACAAGGCAUGCAAGUUCAGUGUUCUUGCAACGAAGUUACCUGAUAGAGGAGAAUAUUGGCAAGUUCAGACAUUCCACAAAGUACACACCUGUACCGUUGAUGGUUUGCAAGGGUAGUUUCCAACUACGAGUGCGAAGAUGAUUGGUGAACUUAUGUCACAUAAGCUUUGUGUUAAUGGAGUAGCAUUGAGACCUAAGGACAUAAUUUGUGAGAUGAGGGUUCAGUGAGGAUUGGAAUGCUUGUAUGGUAAGGCUUGGCAAGCGAAAGAGUAUGCGAAGAGGCUUGUUUUUGGUCCACCGGAGGAGUCAUUUCAACUACUACCAUCGUAUUUUUAUAUGUUGGAACAAGAAAAUCCUGGCACAGUGAUUGUAGUGGCUACUGAUGAGGAAGAGAGAUUCAAAUAUUGUUUUUGGUCAUACAGGGCUUGUAUUCAGGGGUUUAUGGAUGUAAUGCGUCCUAGGUUGCAAUUGAUGCUACACAUCUGAAAGGCAGGUUCAAAGGUGCUUUGUUUGUCACUGUAUGCAAAGAUGCGAACGAGUGCGUAUAUCCAGUUGCAUUUGGCAUCAGCCAUGUUGAGGACGAAGACUCGUGGACGUGGUUUCUUAGCAAGCUGCGUGAUGCGGUUGGUUGUCCUGAAAACACUAUGUUCAUAUCUUAUCAGUAUUUCGGCAUUAAGAAAGUAAUCCAAAAUGCAUACCCAGAAGCGCACCAUGGUUUAUGCGGUUACCACUUGAAAAAAAACUUUAAAAACAAGUUCAAGUGCGACGAUGUUUGUAUGCUUUUCACCCUUGCUCGAGAUUGCUAUAGGUGGUCGAUUUCAACAGACAUAUGAACCAAAUACAGCAGAUUCACCCGGGAGCCCACGCGGACCUUAUGAGAAUAAGGCCUGAGAAAUGGGCACGUGCAUGUUCACCGGCAAGGCGAUACUAAAUGAUGACAUCCAACAUUACGGAAUGUAUUAACUCAUGCUUGAAGCAUGCAAGACAAAUGCCGAUCACUGUUUUGAUCGAGUUCAUCAAAGACAUGUUCCAGCGUUGGUUCCAUGAACGGUACUAGGAGGCCGUCAAGGUGACCACACCCCUCAGCCCUUGGGUUGCCAGGUAGCUGAGCAAAAGGUUCAAUGAUGCACAUCGCUUUCUAGUUAAGCCUAUCAAUCGAGUGAAGUUCGAAGUUAAAGAUGGGAAGAUGGACGAACUUGUAAACUUGUCCAGGAAUAUGUGUUCAUGUUGUGUGUUCCAAAUAGAUUUACUGCCACGCAGCCAUGCCAUUACAGCAAUAAGGUCAGAAUAUCUUUAUUUCUUAUUUGAACCGUAAUUGACAUAGCAUUUACAUUGUGCUUGAAGAUUGAGCUUAUUAUGUUUUUCAGUAAAUGCAAUCGUUAAGCCAUUGAAUUCUGCGCUGACUACUACAAGACAACCGCUUUGGUGGAGGGUUAUUCAGGAUCUAUUAGGCCGGUAGCACAUCCUAGUGAGUGGGACAUCUCCCCUCAUGUGAAACAAAUUGUCAUCUUGCCCCCACCUUGGCAAGGCUAAGCGGGAAGACCUAGGAGGAGAAAGAUUCCAUCAGCUGGUGAAGGUAGUCGAGCACGGAGAUGUUCGCAAUGUAAGAGGUACGGGCAUAAUAGACAGAACUGCCCAUCUCCAUUUGCAGUUCAAUCCACAAAUCCGGCACCAUCUCCAAGUCAAUCGGUGCCUCCACGACUAUGUUAACCCAAAGCAUGUUCAAGUUGCAGACAAACCAAUCACACACGUAACAACUGUCCAAUACGAAAGACAAUGUCUAAAAAUGUAGGGUGUGUUGUGGAUAAAGAUAGCUUGUUCGCCUAACUAAAUGUGUCUGAAAAUUGUAGUUAAUUUCGUUUUUCUUUACGGAUUUGUUUGCUCGGUCAUUCUAUGAGCCACUUUUAGUUACGGACUUUGUUGCCAAACAUUUCAGGCAAAUAAGCAUGUCAAGGCCUCUGUCUGAUCAAGAUCGUGUUAAAGUACAUUAUUACAUUGUUUGUAAGAAUGUUUUCGAUUACAAUCUCCAUCAAACAGGAGCGUUGACAGGCUUAUCUGCCUGAAAUGUUUGGCAACAAAGUCCGUAACUAAAAGUGGCUCAUAGAAUGACCGAGCAGACAAAUCCGUAAAGCAAAACGCAAUCAACUACAAUUUUCAGACACAUUAAGUACAAAUGGCUACACAAAUCUUAUGAGGGAACAACAAGCAUGGAAUGGCUACCAAUAUUAAGAGAUAAAGUCCCUAUACUGUUACCCCAUUUGUCACAUUUUAUUACCACUUGUAUCAAAUAAUUAAUGAUUUGAUUUAAUUCCUUUCUAUUUCAUUUGAUAAACUGUUUAUAUUCUUACUGCAAGUCUUGUGGUGACACGUUGAGUGCAUGCAGACUUUGCAUCUCAUGUAGACUAACCUGAUAUUUUAAUUUGGGGGUUUUUGGCUCUCAUAUGCUUAUCCAUACUCAAUAUUAAAACCCACUGUAAGUGGUGGCAGUUGCAUUACAUCACAAAGACUCUCGAAGAGAUAUGGGAGUAUAAUGCAGUGAAGCCUACGUGCUUCAGGAUGCUCCUGGAUGUCUAUCCAUAAGCUUUGUCUAUCAAACUUUGACCUUGCUUACACGGUUGAGUUGAUUGUAGCCCAGUACAGUUUUCCUAGUACCCCAAGGGAAGCAUACAUGGGUUUGUCAUCCCUCUGCAUGAAGUUUGGAAACUCCCUUGGUUUCAGGGAUCGAGCCAUCUCAGCUGGUGCUGCUGUCUUUACAAAAUCAACAGCCAUAGAGUGAAGAGUUGCCAAUUCUAGGCUUGAUCGAGACGUCGAAUCAUGGACCUAGAAUUGGCAACUCUUCACUCUAUGGCUGUUGAUUUUGCAAAGACAGCAACACCAGCUGAGAUGGCUCGGUCCCUGAAACCAAGGGAGUUUCCAGACUUCAUGCAGAGGGAUGACAAACCCAUGUAUGCUUCCCUUGGGGUACUAGGAAAACUGUACCAUGCUACAAUCAACUCAACUGUGCAAGCAAGGUCAAAGUUUGAUAGACCAAGCUUGUGGAUUGACCUCAAGGAGCAUCCCGAAAAUGUACGCUUCACUACAUGAACUCCCCCGUCUCUUGGAGAGGCAAAAUAUCAAGAUCCUCAUUUUGUAUGCGUUGGAUUUGCAAAACAUGGCAUAGAUGCACCAAUGAGUUAAGCCAUCAUGUGCAACAAGGUAUACAAAAGAAAUAAAUAAGGAAUAAAUAUGAGACACUCCAUGCAAAACAAGUAAAAUGUUGUGACACGUCGUGUAUAUGAAGUAAAAUAUUCUAACACGUCAUGCAUAAAAAGUAAAUUGUUUUGACACGCCAUGCAUAACAAGUUAAACGUUGUGACACGCCAUGCAUAACAAUUAAAUUGUUCUGACCCGUCAUGAAUAACAAGUAAAUUGUUCUGACCCGCCAUGCAUAACAAGUUAAACGUUGUAACACGUCAUGCAUAACAAUUAAAUUUAUAAGUCUUGGAGAUUUCUGGUGUGACACGGCACGGCCCAAUUGUUCUGACACGCUGAGUGAAAGCAGAUUUAUUGACUGACACGCUGAGUGAUAGUGGAAUUACGAUGUCACACGCUGACUUCUUGCAGAUUUAUGGGGUCACAGGCUGAGUGCAAGCAGAUAUAUGUGGGGACACGCUGAGUGGUAUCAUGUUUAUGGUGUCACACGCUGACUUCUUGCGACUGUGUAUCAAAUUAAAUAUAUUGUAUAUAGAAAAGGAAAAAAAUUCUUGGUAUCAAAUUAAUUGUAUAUAGGCAAAAAAUUGUGUAUAAAAUAAUUGUAUAAAGUAUAUUGUGUAUACAGAAAGAAUUAAUUAUGUUUACAAUGAAUUGUAUAAAAUAAAUUGUGUAUACAAAAAAUUUAUGUAUAAAAUUAAUUGUAUAAAAAAAAUUCUGUACACAAAAAAAUUAUACAAACAAGGGCCGAUAUGUUCAGAGUUCGCUCUCACAACUGUUGAAAAAAAUUUCUAGAGCAUAUUGCCGAUGCAUUUUUGUAAUCAUAUUCUACUUAAUUUUGAUCUUUUCUGAUUGCAAAAUAUGGUCCAUGUACCCUAUCAUGAACAUACCGCAGCUGACACUAUCAUUCUGUCGAUGCAUUUUAGCUUUUGGCAAAUGAAUAUCCAAUGGCAUCGACGUCAAAUCCCAUCUCUUCCGAUGUAUGUUGUUGAAAUAACAGGCUUGGUGGCAGAUGAAUGGCAACAUUGUCGUCAAGGGUGUCAUCUGACCCGCACGAACUCUUUUAUCCUUAGCAUCCGAAGUUCUUGCUGAGUCCACCACCUUGAUCGUCCACUUCACCAAGUCGAUCUUUACAACCACCCAAUGCCCACCAACGUUGCAAGGCGCGAGGAUGAAAUCUGCAUCUUCCCAUUUUUUGGCGUAUGUUGGCCUUUCACCCUCCACAUACCCCCGUAACUCAUUUGGAAUUUGCAUUAUGGCCCGAGCAUCUUCUGUUGAAAAUUCGGUGUGUAGCAUACGGAUGGUGUCUUAUGAAACAUGUAAACAUUAGCUUACACUUCAUGCAAUCAAAAACUUAGUAUUUAUAGAAUUGAACAAUUUUCAAAUAAACUUACGAAGAAUAUCGUGUCAACCACGCAUGCACGGGUAGUGUACAGCGUCGAUUUCGACCCUGUCAUUCGCUUGUAGAGUAGGCUGAGGCAUGUGUCGAUAUGUUCACUUGUCAUUUCCUCAUUGGGAUCUUCUAAGGUUAUGAAAAAGUCAGCCCUUGAUCCCCUAAGAUGCCGACAUUAUGCCUGUAUAUGUAACAUAAUGAAUUUCAUAAGUCUUGGUGGAUUAAUGUUUCAUUAAAAAACAAUAUUUGCAAUGUUAUUUACGAGCUUACCUCGUGGACUCGUCUUUCUUGAAAGCUUCAUAGUCUUCUAUGAUUUUAUCCCUCACAUCUCGACGGGUCACUAAGGGGUCGACGAAUGGGCUUGCCAUGUAUUUGCUCGCCAUUUUUAGCCGUGCCUGCUCAGUUGGGUCUGAAAUGUCUACUGCACCAUGAUAGACAGUAGAUGACUCUAGUGACGAUAAUCGUAUCUCAACUACAUUAUGAGUGCUCCCACGAUAAAGAACGAUAGCUCCUGCUGCUACAUCAACGAAUGCAUCAGCCGGAGGAAGAUGUUGUCCUUCAGCCAUGACUGAGUCAGGAUGCCAGUCCCCUCCAGCAGAUGCAUCAAUAAUGGACUCGGGCAGAGGAACAUGCUCUCCUUCAGUAUCAUCUGAUUGAAGGGUGACAUCCAUUGCCACAGCUUCAUCGACAACGCCAUCGACAUGAGUUACGUGCUCUCCGUCAGCACCAAGAACAUCAUCGUCAAUGUCAACACCAGGUUCAUGAUGCUAUCCAUCAUUAACAUCAUCGUGCUCCAGACCAACACCGUGAGAUGGACAAGCCUACAAAAUUGAAAAAAUCUUUAGUUAGCUCAUAAAAUAACACAAACCAUAAACAGUAAAAUGUUGUGACACGUCGUGCAUAUCAAGUAAAAUGUUGUCAUACGCCAUGCAAAACAAGUAAAAUGUUGUGACAUGCCAUGCAUAACAAGUAUACGUUGUGACACGCCAUCCAUAACAAGCAAAUUGUUGUGACACGCCGAGGAUAACAAGCAAAAUGUUCUGACACGCCAUGCAUAUCAAAUCAAAUGUCGUGACACGUCAUGAAUAACAAGUAAAAUGUUAUGACACGCCAUGCAUAUCAAGUCAAAUGUUGUCACACGCUAAGGCUGACACGGCAAUAACUAACUAUAAUACAAAUGUCCUAACCCACUAAUGAUAAAAAAACUAGUUAAACCACUACCACUUAACCCCAAAAACCAUCAAACCAGCAAGAAAACAUAGUCUAAAUAGUUGCUAAACGUAAACCAUCAAAAUACAAGCGAAGAUAGAAUAACGUACUUGUGAUUUAAGGCCAUCAAGAAUCCGACCAACGAUACGGUCCUUAAGCGUCUACAUUGCUAGAUUCAAUGACUGAAUUGAAGCCUUCAACUCCAACAUCUCUUUUUCAUGCUUGCGCAUGAUCUGUUGGAGUUGACGGGUAAUGACUGCUCCGUCAUUGACUGUUCUCAACUGGAUCAACUGCAAUAACAUAUAUAACUGUGUUAUUCAAUAAUCAUAUAUGGAAUUGUUGAACAUUAACCGUUACAACUUUAAUAUCCUAACAUAUGGCUCGUUAGUAGUCUGCAGUGGAGUCGAACCAAUCAAUGCUUGAGGACCUGUCGUCGCUUCCUCAAACUGCAAUUACAUUUAUAACUGUGUUAUUCAAUAAUCAUGUAUGAAAUUGUUGAACAUUAACCGUUACAACUUUAAUAUCCUUACUGCCGGCUCAUUAGCUGUCUACGGUUUAGCCGGACCGAUCGGUGCUUGAGGACCUGUAGUCGCUUCCGUAAACUGUAAUUACAGAAAUUACUAUGUUACUCGAUAAACAUAUGUGGGAAUGUAGAACACAAACUGCUAGAACCGAUCUUACCAACGGGUCGUUUCCAUUCUGCGUCUGAGGAGGACCGAUGGGUGGUUCUAGAGCUACUGACGCAUAAUCCAAUUGCAAACACAAAAAUGUUAUUCGAUAAUCACAUAUGGAAUUGGAGAACACAAAACCGUUACAAUUGUCCUUACCGACUGUUCACUGUCUUGACCAUGGUCGUCCCCUUUGUCUAUCAACUCAGGGCCCGACAGCUCAUCAACUAAAGCAGCGAUGGUGCGCAUCCAUUUCGUGCCACCAAAGGCUCUUUUCCUUCAAGUUUCUCCUUUUUUGCCUCGUACCUAAGCCCUAAUUCGACAAAUCCUCCAUGUGCCUUAUUGGCAUGUACUCGUGGCCCUCCGAUAAGGGAACAUCAAGGUCCACAAAAUACUCCUGGAGGGCCUCAUCCGCGGUGGGUUCCAACGUCUCUAGUGCCCACAACUGCAAAUAAACGAAUAAAAUGUUAUCAUUAUCGAAUAGAAAAAAUUAUAUAUAAAUAUAACGCAAAAAUUAGCAGAUGUUCACUCACAUGGUCAGAUGACUCUAACUUUUGAAUUGCCUUGUAGAAGUCUUUUGGCUUCUGAUUGCAAUCUCAUCUGUACAUUCGUGGGUAGACGUUGUCCUUCGAACCAGAGAGAGCAACUAUUUUUCAGAAGGCCGAAAUUGCCUCCAUUGCCUAGAACUGUCUGUCAAAUGUAACCAUUAUCAGACCGUAAAUCAUAAACGAGUGCACCCAUAAAUUUUUUUUUCAAAAGGAAACUGAAAAAUGUUACGUGAUAGUACCUGUAUCACCCAUGCGAAUCCGUAAAUGUUGUAGUGUAACCGAGUUUCCUUUGUCAUGCUUGAGUCAAGCAUUUCGAAUCCCUUCAAAAGGUAGUCCAAGGUCAGCUUCCAAACAUAGUGUCCCCAUGGGAAGACAUUCCAAGCGUCGAUGUCUUCCACCAAUGACAACAACCAAGGCGUCACCCGUCUACAGUAGUCUUGACUAAAUAAAAUGUUAUUCGCGAUCAAGACGAGUGCCAUCUUGGUCGCGUCUCCUAGUCACUGGAAGUUGCCCCCGUGAAACAUAUCAAGCAAAGCCUGCAGCUUAACGCUCUCUUGCCCAUUCCAAUAUCUGUCAUGAAUUCCCUCCACAGCAACCUCGUACAAUCGUCUGAACACAUCGGGCAUUGGACCAAACUUUAGCCCGUUGAUGAGGCAGAACUCCUGCUUUGAUAGUCGCGCCUUGCUCUUGCAAAUGGUAAACCAUAGCUCGUGGUCUAUUGACUGGCUCUUAGUGAUUCGGCGAAUCAUGAUACUGUGUAAAAGAUCGAUGCAAAAGUACCCCUGUGGAUAGACGUCCAGGAGCAUUCUGAAGCAAGUACGCUUAACUGGAUCGUACUCCCCCUUUUAUUAGAGAGUCUUUGUGAUGUAAUGCAGCUGCGACCACUUACAAUGGGUGUUAAUUGCGACGUUGAAUGCCCACUUCUCCCUCGGCACAUCAGCAAACUGUCAAGAUCCUCAUACUGUCUACGAUAGAUCUGCAAAACAUGGCACACAUGCACCAGUGAGUUAAGUCGUCAUGUGCAACAAGGUACACUGAAGACAUAAAUAAGGAAUAAAUAUUGUGACACGCCAUGCAUUGCAAGCAAAAUGUUGUGACACGCCAUGCAUUAUAAGUAAAAUGUUGUGACACGCCAUGCAUAACAAGUUAAACGUUGUGACACGCCAUGCAUAUCAAGUAAAACACUGUGACACGCCAUGCAUAACAAGUAAAACGCUGUGACACGCCAUGCAUAUCAAGUAAAAUGCUAUCACACGCCAUGCAUAUCAAGUAAAAUGUUGUCACACGCCAAUAACUAACUAUAAUAGCAAUUGUGUCACACGAUAAACACCCAAAACCCCUAAAACUACUACGACUUAACCCUAACAACCAUCAAACCAGCAAGAAAACACAGUCUAAAUAUUUGAAAAACAAAAAAAAAACCCAAACAUAUUAAACAAACCUAGGAAAAAAUCAAAAAAUUAACGAACACAAGAAUGUUUUAAUUUGAGACUCACUAACCUCUUCAUUCAUGACCGACAUUUUUGCUGAUGCUAUGGUGUUGUUACGCUUGCAAAGAGCCUUCUCGAACACUCCGAUACCGGCGAGAAUGAGAAAUGAAUCACACAAACGUUACAAAUUCUGAAUAAUAACUGUUUAAAAUGAAAAAUGGCCUUAUAAUAUUCUUAUUUAUUCUGAAAAAGGGGAACUAAUUCAGUGAAAGUCCAAACGAUUACCACGUUAACUACUCGCUUUUUUUUCCUCUCUAUUUCAAACCAUGACAUGUCAGCUGCUCAAGCACUACCGUGUCACACACUCUAAACCAUGACCAUGGUGUGUCACCAACUCUGAACUCUGGCAUGUCAUAGCUUCCCUCCAUGGCAUGUCACCAACUCUGAACUCUGGCAUGUCACAGUUUCCUUCCAUGGCAUCUCACCAACUCUGAAAGCUAGUGUGUCACAGAUUUCCUCCAUGCCAUGUCACCAACUCUUAACUCUAGCGUGUCACAGAUUCCCUCCAUGGCGUCUCACCAACUCUGAACUCUGACGUGUCACAGAUUCGUUCCAUGGCGUUUCACCAACUCUGAACGCUGCCAUGUCACAGAAUUCCACCAUGGCGUGUCACCAACUCUUAACUCUGGCAUCUCACAGAUUCCCUCCAUGACGUCUCACCAACUCUGAGCGGUGUCGUGUCACACAUUCCCAACAUGACGUUUCACAAACUCUAAACCUUGCCCUACGACAAUUGUCUAACAUAUGGCCUGCUAUAGCAGGACCAUUUCCUGCUUUGGAUUCACAUCUUUCUCCUUUCAAUUCACCAUCGUAUGAAGGAUUUCUGGUUUCACAUCAUUAGCCAAGCUUUCCAUUCAUGACGACCGGUUCCUCGUUCAAUUUAAUAUCUCUCUUCUCCUAUUAUCUGAAUGUCAUGUUCCAAAUCUUUGAAAACCCAUCUCAUGCAACAUUAUUUUGUUUUGCACAACCUUCGGAAAAAAAAAUGGGUAUUUUGCACAACCAAUCUUUGCAUAUUUAUUUUUUUUCUCCCAUUUUCCGCCUGUUUGAUAGUGCACGCUAACGAAGACGGCUCAUUAAAGGCAUUUUUGUCCCAAAAUCUAUUCUGGUGGCUAAAAACAGUUAAAAUUAUCUCUAAGGUUAUUUACAAAAAUACGUUAUUUUUAAGGGCUAAAAAAAAAUCCCCAAUAUGUAAACUUACUAUAAACAGGGGCAGCUUCUCUUUAUUAUAUAAGGGGGGCCCAAAUAUUUUAAUUUUAUUGCAUACAAUUAAUUUUUUUUAAUUUUCUUAACUUAGCCCCCCAAAAUAUUGUAAAGCUUAUUAUUACUAGCUAAGUCCAACAUAUAAAUUCUAACUCAGCAUAUUAAGCUUAUCAAAUUUUAAAAAAUAAGAGUGAGUUUACCAACCCAAACCCACUAGGUCAAUAUAAAUCUAAAUCUAUAAUAAGCCCAAUAUGCUAAUUAGCAAUUGAAAGAGCCCAAUAUGCCAAUAACAAAUAGAAUCCUUUGGAGGAAAGCUUCCUCAAGAAGCUACCGAUUUCUACAACUGCCCUUUAACUCUUUUUUUCAAGCUAAGGUUUCUUUUUACAACUAAUUUGUCUAAUUGAUUCAGCCUGUUAAUCUCUCCAAAUAAUUUGAAGCUAACGCUAUUCAUCACUCCAAUCAGGUUUUCUUUUCAUUUUUUUAUUGAGUAUUUCCUUUUUUGAGAUUUUUUAAAUAUAUUUAUUGUUUGAAAAUUUGUCAUGGCCUCCUUUCCCUCCUGGUAUGGAAAAAGGAUUAUUUGUCUGGGCAAUGCUUGGCUUGAUGUUGAUGUGGUAUUGGCCUAAAUAUUGUUUGCCAAGCAGUAAUGAAUUCGUGAAAUUGAUUACUAAUACUUUGUACAAGAACCUUUUGUAAAUUUUCCAGAGGAAACAAUUUUGGAAGCUUUGAAAGUAUUCCUUGGUAUUAAUAAGCCUUUUACUCGUAUCCUUUAGUUUUCUUAUUAAUCAUCUUGGCUUAUGUUCUUGUCUGUUUCCAUACCAUAUGUAAAGAACCACACCAUAAUCAAGUGAAGGUAAUUUGACCCUCCAUUUUGAAUGUUAUUAUCUAUAUUAGCUUUUUUUCUUUUGCUCUUAACAGAAUAUGCCAUUUACAAAUUUAUUGAUUUAGACAUUUAGUAAUUUAUUUUUCAUCCAAAUAAUAUAAUUAUAUAAGAGCUUAUAUUUUAAUAGUAAUGUCCAAAUCUAAACUAAUAGGUAGGAAUUUUUAUUGAAGUCCUUUGAGUUUUGACAUGUCAUUUUAGAUGAGCAUUUUGAACCAAUUUGAAAUAUUAGUAUACCAUUAUAUAUCACUAAUUAUAAGUGGCAUUUAUUUACGAAAGUCAACUACGUUUUGGUACUUUGUCUUGUGGUAUUUAUUCUUUUAGCUUGCAUAAGUGAACAUACAUAUGUUGUGUGUGAGAAUUGGAUGGUAUAUAAAAUUCUCAUUGACUGUUAAAUGUCUUUUUUUGUUUGGGCCCCUCCUUAAUAAUGCUCUAGCUCUGCCCCUGACCAUAAUGCUUCAUCAAUCUUACCGUAAAUGUAUAAGAGUAAUGGUAAAAAGUAUUGUUAGACAAACUAAAAUAAAAAUUGAAAAUUGAGUGAUUUUAAAAACAUAUUUUGAAUUAAUUUUGUAUCCUCUAAAACUUGGUAGCAUUAAUUAUUAAAUAAAAAUUUAUUAAAUUGUUAUAAGCAUCACAAUUUUUCAAUUUUAACAUAAAUAUAUGAGAUUAAGUACACAAAAAUAUAAAGUUGAAAUAAGUUUUUUUAAGAUAUUGUUAUCAUUAAAUUGGUUGUUCUUUUCAUAUGACAUUAUCAAAAUUAUCAAAUUUGAUACAAUAAGUUUUUAUUUUGGAUUCAAGCUUAAUAAACAAUUUAGAAAUUGUAAAUACAUAAUGGAACAAAUUAUGUACUUCAAAUAAUAUUCAUUAAAUCAUACGACUUCAAUUAAAAGAUUUUUUAAUACAAAAGUGAAAAGGGACCAAUCCCUUGCGUUAGGGGAUCGAUCUCAUUGUGAUAAAACCAACAACUAAAACAAAAAAUAUUUUAAAUAAUUGUAAAAGAUUGAAAAAUGAAGUUGAGUAGCUUGAAAUGAAGUGAAGAAAGUUGAUUUAUUUUUUUAAGUAAAAAUUAGUACUUAGAUAUAAUAAUGCAUUGAAGUAAAUUUUCAGUUUAAAUUGUGAAAUGGGAAUUUUGGUGUGGCAUUCUAGUAGGUGGAGAAACAAAAUUAAUUGACUUUGUCUUCAGAAACAAUCGAUCAGGGAUAGUGAUCCUAGGAAGUGUGCAAAGGGUUUCCAUCAACGUUUAAGGAAUGUCUGUCCUUUAUGCCAUCCCUAGUAGGUACAUUUGAUAUCCCAAUAACAAUGUCCCGUAGAGGACUUGUAUGCACACCAGACAGAGCAACUAUGUUUGCAACAAGAUUUCUCAUUUCAAAUAGCCAGGUUUAGAUUACCCAAAAGCCAGAAGUAUAAAAUCAUUAUUGAUACUAAUGAUUUCUUAUAAAUUAAUGUUAACAUUAUACUUAUAUUAUGUAAACACAUAUAGUUUCAUAUAUAUUAAUGUUAACCUUAACUAACAUUAAUAUAUAAGAUCGCUGUGCAUAAUACAUAACAUUUAUAUACAUGUUAUAUUGGUAUUAAUAUAUAACAUUAACGUUAUGUAAAUUAAUAUUAAUGUUAUGUAUAUUACCUUUAAAAAUAUAAUGUUACUUAUACUUAUAUAAUUAUAAUGUUAACAUUAAAUGUUAUAAUACUUUUUACUUUUAAAUUAUAUCAUAACAUUUAAAUAUUUGAAUGUAAUAAAUUUAUUCAAAUUAAAGUAAUUAAAUAUAAUGUUAAUGUUAAAAAAUAAUUGCAUCUCGUGUGGAUCACAAUUAGAGGCUACACACUUUGGUAGCUUAAGGUUUGCAACUACCUAAGCUUUUUGGGAGGUUCUUUGAAACCCAAAUUGUCAUGAAGCUUUUAAUUUAGAUAUCAAAGCCUCUAAGGUUAAAGAAACUUUUACCCAAUAGUUAGGAUAUAUUUAUAUUAAACAAUCAUAGAUGAUCUUGCUUUAGAAAAAAAAAUUUACAUUUUUGCUGUGUUUUGUAAAAUUGUUAUCAUAGUGUUUCCCAGCAGUAAGGUCGUUUCUAAUUAAGAGAACAUUUUCCAAGGCUCCUAUUCGAAGAAUAGUCUUCCAAACAAUUUCUUUUUCUUCAAAAACCAUUCCAAAAGUUGUUAUCGUAAGCAGAGGCAGUGGGGAGGAGGGGCUAGUAGAGGCUCUCGCCCCUUAAAAAUUUUAAAAUUUUUACUACAACCCUUUUUUUUUUCAAAUUUAUAAUUUUUCCCCUACAAUAAUUUUAUAAUUUUGCCUCUUAUUUUAUAAUUGUUAUAACAUAUCAAUAUGUCAUUUGAAUUUGUAUUUAUCUUGCAUCGCUGUUGGAGAUAACAAAUGACCUCUCAAAAGCUUUACCACCUAACUCUCAAGACAUACUAAAUGCAAUUCGUUUAGUAUCGCUUACUAAAAAGCGUCUCCAACAAUUGAGAGAAGAUGGAUGGGAAUCUUUGCUUGUGUCAAUGAAGAAUUUUUGUGAGAAAUAUGAAAUUACGAUUCCUGACAUGGGGGCUAGAUAUUAAUUAGGUAAAGGUCAUCGUCAAAAAGAUCAUGCCACAAUUGAACACCAUUAUCAAGUUGACUUGUUUCUAGCCACUAUUGACUCACUCUUGCAAGAAUUGGAUUCCAAAUUUAAUGAAAAUGUAGUGGAGUAGCUCACUCUUGGCACAUCUUUGGACCCUCAAGACAAUGUCAAAUUGUUUGACGUUGAAAGUAUUUGCAGCCAUGCAAAUAAAUAUUACCUUGAUAACUUUACUGAGCAUGAUAAAAUGCAUCUAUGCUAUCAAAUUAGAUCUAUUCAAGUUUGACAUUCUUCAUAAUCAGGUUUUGAAAAAUGUAUCUAUACUUUUUGAGUUAUGUUAAGUGUUAAAAAAGACAGGAAUAUCAAAAGUUUACUUCUUUGUUGACAGAUUGAUUCAGCUUGUCUUAACUCUUCCAGUUUCCACUACAACAUCAGAGCAUGCAUUUUUUACUAUGAAAUUCAUUAAGAAUAAGACUUGUAAUAGAAUGUCAAAUGAUUUUCUUAUAAAUUCAUUGAUCAUUCUCAUUGAAAAGGAAAUCAUUCGAAACUUUGACAUUGAUUCAAUGAGAGAUACCUUCAACUCUACGGAAGACUAUCGAGCUCAAUUAAAGAUAUCUAAUCUUAGCAUACAAUAGUUGUUUAAAAAUGUUUUUAUUUAACACGUAGUUGGAGUUAUUUGUGUAAUUUUCAUAUUUUCAUAUAAAUUUUUUCCAUCUAAGUUACUUUAUGUUUUUGUGAAAAAAUAAAUUUCUAGUAUGACUAUUUUAUGGAUAUUAUCUUUGCCCUCUCAAACACGAAAUCCUAACUCCGCCCCUAAUUCUAAGCAUUAAUAACUUGCUUUUAAUUGUGUAUGAUCACACUUUCUAAAGCCUUUAUUCUUACUUGAUCUUGGCUUUCUAAUUUAGCUAUAUUCCUCAUGCAACAAAUUAUGUUAUAAUACUACCAGUAAAGAUUGAAUAUUUAUCUCCACAUGUAAAACAACAUCAUAUCCAUACACCAUGUAUGUACGAAGUAACUCUAGUAGUUGUCUUCUUUGGAGUUGUAUGAGCCCAUGAGGCAUUGGUUGACCAUUCAAGCCACACGUGUGGAUCUUUCUCUGCUAUUGUAUAAACAAUAUUCUUCAAAUCGUAAUGAGCCUAAGCAUAUAUAAGAGUUGAAAGAAUUAUUUUAUGUCCAAGUGCCAUUGAAUUGUAAGCCCUUUUAAGCCGAAGUUUGGAUACGAGCUUGGUAAUCUUGGCCUUGAUCUACCUAAGGGUUCUCGCCUUUGAAAAUUACAGUAAAGAUGGAGAAUGACAAGUUUGAAGGAUUAAAACUAUUGAGACUAAGAACUAGUUACAAACUGAGGGUAAAACUAAAGAAAACUUAAAAACAUAAAAGAUAAAUGUGCUUGAAUCUGGUUUAAGAAACCCUAACUCUUUAUAGUGGAAUCAAUGGUGACGAGUAACAUGUAGUUAGGCACUCUUCCAUUUCCCUAAAAAUGUUGAACAUGAUCUCGUAAAAUUUAAGACCUACUAAAAAAACCAGACAACGGAAACAAAAGAUUUUCCUCUUAGAGUUUGAAGCUUUCCUCACUUAGCUCUAGUCCUUUCUUAAACCAUAAACUUGAUCCAACUUCACUUGGUAUAUUUUCCUUAUGUGAUGUGAUGCUUAAACUUGUGAAGCACUCACUCAAUUAGCAUCCCUUGGUUGUUUUGUAAAGCUUGAAUGAUCUUUUAGUCUUACUUGAAAUAUGCUUUCUAAUAAACUGAAGAAUAUCCCAUUGCUUUUGCUUUCAAACCUGGCCAAGAGCAAACUCUUAAACGGCUGAAGCCUUCUAAACUUAUCAACUUGUGAACUUCAGUGAAGGUGGAGAAUCAUUUUAAAUCAUUUUAAGGCUAAAAUCCUCAAGCUAACUAAUUUGUAGAUUAGCGACUUAGGAAAUUCAAUCAAGAUGAGGCUUAGAUUCUCAAGCUUAUCAAUCCUACAAAUUUUGAUACACCUCAUACUAAAAUAACUUCUUGGUUGAGUUGCAAGCAAACGACCUUACAUAGUUUGACUAACCACAUUUCCUAUUAAGCUUACUUGCCUUUUUGCUCUUUUCUUCCAAUCUCCUGCAUCUUAUAACCUUGCCUGCUUUCUAAUCCAAUACUCCUUUCUACCUUCCCAACUUUCUAAUAAUGUGUUAGAAUUAAUAUAUAUUUUAUUGCCAUUUGGAUAGAUAUAAAGAUAUAUUUUUGCUAUAUUUUGCACUACAUUUAAUCAAUAAAAGCUUUUUUAUCUAUCCAUUUAUAUAUAAUUGUUGUUAUUUACUAUUAAGAUAAAGUCCACGGAAUAAAUGUGCUUUGCAAAAGGAAUUUCUACCUUCCCAACUUUCUAAUAAUGUGUUAGAAUUAAUAUAUAUUUUAUUACCAUUUGGAUAGAUAUAAAGAUAUAUUUUUGUUAUAUUUUCCACUACAUUUAAUCAAUAAAGUCUUUUUUAUCUAUGCAUUUAUAUAUAAUUGUUGUUAUUUACUAUUAAAAUAAAGUCCACGGAAUAAAUGUGCUUUGCAAAAAGAAUUAUAAAGUGCUAUAAUUAUAAGAUUUUUACUGUAUCAAAGUAUUAUUCCUUACUAUUCAAAGUCGAUGCUUUAUUACUAUAGGGAAUUGCAGCAUAUGUUAUGUUUUUACUUGUGAAAUAAGCAAUUGAUCUCAUAGGUUGAAGUGUGAGAAUACUCAAACAAACAUAUGAGUGUUUGUUAAAUUAACAAGUUCACUUAACAUGACCCGUCAUCAAAAUUCCUUUUGGUAUCUCACUAAAAUGUUUAUGGAAACAAAUUCUCGUGUAACAGUUGUUUAAGUGAUCCUUAUACCUGAGAUCAUUAGGUUGUUUUGUAUGUGGAGUGUUAUACUUUGACAUUGUCUUAUGUAGUCUUAGCCAAGGAUAUACAAUCACAGAAAUUGGGUAUAGCAUGAAGCCAUAUGGAGAUAAAUAAAUCAUCAAUAGAGGAUUCAUCAGCCUAAGUGAUUCUUUAAGGAAUAUACUAUUGCUUCUCGACAUUUAUUAAGUUAACAAAAUCCUUGACCAAGAUUAAAUGAAGAUUCAGGAAAGAGUUUUCAAAUUUCAUUAAAAGCAUUAAUGAUUAUUUUCAAUUGCUAACAUGGUUAAAACAUAUAUAGAGUAAACACUAUACCAUACUCUAUGUCUAAUAGGCAUACUCGUCGAUAAAAGGAUUGAAUGUAAGACCAUGUUGAAAGGUUAAGUCGAAUAACUUUGACUCUUCUUAACAUUGAGUGGUCAUGAUACAUUAUUAGAUGUCAUCUUAAUAGAUGUCAACUAGAAUUGAUUAUGAAUGCAAGAGUUUGAUUCUUGUAAUCCUAUUCAUUUUAAGAUUAUAAGUCGUAUAUAGUGUCAACAUGUUAAAAACUUAACAAGUCAUACAUAUUAAGAGUAACGAUGUGAGAAAUUAAAAUGGGGAAUUAAAUUGGAUUUAAUUGUAAUGAAGUUUCGAAUUCCAAAGAUUUAAUUGAAAGGGUUCAAUUAAAUUGGUGUAGUUUUAAAAAUAACAUAAAAGUUUUGCAAAACUUACUAGAGUCAAAAUUAAUGUAAUUGUCUAUAAACAUGAGUCUUUCGGUUACACUUUUGUACACAAUAAGAGCACUUUCGGCAUUCUUGAGUAGAAAAGCCCGAGAGUCUCUAGUUAGCACUAGUCUAAUUGGCCUAGACUCUCUCCUCUCUCCCUUGAAGAUUUUCCCACUCGUUGCUCGUAUGGAUUAACAUUGAAAGCUGUAUAUUUGGACAGUUUGUAGUUUACGAUAGCCCUUUGCUCCUUGGUGCUUAAAUAUGCCAACUAAUAAGGCGCCGCAAUGUCAAUUGCCAAAAAUUUAUGACUACAAGUUUUGUUGUAUGAGACAGAGAAGAAACAUUUACGCAAUGAGAGCCUCAAAUUAAUUCAGUAAAUAGAUCAAUCAUUGAAAUAAUUUUAAUUAUAUUCUUUAUGAAUGUUAGAAUUUGUAAAUUUAUCAUAAUUUUUUAUUGUUAGAAUAAAAUUUAAAUGUUUAUGGUCUAUUUGAUUAUUUCACUUCUAACUGAAGACGUGAAUAUAUGUAUAUUUUUUAUUUUGACAAUUAUUGUACAAUAAAUUACAAGAGAUUAUUUUUUUCAUAAUUCGGUUAAAUAGUGUAGCCUAUGUAAAUUGUUGGAAGUAUUUCAAUCGAUUAAAAUAUUACAUUGGGUAAUUCAAUUUUUAAUAAUUUGAUUUGGGUUCUACCGGAAUCGACUGAAUUGGUUAUAUAAAAUGUUGACAGGCAACCCAUCAAUUCAUCUACAUCUCUAACCUUCUCUCCUACCCUCCUCCAGCCCCAAGGUCCAAAUGUGAUCCAACACUGAAGUUACACACAAAAUAUAUAUAGAUAUAUUGAUGAAAUUGAAUAAUAGUAUGUUUCAUCAUAAUCUUACAAAUAUUGUUCAAAGUCAUGCUAGGUGGUAAGCAAUUGGGUCAGUUCCCAAUGCCAAAAUUGCUGUCCCCUCUUCAUCCAUAAUAUAUUUACAACUAUUAACAAAGCGUUCCAUGAUUGAAUCAGGGGGAUCAAUAACAUGCAUAUCAUUACCACUAUUGCUUACUCCUUGUUACGAGAAGUGCGAUCUUUACGUUGUCCACCAAGAAUACGAGAAAUCUGCAGACCUCUACUGAAUGCUUGGUUGAAAAGCAUACGAGUCUGAAAUUCUGAGACAAAAGGAAACCAGGCCAGGAAUGCUACCGGAGUGAAAAGAAGCAACCCCAUCACUAUCUCAUAACCCCGAGCAAGAGUUCGUACUGAUCCCCAAAAACCAGCUUUCUUAACAAAAGGCCUCAAAGCUUGAGCAAUCUGACAAAAAUACGGAAACAAGGUAUAAAUAGCAUUAACAUACAUUUUGAAGUAACAGAAACACAAGUUCAACCAUUAUCAUAUAUGACUGUAAAAAUUGUAGCAGUAAUGUGUGUGUGUAAGAGAGAGAGAGAUGUUUACCAGAAGCAUUCCCCAACCCGUAGGCAUAAAUGCAAGAAUGCACACAAUAAUGUCUUGAAGUGUCAUGUGAGGGAGAGCAAUCAAAGUAACCAGAAUGGCCACGAAUGUCAAGAAUAUUAAUCCCUUGAUGAGCCGAAAAACAAGUUGAUAACUUGCACUGAACUUUCGCCUCCCAACAGAUACAGUCUAAGCAAGAAAAACACAAAAAUGUAAAAUGAUUAAGAAUGCUUAGAGCUAGAUAUAUGGAGUUUAGUUCGCCUCCAAAUUAGAAAUCAAGACCAACAUCACUGUCAUUGUUAUCUGAUACAUAUGACAACAUAAAUAGGAAGAUGAAACCAUUCAAUUUUGAAAAGACAUCUGUCAAUAAAUCAUUUUCCUGUGUGUUCACACAACUAUUUAUAAACUAUUCUGAAGCAUUUGGUUCUCUUUAUCUGUUUAAGCAGCUAUCGUUUAUCAGCAGUUGACCGUGGUUAAGUAAACCAUAACACAAUGAAUUUAAGCCCUGUUUACCUGUGCAAUUACUUGGUUUUCUUUCUCUUGAAAAAGUUCUCAUUCAAAAAAAUAAAUAUGUUUACAAAGGAACCAAAAAGAAUAAUUAGACAAUAAAUGAUCUAACAGGAAUAUGAACAGGAAAAAUAAAAUGCUUCAUGACAACUUAUGCCUAGUCUACUCUCAGGAAGAUAAUAAGCAAUUAACAAGAGGACUUUUUGAAACACGUCAAGGCCAAUAUUUGAAGAAUCUAGCCACCUACCUUCAUCACAAAUAAUAUCAGAACAAUCACCAGCCAUGAUGCACCAUAGAUCUGUGACCAAGCGAAUGAAAAUACCCAAUGUAAACAUAUAAAGAUGAAAAAUAAGGAAAAAAUGGCCAAAGAAACGGAGAGGGACAUACCAAAAAGCUUCUGUUUUCUUUGAUAACAUUCAAGUGAUAGACAAGCCCAUACUGGUAGAUAAAGAAUCGUAAAGCUAACAAUAUCUCAGCAAUAAUACCACGCUUCCCAGAAUAUUGAAGAUGCUCUUGCUCUUCCUCCCACCAUGAUUCCCAACUUUUUUCUGGAGGUACACCUAUACCACCUCGGUUGUUUAUCCACUUAUUCCAAUCAGUCCAAUCAUCAACAAUCUUCUGCCACUCGAAACCAGAAGGAUUGAAUAGGAAGGGAGCAAAAAGCCAUGUGCCCACCAUAAACCACAAAGAUACAGUGAUCAAUACAUAAGCAACUGCACUUCUGUAAGUAUGACCAAAGAUUUGGUACACUAGAAGCAAGAUCAUCAUCUCAAUACCCUUCACAAAAUGGCUACGUGAAUAAAGCCGGUAGUUGUCAGCAAACUUGGCAUGGAACACCACAAACCCUCGGCCUGUAGGCCUGUACUUUGCACCUCCAUGAAGCAAUGUCCUUCCAUAAUAGUGGGUCUUUGUUCCAAGAGAAAAUGUGAAAAAUACUGGUGCCAAUUGCAACUGCAUUAAUAUAAAUUCACUUAAUGCAGUUCGGAAACCCCUUUCCAAGCCAAUCUCCAUCAACAUAGGUAAUGCCAUCAAAAAUCCAAUUUGAACAAAAGAUUGAGAAGCAAGAGCCACUUGAAGAGGCUUAUUAUCACGAAUUGCUGGUUGCUCACUUAAUCCUUGUUCAAGGCCACUCAGUACAAGAUAGAGGCGACCAUAAAGGAACACAUAG
This 112790-nucleotide long non-coding RNA is filed under the name Theobroma cacao (cacao). Its description in RNAcentral is "long non-coding RNA (TCAC_LNC005543)". The record is from RNAcentral. Lineage: Eukaryota; Viridiplantae; Streptophyta; Magnoliopsida; Malvales; Malvaceae.